CAAUGCACCACUUUUUUAAAAAAAAACUCCAUAUUUUUUCUCAAACAUGAAUAACUGAUGGAAAACAUAAAAUAUAUAGUAAUGCUCCAAAUUGAAGUAGGAUAUGAUAAUAAGUUAACAAACAAUUUUUUUUUAAUAGGCUCAAAAGGGUAAUUAUGGAUAUUUCACAAUGAGGAUGGCCAGAAGAGACUCAAAUGGCUUAGACAUGAACUUCUGUCAUUUGUUAGAGAUCUAAAUAGUCUUUAUAUCUACUAGUUUAAUAGACUUUUAGACAUAACAACACACAAUUCUUUUCAUUGGUCGACUCAAAAGAAAAAGAUAGAGAUUAUGUAUAAAAUAAUAAACUAGUAAGCUAUGGAAAAAGGUUGCUCUCUAAGAUAAAUAAUAGAUUCAAAAACUUACUUGGAGCUUAUUUUGACAUGUACAUUCUUUCAAAUAGCUCAAUGAAUUUCACUCAUCAAUUUCUCAGUUCACACCUCUAACCAACAUUAAUUUGCAAAGUGGCAAACAUGGUGCAACAUAAUUCAAAGGUAAAGAUAAUAUAAAUUCUAAAAUUUAAAAGCCACCGCGUCAUCCAAUGUCAAAAGAUCACAAAAGGUGCCUUAAAUUGUAUUAUUUCAUUAUUUUUAUUUUAUUUAUUUUUUACCUAAACUACAAAACUAGGAAUAUGCAUUUCUAGAGUAAUUAAACUCCAUAUUCGACCAUCUUUAACUCAAAAAUUUAAAAACAAAAUUAGUAAAAGUACAACAACACAACUAUCAAUUAUUCCAUAACUAUCAAUUAUUAUGUCCCCCAACUAGAAUGAGAUAUUGUCCUCAACUUUUGAAAGAAAAGAAGUAGAGUUUUGAAAAAAAUGAUAAAUUUUUAUGAAUGUUUGAAUGGGCCCAAGAUGCAAAUAUAAUUUAUGCCUCUAUAGUUGCAAGAUCUCUUGGCAAGAAAAUUAAAGCAUUGGUAAGGUUUCGCAUCUUGGUUAUUUUCUCCUGGAAACUUAAGAUGACUAGCUUAUUUGCAAUUAGUGAGCCGGACAAGCAUCCCAGAGGUUAUAGGGGUGUGGGAUGAUACCAAGCACUUGACUUGAUCUAGUGUAAGUAGUUUUUGAGACAAGUACUUGACCAAGAUCCAUACCUGCUUGAGCAAACACUUUGUAUUUUCCAUAACGAAAGUCAGAAAGCAUGCAAACGUUCUUCAAUUGUCUAUUCAAAUUUGCUGCCAUUAAGACAAACUCAAAAAUAAUUUGUGAGUGUUUUAAAAAAAAGUUCAUAUUUAAAGAUCUUGGUGAGAGACAUAAUGAUACAAGGCUGUAAAUGGAGUGGUAUGUUUGUCAAAUGACGCGUGAAGUUCUUGGUUCAAGAGUCAAAAGUAAAUAGUAGAAAAAAAUUAAAUGGAGAUAAAUCACACAAGUAAACAAUAAUCUAAAUGAUAAAAGAAUAGUAAAAAAAAUUAUAUAUACCAGUAGUUGUGACGAUGGCUCACAUCUUCCUUUUUAUUUUAUGUUGAGAAAGGCUUGAAUGCCAUUAUGGAUCGAGGACAUGAUUCUCAUCGAGUUUUCUUAUUAACUGGUGAAUAGGGUAGUGUAUAUAAAAUUCUUGAGACAUUAUGGUGCAUAUUUCUUUUUGAAUAAUAGCCAUGACUAGGAAAUUGCACGUUGUACGUAUUCACUGGGAUGUGUUUCAAGCGUCGAAAUGAUGUCAUCUAAUGACUUUUUAUUCAAGUCAUUCCUAAUAAAUUGAAUCUUUUCUUUCUUAUUGCACGACAUCAUUCCUAAAGAUAUACUAGAACUUUCAUUAUAGUUUGUUUGAGCACACUUAUAAUAAGAAACUUAGAGCUGUCUAGCUCUUUAUUUUCUUGAAUAAUUUCCUUUCCUGCAGCCAGACAUGUAAGCAACAAAUUUGAGAGAUAACUUAUUUCUUAAUCGUACUUUGGUUUCAAUUAACCAACGGAUGUGAACAAGAACGGUAUUUCUCAUAAGUAAUCAUAAGCAUUUAGAUCAAGUUUUAAAGAUUGUAAGCAUUGCAUUCUAAGGGAGAGAGGGAAAUCACUUGUGAAGUUUUGCAAGAAUUUGAUUCUUAUGUAUACCUUGGCUUGGAAAUGUCAGUUAUUAUGGAAAAUUGUUAUAACCGACUUUAAUGGUUACGGAGUACCAUUAUCUGCUACUUAACUAGGGUAAGAAAUAACAACAUACCAAACAAAAUAAUUAAUCUAGCAAAAACAAAAUGCAUGUGAAGGCAACACAACAAAACAAAAACAAACAAUAUAAAUACUAGGACGUUAACUCACCAUCAUCCUUUUAUUGAGUUUAUCGUAAGUUCUAAUUAGAUAUCACAGAUACUACCCUCUAUUUCUAUGAAUUGUCUUUCUAGAUGGGAUACUGACACUAGUGUUCAUAGAUCCUAAGCAGGAUGUGAUUUAUAAAUUUUGAGUAGACCACUUAGGUAAAGCUUGUUAAGGUUAAUGAAUAGGAUUUUUCUCAUUGAGAUACUCAUGACCUAUAAUACAAUUGAUAAAAGAAAACAUAAUUUUUAAACAAAUGCACUUAAGUAUGAAACAAUCAAAAUAAUUUUAAUUAGUAAAACAAAAUAACAAAAAGUUAAAUCAUCCCAAAAAAGGACCUAAUCAAGAUGUGGUAGGUCUCUCAAAUUUCCUCUGGUGUCUUCUUCAUGUAGUUGAUACUCUAGAUAUGACUUUAAUAUUUGACCAUUAACUUUAAAAGUAACAUUAUUCUUUAGAUCCUUAAUUUUAAUGGCCCACAUGAAAAAAAUAAUGUGAACAAUUAAUGGAUUAGACCAUCAAGAGCGUAAUUUACUUGGGAAUAGAUGCAAGCGAGAAUUGAAUAACAGCACUUUUUAACCUGGUGCAAAAGAUUUUCUUAUAAUAUUCUUGUCAUGAAAGACUUUCAUCCGCUACUUGUAAUGUUUGUCAUUUUCAGAUGCAUUAUUGCGAAUCUCUUUAAUUUCCACCAGCUAUAAUCUUCUUUCCGAACCAGCUUGUUGCAUGUCAAAGUUAAAUUUCUUGAUAGCCCAGUAUGCACGAUGCUCGAUUUCCAUAGGUAGGUGACAAGCUUUCCUAUACACUAACCUAUAAGGUGACAUCCUAAUAGGGGUUUUAAAAGUCGUUUGAUAUGCCUAUAGUGCAUCAUCGAGUUUCAAUGACAAUUCUUUUCUAUCUAGUUUCACCAUCUAUUAUAAUAUAUACUUUAUUCCUCGAUCAGAGAUAUUGACUUGGCCACUAGUUUGUAGAUGAUAUGGGGUAGCCACUUUGUGUGUGACGAAGUACUUUGCCUAAAGAGUUGUAAAUGAUUUGUUGAAGAAGUGGGUACCACAAUCAUUGAUUAUUGGCCGAGAGAAUCUAAAGCGCGAAACAAUAUUACUCUUCAAAAAUCCCAUCACUACUUUGUGAUCAUUGGUUCUGUACGGAAUUGCUUCUACGUACUUUGAUACAUAGUCGACAGCAACUAAUAUAUAUUGAUGGCCAAAAGAAAAAGGAAAUGGUCUCAUAAAAUCGAUGCCCCAUAUAUAAAAAAACUCAACUGCCAGAGUAGGGUUUAGUGUCAUCAUGCUCAUUCGUUAAAUGCUUCUUAUACUUUGGCACCAAUGACAUGAAGAAUAGAAGUGUAAGCAUCUCAAAAUAAAGUUGGCCAUAAAAACCAUAUUGUAAAACUUUAGCAGCCCUCUUUCUAGCACUAAAAUUGUCUCCACAAACUUGUUCAUAAUAUAAUGAAAGGAUGUUUUGAAAUUUGCUCUCUGGGACGCAUCGUCUGAUAAUAUGAUCCACUUAAUAAUUGAAUAGAUAAGUAUCAUCAGAAAAGAAAUUCUUUGUUGUCACAAAAAAAUUAGCCUUAUCUUACUUAGUCUAAUGCUUGGAAAGUUGCCCUGUAACAAUAUAGUUAACUAUAUCAGCAUACCAUUGGUAGUACCUCUACACUUAUUAGUUGUUCAUCUGGGAAUGAUUCAUUGAAUGGUAACGGUUCUGGAAUUGUGUCAAAAUUGAGGCGAAAAAGAUGAUCUGCCACCACAUCUUUUAUGUCUUUCUUAUCUUUAAACUCAAGGUCAAAUUCUUACAAAAGUAACACCCAACGAAUUAGUCUAGCCUUUACAUCUUUCUUUAUAAAAAGAUAUUUAAGAGUAGUAUAAUCUGUGAGCACAAUUAUUUUAUAUCCUAUGAGAAAUUUUUCUAAUGCAAACAUUACUAUUAGUAUUUCAUUUUUAGUGGUUGAGUAAUUUAAUUAUGCAUCAUUCAAUGUCAUACUAGCGUAGUAAAUGACAUGAGGGAUAUGAUUAACUUUUUGUUCUAAUACAACUACUAUUAUUUGUACAAGAAUGUUAAUAAUCUCUUGAGGGCAUGUUGUUCCUCGAGCCUUAUUAGCAACUAAUCAAUGUAGAGCACGAGAUGUCAGUAUGAAAAAUUCUAAAAGAGAUAUUGUAAAAAUAAAGGUAAUGUUAUAAAAUUAUGUUGCAGAGGAUUAUUGACUAUUAUGAAAACAAUAGGUGUCAUGACCCAACCCAGACUUGACAAGAUAUUGUCCGCUUUAUACUUUAACAAAGCCCGCACAAUUUUGUUCUUGGGGCGCCCAUAGACCCUAAAACGCAUCUUGCCAAUUAAGGGUAGAUCACCCCUUAUAAACCCAACAUCUCUCCCGUGCUCUACCAAUGUGGGAUUUGUCUAGGGUGUUACAUUCACCCCCCUUGGUAUUUAGCGUCCUCGCUGAGAUUUGCCCCACCAUCGCUCAAGAUGACAGGCAGAGUCGCUCUGAUACCAUAAUGUCAUGACCCAAUCCAGACCUGGUAAGAUAUUGUCUGCUUUGGACUUUAACAAGACCUGCACAGUUUUGUUCCUAGGGCUCCCAUACACCCCAAAACGCAUCUUGCCAAUUAAGGUGUGGAUCACCCCUUAUAAAUCCAGCAUCUCUCCCGUGCUUUGCCGAUGUGAUAUUUGCCUAGGGUGUGACAUUCACCCCCACCAUCGCUCAAGAGGACACGCAGAGCCGCUUUGAUACCAUAAUGUCAUGACCCAACCCAGACCUGACAAGCUAUUGUCCCAACCCAGACCUGGCAAGAUAUUGUCCGCUUUGGGCCUUAAAAAGGCCCACACGGUUUUGUUUCUAGAGCGUCCAUAUACCCCAAAAUGCGUCUUGCCAAUUAAGGUGUGCAUCACUCCUUAUAAACCCAGCAUCUCUCCCGUGCUUUGUCGAUGUGGGAUUUGCCUAAAGUGUUACAAUAGGUGUAAGUGGUAUAAAUUGAUUUCAUUAGUGAAAAAUUGGCAACCUCCCAAUUUAGAAUCCUAAAUUUUGUAGGAAAUUCAAACACCAAAGCUCCAUAGGCAAAGAAAAAGUCCUAAAGGCAAGAUCGUUAGUCCAAUACCUUUCAAGAAAAAUCAAAAGUCAUAACUUUUUCAAUUAAAAUCUUGAGCUCUUAUACAUAAAAAUCAUAAAAUUCAUUCAAUGAAAAUUCUUCAAAUAAUUAAAAUUAAAGUCAUGAGUUCCAAACAGAAAUUUUUAAAUAUCUGAUAAUUCCAUGUAUCUCGUACAUAUAUUUAAAAUCUCUAAACAAUUUUUUUUUAUAAAUGGUGAUAAGAAAGAUUAAAAGCAACUUUAGCUCAGCCAAUUUAGUUUAAAAGUUUUGAUUAUUUUCAUCAAAAGUUUAAAACUUUCGGGGAGUAAUAUCAGGGAAAAUCCUUAAGCAGCUCGGCGGGCGGUCAUAGGAACAACCAGACAGUACCCCUGUGGUGUUCCUCUAUUAGCAACAAAACAAUUUGGUGAAUUAUUAUUAAUUAGUUCUAGAAGUCAAUUCAAAGUAAAAUCGUAACUUCAGAAGAUCAAAAUGGAAUCGACCAAAAGAAGAGAGGAGCAGAAUGGAAUAACAUAACAAAGCAUCUGUACUAACUGAAUUCAAAUGGCCAGAACUAUAGAGACUAUGAUUUCUUGUAAAGACACCGCAAUUUGAAAAGCAACAAGAGGAACAUUGCCAAUUGAAGGUCACUGCCCAGGCUUCUUCUAGCAAGCUUCUAACAGACAGUUCGAGUAUGUUGUGCACGGAAUGCGGAAUCAAGCGCACCAAAUAAUUAUAGAAAAAUAAAAGACACAAGAAUUACGUGGUUUAGUAAUUAAACCUACAUCCACGGAGGCAAGAAAGAAUAAUUGUUUAUUUAACAAUUAAUAGAGUACAAAUAUUUGAGUAACGAAUCUCACUUCCCAGAAACCCAAAUAUACCCAGUACUCUCACACUCUGCAGGAAAGAUAAAUUCCCCAGACACACUUCUCUCACUUCUCUCAAAAGCUUAGAAACUUAUAAGCUUAACCAUUUUGGGAUGAUUUCAAAUGAAUGAAAUCCUUAACUAUUUAUAGGAGAAAUGAAUUACUAUGCAAAGAAUAAAAUAAUUAAAUCCCUUUUGUCAAUUCUUUCUUUUCGGCUACAAAAUCAAUUUUGAUUUUGCUUCUCUACAAUUGUUGGUGCAACCAACAAUUUUUUGACUUCAACAAAGCAACCAUGACCUUUUUUGUCACAACAGUAAAAAAUGAAAAUUUAAAAGAAAAAAAUUAUAAUAUAAGUACACGUACUCUUUGUCCACGAUGCCCUUAAAAGCCUGGAUCCCCAAGGAUCUAGGACUUUUGGAAUUGGAGGUUGCAUCAUAGCUUUACUUGAUUUGAGAGUCAUAUCUCUUGCAAACGUAAAUAGGUUUUCACCUUUUUAAGCUGAAAGGAAAUACAAAAGGUGAAUGACUUGGCUAACAUAUAGAAUACAAUAUGGAAUGAAUGAAUGAAGUACCUUAAAAACAUGUAUUCUUGAUUGCCUUCAUAAUCAUGCUCUCGGUUAUUAUAUCAAUUGAAGAAGAAAAAUGAAUAAAGCGGUAUUAAGUAACUUUCCCAAUAAAAAGACACAGAAGGAGACAGACCAUGAAAGAAACGAUGAGUAACCUGAAGUAACUUGAAGGUCUCAUGAUCAGUGUCUGCAUGGUACCGAUUUUCAGCCUGGUAUCAAGACAGUCUAAUUGGAAAUCAAGCAUAAGAAUUCGAGGCAUCUGCCGCUGGCUGCAUUCUGGAAUGUUAAAACCUCGUGGUGUGAACCUAUGAGCUUCAUCAUAUCUACGAAAUUUCUUCUAUUUUCUGAACUCUCCCUACUAACUACCACUCAUAAAGGACAACCAUGGAGUUCAAGUUUUUUCGGUGGGGUUUAAAAGUAACUACCCAAAUAAACUUUUAUCUUUAAAAUUGAUUCAAUUGGAAAAAUUAACACAGUAAGCAAUUGAGCCAAGAAAAUAAAAAUCCCCACAAGCAAAAUCAUUGGAAAUCAUUGGUCAUCAGGAAGGAAAAUCUCAGAAGGGUUUUGACCUAUCCAUUCCACUCAUAAGGGAAAGGCAAAAUGCUACUUCUAUGCCUGUUUAUUCUUUAAGGUACUUAUAAUUUGAUGACUGUUUGAUUAAUCAGUAGUAUAUACCAAGUAAGAAUUAAAAACAUUACCCAAUAUUUCGAAUUAAAAACAUUACCCAAUAUUUCAUGCUUCUUUCCUCAAUUCGUCCACAUAACAUGCUGCAUUUGGGGUUACAAAUUACAAUUGCCCUUAAGUCAUGAUUAGCACCAGUCAAUUUACAAGGUUUACUCACGGGCACUGAUUAUUUGCUCAUCAAAGUCUUUUAAUUUACAUUGAUUUUCGGCAGCAAAAUUUCCGACUUGCAUGCAUUUUAGCUUCCAAUACUUGGUAAUUAUAAUAAUAAGUCUUGACAACGCAGUCAAAAGCGAACAAUUAAAAAAAAUGUAAACGUAUUCUUUGUCCGCGAUAUGAGAAACCAAAUCAACCUGAAAAUUCCAAAGUUAAUUCUUAAUAAAAAAAUGUAUAAUUGGAAAUGAACAAGAAAACAGGUGACUGCUUAUUCUUGAAGAGUAAGACGGAAAAAGAAAGUUGAAACUUGGCGGUUGAAGAAACCAUCAUACCCUUAAUUGAGAAAUUACUCAACUACUUCAACUCCUUAUAAGUCUUUAGAUAUAUCAAAAGCAAAGCCACUUGUAAACAAAAGUAACAACUAACAAGCCAGCUCGAUAGGCCAAAUCAUUCAAAUUUAAGGUGAACAAGCUCCGUUCAAAAAAGUACUUGCACCAAUUAUCCCCGACUUCAACUUUAAGGUGCGGAUAAUAAUGAUGAGCAUUAACGAUAUCAUAAGAGUAAUUUAGACAUUUAACACUAGGAAUGACGGUGAGGUGAGGUGGGGUGGGGUGGGGGUAGAGAGACCUGCCCCCUUCUCCACCCCAUUAAAAAUAUUACCUUCAUUCCCCAUUUCAUUCACCAAAAAAUUUAUGGUGCGUUUAUUAAUCUAGAAUCAGGAUUGGGUUGGAAUGAGAAUCACGAAUGAGAAUCAAAAUAAAUUAUUUACUUGAAUAGUAGGAAUCGGAAUUGAAAUGAACUUCAUUUCUAUUAUUGUGUUUACUUUGUCAUGAAAUUUGAAUGAAUUAUUUCAAUUUAUUAAAAUACCCUUCGUUAAUUAUUAUCAUAUGGUAAUAAUAAUAAUAAUAAUAAUAAUAAUAAUAUUAAUAAACAACAAUAAUGACAACAACAAUAAUUAAAAUAAUUAUAAAUAACACAUGAGAUUUAGUUUAUGACGGAAAGAACUGCUUGAGCCAAUAUAAGAAUGAGGGUGAGAAUGAAAGGCAAAAAAUAAUCUUUUGUCUCAAAAUAGUUAUAAAACCCGCGUCCCCUCAGAUUUAGUUUAUGCAGGUUCUAUCACAUAAGAUUUUGUGCUAACCACAUUAUAAUACUAUGCGGUGCAAUUGACAAAUAUAAUAUUAUAAUAUUUUAUACAAUGAAGAGUUAUGAUAAGGGCAGCAACGUUUUUACAUUCAUUUCUAUCUUUUACUAGGAAAAAUUAUUGCUCUACAUUUUCGAAUGCAAACAGCAAAUGUUCAUAAUUAGAUGCACUUGUCAGUUUGUCUACAAGCCACAAAAUGGGCACUCGACAAAGUUGUGUAAGUAAAAAAUAAAUAAAUAAAGGCGGACUUACAAAAUUGAAUUUUGAUUAAAUUGAUACAAAUUUUUACAAAAAACUUGCAUCAAAAUUCUAUAAACUUCCAUCAUUCAUAUUUUAGUCAUAUUAAGUUAAAUUAAAGAUCAAAUAUACAGAGAAGAUAACACAACAAUUUCCUCCUUUCGUAUUUUCUAGUGUACAUCCCUCAAAUGUAGGGAUUGGAUGCCUUUUCAUGGACUUCAACCAUACCUCCGUUUAUUUUAGGUAGAAAGAAUCUUUGAUUUCUUUUUUCCCCAUCUGGUUUGCAAUGAAUCUGGAAAAUGCCUCUGGUAGCUUUAAUGCAUAUACGAAUUGGGCAAGAAAAACCCAAAUUAUGACAACCCUACCAUGCAACAAUCCCAAGCGACACAUGGCUUGUCAUCCUUUUUGUUCAGUAAGUUCUGCAUGGCCAAGAAAACAUAUCAUUCUACUUGUUUUGACCCCGAAGGAACUCUCUCAUGUGCAUAUGAAUUUUUGCAUUAAUAACUAGACGCAUUUUCUUUGAAUCCUCCUAGAGCAAACCACUUCGAUCUCUUGCAUAAUCACAAGCAGCCUCAAAGACAUCCUACAAGAUUUAUGAUUUAACUUUAAAAUGUAAUCCUUGAAAGAUAUGAGAUGAGAAAUGAAUCCAAUUAAAAUGCUCAGAUUACCCUCGAGGGAAACUCAUCAUAAUAAUGCGCAGGGGUCAUUUCAACCCUAUUCAAAUCGGAUUCCCACAAUCUUAUCUGUCAAAGAAACAGCAGAAUUUGAAACAUUAGAAUAUAAAUAAUCAUCUUUGUUAAUUGAUAUGUACUAUGUGGAAAAUAUUGAGAAUUUUGCUAUGGAAGGUCAGGAAGCAUUGAUACGUGCAAUACAUCUGAAUGCAGGAAAGAAUUAUGACCUGAUCACAAACAUUUUCUGGUAUAGACGGUAUUCUGUCAGCAACCCGAGGAUGUGCAUUUUGCUGAAGAAAACAAAUUAUCAGCAAAACAAACGAACAUAGAGUUAGAGGAGUCAGAAUGACUGCAAAAGUAAUUGAAAAAAAAAAAGGCAACUUUGAAAGAAAAAACUAUUUCGGCCACAAGAAUAUCAGAAACAGUAUGUAAGCUCGCAAAAAACCUUCUCCACCCAAAAAAAAUAAUUAUAAUAAUCUAGGUUGAUGUAAAAGUAUGUUGAGAUGAGGAUGGCUGGGACCCAAACAGAGCUGUAAAGGGGCAAAUUAUUAAGAAUGUCAGAAGUUACUUGCAUAUAUGCAAGUUAAUUGACCACAACAGACAUUUUUUUAUGGAAAAACAGAUCACCAGAUCAACUGAAUACCAAACUCACCUGCUCAGUUGUAAUGCCAUUCUCAAAAGCAUUAUUCAAACUUUCUUUCGUUGUUGCUCCGACUAUAAGGUUUGGAAGUUGAUACUCUAUCCUGCACAUUGGCAAAAUAUUCAACAAAAGGUUUUAGGACUGACCAAUGUAGUUCAAUAACAAAAUGUAGUUCAAUAACAAAAUGUAAUUCAGAACUUUAACCUAGAAGAGAAACAAUUUAUCAAGCAGAUGGCUGGCUUACUUUGAGAAAAGACGCAAAAUUUCAUAGUGUAGCUUAGAUGUUGAAUAAGCAUACAUCCUGAAGUUUGUUUCCACUACAACAAACCCCUAAAGAUAAGAAAAUGUAGAAUGAGCUAUGUAAUUAGAGAAUGUAAAAAUGAGACCUCAUUUUGGUUUCUGACAAUAAUAAUUUAACAAGAUUGACCUAAACUAAUAGAAAAUUAAUGCAGUUUGCAAAGGAAAAUUAUAAUUUUAAAAAAAAUUCAAUCACACAAUUGUUUGCAAUUGUAGGUAUAAACCAACUUUCUUACCUACCCUGAAUAGCCAUGGAAAACAUAUGAGUACUCCAGCAAAGUAAUACAAAAUUAACAGAGAUAACCAGCAUUUUCUGUAGCACAGACUAGUACAACCUACUGAAAUUUGACCAAUCCCAAGUCUGCAAAGUCUUUGAUCACACUUCUUUGUAUUUCACUCAGUGUAUUUAAAUUAUAUGCCUAUAACAUGAAGAAGCAAAGAGUAUAGCAAUAAAGUGAGAUCUCAAACCACUUUGAGAAUUCCUUGACAUAAAAAUUUUAAGGACCUCAAGAUGCUGAGAAGUUAAAAGCAAUACUAGGAUAGACAUAACCUUAUAAAAAUGAAUAAGAGAACAAAAGACAAUAUUCAAUGCAACAAUGAUACCCCAAAAAAUGUUUGAAAUUCUGUUAUAACCAAAAGUAUGAGCCAAACAUUAAUCUAUCAUACUUCUUGAAUAAUAAAUGGAAUAACUGAAUAAUAAUGUGUUUAGCUAUAGAACGUAUAUGUGCUACCUCCCCAGCGACAUGGAAACUAAGCUCCAGAAGAAAAGAAAUCAGAUCUGCUUGAUUUAUGCCUCGUUCCUGCAAGAAAAUGAGAAAAGCUAUAUGAUAUAUUAUUGGUAUUGUAAACCAUAAGCAAGCAUAGAGUCGUGCUAUCCCACAUAUAAUUAGAUCGCCGGUGAACUUUUAUCUCUAUUAAAUAGUCCAAUGAAAUACCAAAGAAGAAAAUCUUUUAGUUCUACUUUGUGUUAGCAGUAAUUAUACAAAUCUAUUGAGAAAUAGAAUAAAAAUCAAUGAAGGCAUUAAUAUUCUAAAAGUAAAAAGAUAUACAUACAUCUAAAUAUGAACUCUUUAAUCGUAUAAACAUGUGCAUAAUAUAAAAAUCAAAGUUCUAAAAUGAACAAUUGGGUAACGUAAUGAGAUUUAAAGAUAAGUCAAUCCGUUAGUUUGCCCUUUGAAUACUUCACUCAGUUCAGUUUUUACAAAGAGAGAAUAUACCAGUGAAUCAAAGACAGGGACGCGCAGAAAUUUUGAUGCAGAGAAACCACUGAAAAGAAUAUCAGAAGCCACACCUGGGAAUUGGAGAUAUAUUCUCUAACGAUGUACCAGAGCUGUGCAUUAGUAUCCAUCAGCUGCAAAUUUAAACAUAGGAAAAUAAGUUCCACUAGCUCAAACAAGAGGGAAUCCAAAAUCUUGUGAUUAACACACAUUCCAAAAAUUAAAAACCACUCUCUGUUAACCUUGGGGCUUCUUUAUCCCUGCAAAUAAGGCACAUAAAUAACAUGAUACCAAAUGCAAGAACCAGGAUUCUCAACUGUUUGCAACAACAAACUGACGAUUACAAAUGUAACAGAAAAUACUACCUUUGAAUCAAAAGACCACGCUGGAAAACCUUAAUCGUGGAAGAACUGAAAUUUAUCGACCUUUCAACUUGGGCUGAACUAAUAAGUUACAGCAACAAACACUGGAUUAAUAGAAUUGGAAGAUUUAAGAUAAUAGCUUAGUUGAUACACCAAUUGUAAUUAAUUAUGUCAUCGCAUCUCCUUGAGGUCAGCAUGAUUGGCAUGAAAAAUCCUUAAACAUGAAAGAACAGAACAGGUAAAGUUCACACCUCCCAUUGUCCAAUGGCAUAGGCCUCAAGGUCCUCCGAGGUUGGAAGCCUUGCAAUAAUACCAGAAGGCAUUGGUUCCCUCGGCAAAGCUCCAUUGCAAGUUUAGAAUCAUUAAUUUUAUACAUAAAAUGUGAUCAAAGGUGCUCAGAAACAAACUUGGAAGUAGCUGCAAAACCAAUGCAAUCUCAUAUGUUCAAGUUUAAGAUAAUGAAAUGUAUAACUCGGGUUUCAAAAUUUUGAAGGACACUCAAUCAGUGAAUUAUGAUCAUCAUGUUGGAGAAAAAUCAAUUUUUUCAAUUUUUAUAAAACUUUUUUAAGAUCGCUCUCAUAUAAUAUAUAAGAAUUUAUAAUCUAGAAAUCGUACCUUGAAAAUCCGAUUUAGUUUUUUCUGCUGAAGUGAUUUAGGCUCCCAGAUCAUGAUCCAUCACCACCACGCCUGUUAGAUCACGAUCCGUCACCACUACGCUUGUUAGAUCACGAACUGUCACCAAUGAUCUUCCAGGUUAUGACUCAGGUUUGAUCUGCACUUGACGUAUGGGCGUCUUUACUACUACUAAAGCAACUAGCACGAGAAAAUUUUUCUUUCAACAAUCGAGAGAAAAAUCUUUUUCUCUGAUCUGUAUAAAGUGGUUGCUCUCUCUUUCUUUUAGAGAAAAUAAGCCUGGACCCACCUUGAAAAAUAACAUAAGGCCCCUUACACACAAGCUAAUUAAAUGGAGCCUCUCACUAAAUGAUAUAUUUAGGCUUUUGACCCAAAUAGCUAGUUAUCUUGCUUAUUAAUCCAGUAGUUGUGCAGUCAAUUAAAUGAGCUAACCCGGGGAUUAUUUAGGAACAUACAAUAGUGGCUAUAACAAUUAGGCCUGUAAUUAAACUAGCCUAAUUAUUUAAUUCUAAAUAUACUCCACUAAAAGAUUGGAAUUGACCUCCAUAAUUGUAUGCUCGAAUAAUAAUUCAUCCCAAGCCACAUUGAUUUCUUUACUGCACAAUCCUUUGUACCGCAUCAUUAAUUAAAUCGAUAUCUCAACUGUCCAAUCAAUUUAAUUACAUCUUCUUCCUUGAUACUUACUGGUUUUCUCUAGUGAUCAUUUUCAACAUACUAAAUAUGUUUGACACACUCUGGCCAGAGAAUUCUAUGAUCAAGUGCUCAAAACUCAUCAAGAGAUGUUUUGUACAAAUUCUAUAUUGUUAAUCCAUAACUCCAAUACUCAUAAUUGCUCCCACCAAGAUACCGGGUAAUCUUGACCACAAGUACGUGUCGUGCCCAUUGGUAACUCAAAUGGAAUAACAAUUACAAUCAUGAAAUCAUAAUUAACUCAAUAUUAAGAUUACAGUAAAAUCAAUGCCUAUGAGAUUUAAUAAGUCUGACAAUUAUUACAAAGUUAAUUAAAUCUCAUAUGUGAUCCUGUUCAAUGUAGUCGUACUACAUCAAUAAAUCCAUACAUGAUUAAGAUAAAUCAUUUAAUGAAUUCAUUACAGUCUAUACCUAAAUAAAGUGCCCAACUUUAUUUAUCAACUGCGAACUAAAUUUAUUUAAUCAUAAGAUAACUUGUAUUUAUAUAUUCUGUGAAUCCACAUGGUGAUCACAUAAAUACAUAUAAUAUGAUUAAAUGGACUUUGAUAAAAAUAUUAAUGCAAUUAAGAUAUUUGAAUAAAAUACCUCAUUAAUUUUAUUAAUAAGAAAAAUAUUUAUUACAAUUAAAUAAAUACAUAUGCUUUUAAAGAGCAUAUUUUCCCAACACAUCAAACCUCUUAAUUACAUGGCCCUACAGAAUACAUACAGAAGGGAACCUCCUUACAAAAAAACUCACCCAUUUAUUAAAUGCUUCCAGAGAUUAGACUAGAAUGUUGAAUUUAAUCGGUACGUGGUUUCCUUCUUCCUGUCAUUAAAAUAUGAAGACAUCAGCAAUUCAGCAUAGGGCAAACAGUACAGAUUAAAUUCAAUUUUUUUUAAAAAAAAGAAUACUAGUGAUAUUAAUUGGAAGACAACAUUCAAGCAUAUAGAGAUACAUCUGAAUAUAAAUAGAUAAAGCUGCAAAACUUAAUACUUUUUAAAAUAACUUGCCAUGACAGCGUAUUAACCAGCCGUACACAACCGAUGUGAGAAAUGGUCAACAAAUAUAACCCAAUUCCUAACUGAGCUUUGUAUUUCACAUCUCACAAAAUAAACUCAUGAUGACAAAUCAAGAUGUCGUAGCAAUUCUCUUAGAGUAAAUUAAGCUUAACGUAUCUCAUAUCAUUUAGGCCCCUUUAGUUCUGCCAAUCAAUAGAAAAAAUGCUUAUAGUUGUAAAAUUUUCGGCGAUUUAACAUUCUUCUCAGUUUCUAGCAAUCAAUAUUGGAAAAUAAAGUAAAAAUAUUUCAGUGAAAUUACAUACUUUUCCUCUUAAAAUAAUCUCAACUUGUUAAGGAAGCACUUUAUGCAGAGCAUGAGAAAACAUAGCUUGGGUCAACUCAAGUCAAACUAUCAGAAGCUGUUAAGCAACGCAACAGUCCAGACUGCCAGCUCAGCACAGUUAGUUAAAGUUUGUUUUUACUCACAGUGUAUACUAAACAAAUGAUUAGCUGGAUUUAAUUCUUAGUUAGUUAUUGAUUAAUUAGUAUAAAUAGAAGUGAUGUAAUCAUUCUUAAUAAGAAAUAAAAGAUCUGGAAAAUUAGAAGAUUAUUUUCUCUGUUAUUUUCUUUGAAGCCAAACACUUCGUUUCAUAUUUCCUUUAUGGUAUCAGAGCAAUAAUCAUGGCGAACUCAAGUACAACUCACUCAAAUCCAAAUUUUCUUAAUCAAAAUCAACCUUUCAAUGUUUCAUUCACAUUUACUACUCCUAUAAAGCUUGAUCGAUCCAAUUAUUUGCUAUGGCGCAAACAAGUUCUCACAUCCAUAAAAGCCAAUCGACUUGAACAUUAUAUUUUUGGAAAUUGAGUUGUACCAGAUUAGUAUCUUCCUGAUCCAACUUCAACAUCAGAUGAAAUUUCAGAACAAAGAGCUGAGAAUCUAGCCUACAUCAACUGGCAUGCUCAAGAUCAGAUCCUUCUUGGAUGGCUGUUGUCUACAAUCAGUGAAGGUAUUUUAAGUUCUGUUUUAGGUUGUGAUACUUCGUUUGCUAUUUGGACCUCUAUUGAAAAACAACUUGGAGUGCAAUUCGAGGUUAGAGUGAUGCAACUUAGAUAUGAGAUGAAUAUUUUAAGAAAAGAUUCAAUGUCUAUUGAAGAAUAUUGUGGAAAAAUGAAAAUGCUUGCUGACAAACUUGCAUGUGCUGGUGACUCCAUAACUGGAAAGGACCUAUUAAUGAGAAUUCUGAAUGGCUUAGGAUUUGGUUAUUUGGAUUUAGCCUCUAUUAUCACUGCAAACAAAAUGGAUUAUGAUGAAGCAUAUGCCUUACUCCUUACACAUGAAGCUAGAUUAGAACAAACUCAGAAUGCUACAGAUGUGUUCAAUGCUAAUUAUAGCAUGAUGAAUGCAAAUUACUCUCAGUUUAAGGGUAAUAGUAAAAGAGGUUCAUAUGGAAGUGGAUAUCGUGGUGUUAAUAGUAAUUUUGGUGGUCGUAGAAGACCAAAUUUUGGUAGAGGCAUGUUCUUUCAAUAUUAUCCUAGAAGUUUUCCUUCAGGAAAUAGUAAUUUCAGUAGUUAUGGAAGAGGACAAUCAAUGCAUACUCACAUAUCAAUGCCUGCAAAUCUUUAUAUGCAUACUGGAAAUUCUAACGGCACACUACCUGUAUGUCAAAUUUAUCACAAGCAAGGGCAUACUGUUGAUGCUUGUUGGCAUAGGUAUGGUGAUGAUUUUGUACCUUCACCAAAACCUUUUGGUAGAGGUAGAGUUGCUAAGUCUACCUACUCGACUGCUUUUGAACCACAAUUUUCUACAUGUCCAUUUGAAGAAUCUUUUGAUAUGAACUGUCAACAACCAAUGUAUUACUCUCCAAACUCCAUCUCACCUUAUGCAUCAAAAGAUUUCACAACACUUGGAGCUGCAUAUGUUGCUAAUUUUGAAAGACAAGCUAAUGAUGGAUGGUAUCUCGAUAGUGGUGCCACUCAUCCCUUGACCAACAACAUGUUUAACAUGCAUGUCAGAGAUGAGCUCAAAGGGUCAGAUUAGCUCAUCAUUGGCAAUGGUCAAGGUUUGGCUAUUACUCAUAUUGGUGAUGCUUUCCUUUGUUAUAAACACUCACAUUCAAAUGCCAAAUCUAUUCAUACACAAAUAGCACUCAAAGAUAUCCUACUGGUUCCUUCAAUUACUAAAAACUUGCUAAGCAUGUCCAAACUCACCACUGAUAAUAACUUGACAGUUGAAUUUUCUGGUGAUGUUUGUUAUGUGAAUGAUACACUGAGGGGGGCAAGUUCUUCUGCAAGGUCUUACUGAGAAAGGAUUAUACAAGCUACUUUUAAAGCCAUCUGCACAAACACUUCCUUCUUCUUUUCUAUGUCAAACUAUUUCUAAUAGGCCUUUGUCAAUGUUAUUUGUUUGUCAUUCCAGUUUUAAUUGUCAAACCACUAUCUAGAGCAAAGUCUCAGAUAAUAAGAUCUGUCAUCAUACUGCUGUUGAUUCAUGCAAUUCAGCAAUGAAUAAAAUUCUUCUUUUGCAUAAACGAUUUGGCCAUCCCAAUUUUCAUACACUAAUGCAUUUGCUCAAACAAGUCAAGUCUAUUAAUAUUUCUCACAAGUCUAUUAAUAUUUCAAUGUCUAUUGAAAACAGCAAGCACUUGCAAUCAUUUGUAAAGAAUGUUAAAUGAGAAAAUCACAUAGAUUGCAUUUUCCUGGUAUUGAAACCAAAACAACCAAAAUUCUUGAACUAAUACAUACAGACCUCUAGGGCCCUUCACCUCAUCCUUCCAAAGAGGGUUAUUCAUACUAUAUUAGCUUUGCAGAUGACUUUAGUAAGUAUACUUGGAUUUUUCCUUUGAAACUAAAGUCAGCAGACUUAGAAGUAUUCAAACUCUUCAAACUGCAAGUUGAAAAACAAUUUGAUACCUCCAUUAAGAUAUUGCGAUCUGAUUGGGGAAAGGAAUAUAGACCAUUCACUAGCUUUUUGAAUCAAUAUGAAUUCCUAUUUAGACACCCUUGUCCUUACACACGUCAUCAAAAUGGGGUAGCUGAAAGAAAGCAUAGAUAUGUUGUUGAACUAGGACUUACCUUACUAGUUCAAGCUCACUUACCUUUAAAAUUUUGGUGGGAUGCCUUUCAUACAGUAGUGUAUCACAUUAAUAGAUUACCCUCUACCACUUUUCAUUUUGAUACACCCUAUGAGAAAUUGUUCAAUCAUAAACCAGAUUAUAACAUGCUUAGAUGUUUUGGUUGUUGUUGUUAUGCCCACUUAAGAGAUUAUAAUAGAUAUAAAUUUGACUAUCAUUCGAGUAAAUGCAUUUUUGUUGGAUAUAGUCCAUCUCACAAAGGGUAUAAGUGUCUUCAUCCUUCUGAAAAAGUAUACAUAGCUAGACAUGUUUUUGAUGAAAAUACAUUUCCUUACUCAAAUAUUUACGAGUCACAGAAAUCCAAUUUUUGCUCUCCUAUUUAUCUUACUCCUUAACAAGUCUAUCAUCUUACUACUCUAUCUGUAACUCAUUUUUCUCCUGAUGGCAGAUUGACUAAUCCUGAAUCUGUAAGUUCCAAUUGUAGUGGUUCUGACCACUUGGUUAACUCAGCUUCAACCCAGCAUACUAUACCAGAAGAACCUAUACAAUCUCACAUUUUACCUGUUCAACCUACAUCGUCUCCAUCCACUUCACCUAACAAUCAACCAAUACCUAUUUCAUCCAAUAUACAAACAUCAAUAAUCAUUCAACAACCUCAUCUCAACCAAACACACACCAAAUGAUUACCAGGAGUAAAGCUGGUAUCUUUAAACCCAAAGUAUACAUAGCAGUUCUUGAACACAAGGAACCAGAUACAGUUCAUGAGGCAUUACAUGAUCCAAAUUGGUUUGCAGCUAUGAAAAAUGAAUUUGAUGCUUUAACUCGUAACAAUACAUGGUCAUUGGUUCCAAGAACAAGUGAUCAAAAGAUAGUUGGCAAUAAAUGGGUAUAAAGAGUUAAACACAACACUGAUGGCAGUUUAGCUAAGUAUAAAGCUAGGUUAGUGGCAAAGGGUUUUCAGCAUAUUGCAAGGGUGAACUAUUUUGAGACUUUCAGUCCAGUGAUAAAACCAGCCACUGUCAGAGUUGUGCUAAGUCUUGCAGUGAUGAAUCAAUGAUCAAUUAGGCAAGUUCAUACAGAGUGUGCAUUGUGAAGUUAGUUAAGCUGGUAACUGUUGUUGACUUGGAUCUUCUGACGUGGCACUAAUGACAGCUGGUAACUUGACAUUCUUGUUACAAGGCUUAACACCAUGCUAAUUCUUCUUUUUCACUUCUGCAUAAUGAGCUAUCUUUACAACCCCCCUCAAACUCAAAGGACAUGGAAAGACAUUGAGUUUGUCCCUUAAGUAAUUGAACUGAGGAGAAGAUAAGGGUUUGGUUAGGAUAUCUGCAAUCUGAUCUUCACUUGGCACAUAAUAGAUUUUGAGGUCACCAGCUAACACUUUAUCUCGAAUAAAAUGAACAUCAAUCUCAAUGUGUUUAGUUCUUGAAUGGAACACAGGAUUCUUUGCUAGUUCUGUUGCACUCAUAUUAUCACACCAUAUUGUUGGUCUCUCUACACAACAUACUCCCAUUUCCAGAAACAAUGAUUUUAACCAAGCUAUUUCUAAAGCAGCUGAAGCAAGUGCCCUAUAUUCACUCUUAACUGAAGACUUAGUGACUACUGUUUGCUUCUUCAAAGACCAUGAAAUCAGAUUAUUUCCAAGAUACACACAGUAAGCUCCAAUUGAUUUCUUAUCAUCCAAGUCACUUCCCCAAUCUGCAUCAGUGAAUGAAGUAAUUUUCAGAUCACCAUCCUUAACAAACUUUAAGCCAUAAUCCUGUGUCUCCUUUAGAUAUUUAAGAGCCCUUUUGCAAGCCAUAAGAUGUUGCAUAGUUGGUGUAGAUACAUAUUGGCUCAGCUUAUGAACAGAAUAAGCAAUUUCUGGUCUUGUCCAGAUCAGGUACUGGAGACCACCUACAAUGCUUCUAUAAUGAGUAGCAUCUUCAACAUAGUAACCCAAUUCUCCUUUAACUAUCUUCUGCAACUUUGAGUCCUUGCCACUACACAUUGGUGUUAUCACUCCUUUACAAUCAAGCAUAUAUACUUUAGCAAGGAAAUCUCUUAUAUACUUCUUCUGAGAUAAAUAAAUGCAAUCCUGACCAUACAACACUUCUAUACCAAGGAAAUAAGACAAUCUUCCUAAGUCUUUCAAAGUAAAAACAGUAUUAAGUUAUUGAAUGAAGCUGUCCAAUUCUCCGCUGUUAAGUCCAGUAAGUAAUAUGUCAUUAACAUAUAUCAAUACCAUAAUGAGUGACAAUUUAGUUCUUCUUAAGAAUAAAAAAGAAUCAGAUUUGGAAUUUCUGAAACCCCAUUGCAAAAGACAUCCUCUGAGCUUUUCAAACCAAGCUCUAGGAGCUUGCUUAAGACCAUAUAAUGCUUUGUGUAAUCUGCAAACAUAGUUAGGUUUGCUUUUAUCAACAAAUCCUUCAGGUUGCUGCAUAAACACCUCUUCUGACAAUUCACCAUUUAAGAAUGCAUUGUUGAUAUCCACCUGUCUAACUAUCCACUGAUUCAUCACUGCAAGAUUAAGAACUACUCUAACUGUUGCUGGCUUUACCACUGGACUAAAAGUAUCAAAAUAAUUCACACCCUCAAUCUGUUGAAAACCCUUUUGCCACCAACCGAGCCUUAUAGUUAGCUACACUGCCAUCAGUAUUAUACUUUAUCUUAUACGCCCACUUAUUCCCAACAAUUUUUUGGUUUUCUGUUCUUGGUACUAAAGACCAAGUUCUAUUUUCAAUUAGUGCGUCAUACUCAUUUUUCAUAGCUGUAAACUAGUUUGUAUCUUGCAAAGCUUCAUCAACUGAAUCUGGCUCUUUGUGAACUAAUACUACAGUUUACAUUUUUGGCUUAAAAAUACAUGUUUUCCCCUUGUGAUCAUGGGGUGAUUGUUUUGUAAAGAUUGAAUACUGUUUGAGGUUAUUUGAGAUUGAGAUGGUAAUAGAAUUGGAGUAAAAUCUGAAGUGUUUGGUGAGUUUUUAUCAUGAGUAGGUUCAAGAGUAGGAUUAAGAUUUGGUGUUUGAAGUUGUAUAGCCUCAUUUGCUUGGAGGUGAUCUGCUGGUGGGAAUAGUUCUGUGCUGUUGGAACAUACUGGAGGACAGGAUUCAAAACUGCUAUCACAAGGAUUUGACACAACAUGAAGAGUGGACAAAUGAAAAACUUGAUGAGGAGACAAAGUAUAGCUAGAUAUUGGUUGUAUUUUGCUUUCAUAAUUGAAAUUAGGAUCUGAAGAGAAAGAGAAUGCAUUUUCAUCAAAUAUGACAUGCCUUGCUAUGUAUAUACGAUCAGAAUGAUGCAGGCAUUUAUAUCCUUUGUGAGUAGGGCUAUAACCAAUGAAUAUGCAUUUACUUGUGUGAUAAUCAAACUUAUGCUUAUUUUAAUCUCUCAAGUAUGGAUAGCAAGCAUAGCCAAAACAUUUCAGCAUCUUAUAAUCAGCUUUAUGUUUGAAAAGUUUUUCAUAUGGUGUCAACAUUUUAAGAGCUGAAGUUGGUAACCUAUUGAUAUGAUAAACUGAAGCAUGGAAAGAAUCCCACCAAAAAUUCAAAGGAAGCUUAGCUUGAGUUAACAAUGUAAGACCCAAUUCUACCACUUGUCUGUGCUUUCUCUCAACUAAGCCAUUCUGAUGAUGAGUAUGUGGACAAGAGUGCCUAAAUAAAAUGCCACACUGAUUUAAAAAUUCAGUGAAUGAUCUGUAUUCUCCCCCUCGGUCAGAUUGCAGUAUCUUAAUGGUUGUUUGGAACUGGUUUUCAACUUGCAACUUGUAUAGCUUAAAAACUUUUAAAGCUUCUUAUUUCAAUUUCAAUGGGUAAAUCCAAGUAUAUCUAGUGAAAUCAUCAACAAAGCUAAGAUAAUAUCUAAAGCAUUAUCUUGAAAUAACUGGUGAGGGACCUCAAAAAUCAGUGUGUAUAAGCUCAAGUGCUGAUUUGGUUUUGAUUUUUGUAAUUGGGAAGUGCAAUUUGUGUAUUUUACCCAAUUGACAUGCUUCACAGAAAUGUUGUGUUGCUUGUUUAACCAUAUUCAUAGAGAACUUCAUUAGCAUGAUGAAGUUUGAGUAAAUGCAAUAAGCUUUGAGAAUUUGGGUGGCCAAAUCUUCUGUGUAAAAGAGCUAUUUUAUUAGGCUUAUCAAAACAUACAUCAAUACCAUUCUGUAAACAAAUGUUUAGAUUAUUUAUGAACUCUACAGAUGGCAUAUGAGAAGCAAGAUGAUAGAAUGAUAACAUUGACAGAGGUUUAUUGGCUUGACUAUGAGACACAACAGAUGAUGACUCAAAAUUCUUGGUGGAAGACAUAGGUUUGACCAGCAGUUUAUACAAUCUUUUCUCAGCAAUGCCCUGUAUUAAAACUUGUCCCUUCAGCAAAUCCUUCACAACACAAAAUGAUCCAAGAAAUUCAACAGAAAUGUUAUUGUUAGUGGUAAGUUUGGAAAUGCUUAUUAGGUUCUUUGUGAUAGAGGGAACAAGCAAAAUAUCUUUAAGUGCAAUAUGUGAAUCUACAGGUUGAGUUUUGAACUCUUAAAUGAAAAAUAAGAACCACCAAUAUGAGUUAUUGAUAAACCUUUACCAUUACCAAUAAUGAGCUUAUCAUUACCUCUAAACUCAUCUCUGAUAUUCAGAUUUCCCAUGUUGUUGGUCAGAUGAUAAGUGGCACCACUAUCCAGGUACCGGACUUCAUCUGCAGGUCCUUCACAAUGUGCAGCAGAAGCAGCUCCAGCCUAGGGUAUACCAGAAUAGUCAGAUACACAAGAAUGUCCAGAAUGUGACAUUUGUAAUCCAGUACUAUUGAUAGGCCAUGGAUCAUCAUUUGUUGAAUAGUAAGGCAUGUAUGCAGGUUCAUAAUUAGCUAUGUAAGCAGACUUUGAACCUUUUUCUCUCUGAAAUUGUCUUGGUGGCUGAGGUAUGUAAUUUUCUUCAAAUUUGUGCCAACAUUCAACAGCUGUAUGUCCUGCUUUGAAGCAAAUCUGAAAUGUAUUCAUGGAAUCAUCACUGUUGGAUGCUUGUGAUUCAAAAGAAGGCAAAUUACCAGUACCAGAAAAACCAGUACUUCCAAAUGAACCUCUUCUAGAAGAACCAAAUCUAUUACUUCCCAUUAUCAUUUGAUUUCUUCCAUGAUUACCAAAAUGACCAGUUCCAGCAGGAAAACCUCUUGGAUGUGAGUUUAAAAAUAUUCAUCUACCAUUAAACAUGCCAUUUCUACCACCUGAAUGACCAUUAUAAUUGCCCUGGACACCUCCUGUAUAUCCUCCUCUCUUAGCUUGACCUCUUAUUUGAGUAUAGUAUGCAUUCAUCAUACUAUUAUUAUUCCAGUUAGACAUAUUAGCAUAGUUUGCAUUAAACAUGUGCUUUUCACUUUGACUUUGUUCAAGUCUGGCUUCAUGAGUGAGUAAUAAAGCAUAAGCAUCAUCAUAAUCCAAUUUGCUUGUUGUGAUAAAAGUAGCUAAAUCCAAAUAGCCAGCUCCUAAACCAUUGAGAAUUUGUUUCAACAUAUCUCUAUCUAAUACAGGACUACCAGCACACGCCAAUUUGUCUGUAACUUGUUUCAUUUUUAAGCAAUAUUCUUCAAUACUUAGUAAUUUUUUUCUUAAGACAUCAUCUCAUACUUAAGUUGAAGAACUCUACCCCCAGAUUGUACACCAAACCUUUUCUCUAGUGCUUUCCAUACAUCAAAUGAAGUAUUACAUGAGUGAACUAGACUGAGAAUACCUUCGGUUAUUGAGCUAAGAAGCCAGCUGAGUAAUGUUUGAUCUUGAGAUCUCCAAACUGUGCAUUCAGGAUUCUCGAUCUGUUUAAUGCUAUAAAUUGAUUUGGUGCAAUCUUUUCUCCAUUAAUGUAUCCUUCAAGUCGAUUUCCUCUAAUGGAGGCCAGCACUUGAUUUUUCCAAACCAUGUACUUAGAUCUAUCUAAUUUGAUUGGUGUGAUGAAAGAAAAAGUUGUUUGAUUUGUAGCUACUGUAUUUUGAUUGCUUGAGGUUGCCAUGAAUGGCUCUGAUACCAUGAAGAAAUUGUAAAAGUUGAUAAGUGCUGUUGUUUGGCAGCUGAGAAAAACAGAGGAAAAUUUCUUAUUUCAUUAAUGAACUGAUAUUUUGUACACAUUAACAAUCUCGAAUAUGUAGCUAUUUAUACAUGCUUUACAUACUCUAAUUAAUUGUUCACUAACUAAUUAUUAAACACAAGCUCACUCAGCUAACAAUAACAAAAUACAGAGUGUGCAUUGUGAAGUUAGUUAAGCUGGAAACUGCUGCUGACUUGGAUCUUCUGACGUGGCACUAAUGACAGCUGGUAACUUGACAUUCUUGUUACAAGGCUUAACACCAUGCUGAUUCUUCUUCUUCACUUCUGCAUAAUGAGCUAUCUUCACAAUAGCAUUUGUGAAAAUGUGGAGAUCCGCACUCAAGAAUGAUUAAAUCUAACUGAGCAUGUAUUUAUGUAACUCAAUUAAUUUCAUGCUAAUUAAUUAUGUGGUCAGGUGGUGGAAGAAAACAGGACUUCGGGAGAGGUUGAAUUUUGUAAGAGACAGAAUAAUGGAGAAUUUCUUCUGGACUGUGAGGGUGAUAUUCGAACCAGAUUUUGGAUAUAGUAGACGGAUGUCUACAAUGGUCAAUGCCUUAAUAACAACAAUAGAUGAUGUUUAUGAUGUCUAUGGGACUUUGGACGAACUUGAACUUUUCACGGAUGCAGUUGAGAGGUUACUUUUAUUUAAUGUCAUUUCUAUCCGUAUGAUUGUGUAUGGAAAAUGAUUUACUGAGGAUUAGUACUCAUCGUAUGAUAAACACUUGGACACAUGAUAUAAUUUUGUGAUUCCUAAUGAAUAUUGUUAAAAUUAUGAAGUAAUUAUAUAAAUUAUGUGAUAGUAUUGCCCAGCAUAAAGCGAGCACAUUAUUCACUAGAUCAUUACUCAGGAAUUUAUAAAUUUAUACACCUCUUUUAUUUUAAUUUAGUUGUAUUACAUUGUUAGGUGGGACGCUACUACAAUAGAGUAACUUCCAGACUAUACGAAGUUGUGCUUUCUUGCUCUCCAUAAUUCCAUAAAUGAAAUGGCUUUUGAUGCUCUUCAGGAUCAAGGAGUUGGCAUGGUCAUUUCUUAUCUUAAGAAAGCGGUACUAGUAGAUUAAACCUUUCAUUUUGAUUAAGGAAUAUUAUUCUCCAAUUACCUUAAGAAUAUCAAAAAGUUUAAAUAACUGCUAUGAUAACUAGUAUUAUCUCUACAUCAUUUCAAGUUUUAAUUUUAUGUAAACCGAUCACUUUUCUCUUAACUCCGUUAGUCACUAUUAAAAUAAUAUAAGAUAAAAGAUUAUUUUGCACCACCAAUUUACCAUGUGUUUUUCAUUUUAGGGUAAAUUGGUCUUUUACCUUAAAUUAUUUAAUGAUAGCUAAUAGAGUUAAUAAAAAAAUAUCUGGUUGAUAUAAAACUAAAAUUUGAGUUAGUGCCAAGAUAUUAUUCGAAAUUUAUGGUGACUAAUUAUAUUUAUAAUAUUCUUGAGGUGCUUGGAAAUUAUUUCCCUUUAAUUAAUUUAAUUUAUGCUUUUGUAUUUCAUAUUAUAUUAAUCAAUUCGAUAUACAAAAAUAAAACUUUCAGUGGGCAAAUCUAUGCAAAACAUAUUUAGUGGAGGCCAAGUGGUACGACAACGGCUACAUACCAACACUCCAAGAGUACAUGGAAAAUGCUUGGAUUUCGGUAGCAACACCUGUAAUUCUAGUCCAUGCAUACACUUCUACAGCAAAUCCAAUAACAACGGAGGGCUUGGAAUUCGUGAAAGAUUAUCCCAACAUAAUUCGUUGGUCAUCAAUAAUUCUACGACUUGCAGACGAUUUGGGAAAAUCAUCAGUACAAUUAAUUCAUUUUUAAUAUUAAAUUUGUUAUGGAAGAUAUCUCAUAUCCACUGACAACAUAAUAUAUUCUUAUUAUUAGUUGAGGAAUUAUUCUCAGCAGUAUAGGAUAUUCUCCAUAACAAAUUGUAGUACUCACAAUCUGAUUAUUAGAUAAUUAGUUAAUUGUUAAUGUUGUUGACAAUAAGUUUGAUUGAAUUAAUUAUUAGGAUGAACUGAAGAGGGGAGAUGUUCAUAAAUCAAUUCAAUGUUACAUGCAUGAAGUUGGAGUCUCAGAGAGAGAGGCUCGUCAAUAUAUACAUGAUUUGAUUGCUCAGACAUGGAUGAAGAUGAACUGUGAUCGAUUUGGAAACCCACAUUUCGUGUCCGACGUUUUUGUUGGGAUUGCAAUGAAUUUGGCGAGGAUGUCUCAAUGCAUGUACCAAUUUGGAGAAGGUCACGGACACGGUGUUCAAGAAAUUACUAAAGCUCGUGUUUUAUCUUUAAUUGUUGAUCCCAUUGCUUAAUUAAUUAUAUAUAACUAAGCCUUGAAUAAAAGAAAAACAUGUUGAUGCUCCGGCUAAUAAUAAUUCAAUAAAAUGAUAUAUAUGGUUACAUAGUGAGAUCCUUUUGUUUGCAAAUUUUUUAUUUUUAUAAAUAAAUCUUGUUUCAAUUUCCUAUCUUAUUGUCAUCUUUGUAGUACUUUGUAGGAAAUCGUUUCAACAUUUUUCAUUUAGAUAUUUGGAUUAAAAAAGUGACAAAGCACUAAUAAAAUGAACUAUAUAACAUCAUCAAUUAACGUACACUAUAACACUACAAGGCAUUAUUUAUUAACAUUUUAUCAGCCUUUAGUCCCUUUAGCAAUUUUCAUUUAAAAAUUAUAUAUCACAGGGCACACUGUCUGCAUACCGAGUUUUUGUCAUUUGAUAGAAAUAUCUAAAUAUAAUUUUUUUAGGACCAAUAAGCUCUUAAAAUUUCAGAGGCAACUUAUGUUGGCGACUGUAGCUGGUGGCACCUUUAGUUGUUUCUCUUCGAGCUCGUUGAACAUGGCGUUGAAAGCUUUCUUCUUUAGGCAGUUUGUCACCCAAUAGUCCACAUUACAAAGGUAGUAGUUAUGUUUACGCUUGACUUUCUCCUUACCGUCCUUCAAACCAUCCUUCUUUUGUGACAAUUUUUCUUAGCCAUCAUAAUGUGGUAGCUUAUCUCCUUUUAAUUUGCACCUCCACAUUUCCUAUGUUGGGGCUUAUCAUCCUUCUUUGGCUUAGAUGAUUCAUCAUUUCGAAAUUCUAUAAGUAUAUCUACCUCAGUGAGGGCAGUGGAGGUGUCAUUCACUUGGUACCAUUGAAGCUCCCGUUGUGCCCAUGGUUAGAGUCCUUCCAUAAAGAUGAACAACAAGUCAUUUGGGUUCAUGUUCUCGAGAUGGACCCUGUAUGCUUCAGUUCUCUCAUCUUUUUGUUAGCCUCUUACGCUACACUCCCUGGAUAAAAUUGCUUCUUUGGCUCGCGCUUGAACAAGUCCCAUGUGUUGAUAAUACACAUCCUGCGUAUAAUCUUUGCAUGCUUCUAUUGCCACCAAGUAGUUGCGUGAUCUUCAAGAUACCCCAUCGUAAUAUUUACCUCUUCUUGCUUGCCUUGAACAUUGGUGGUUUCGAAGUACCUCUCCAUGGACCACAGAAAAUUGUCAAUCUCUUCGGGCAUUUCGUUUGCCCUUGUACCUCUUUGGUCUCAGGAACCUCAAUCUUUAUUAAAGGUACGGCAUUAGUGGUGAGCACUUCGCUGGCCACCACCUUCUUUCAAAGUGCCCUAUUGCUCUUGGUCUCCUUAUGACCCGUGUAAAGCUCCUCCACUUGAGCUCUUAGCCCCUCGAUUUAGUUCAUCACUACAGCUUGGAACUUCUUGAGACUUUAGUGUUGCACCAUUAUGUCUUGGCUUAAGUCAACCAUUUGUCCCUCAAGAUUAUCAACCUCUUUCAUAUUUUGCAUGAAGAACUCGAGGCGCUCCUUUAUCUCAAAGACAACAAUCUCCCUACGAACAACCCAAUUCUCAAUGGCGUUCAGCCUAUCCACGGACUUCUCCUUGUGGUUCUUUCUCUUUUUCAAGUUGGGAUUUUGGUCCCUACCCCUUUGGUCAUCAUAAGUGAGAUCCGACAUUCUUCCUUUUAAAUGACGCAAUUACCCCAAGAGUGAUUAUGGCUUUGAUACCAACUAUCACGACCCUCUCGAUCCCUCACUGAAUCGCAGGGCCUUAGGUGCUAAAUCUCAAUCUCUUGGUCCUAAGUCAACCUUGCUCACUCACAACGUUACUUGAUUCAAAAGUGGGAAAGAGUAUUCACUCAAACUUGCUCAAGAUGGGAGGAAAGAACUCUAUUACUCAAGGAAAGCUUAUAGUGCUUUUAAGAUAUGUCAGUGCUGGAUUUCUUGUGUGUGUUGAGCCAAAUGAGGCCCCUCCUAUUUAUAGGGUACAAGGAAAUGUCUAGAUGAUGCUUUAAAACUAUCUACCUAUCUCAAUAAUUACAUGGAACUAUCUACAAGCUACCACAUGCGUUACAUGAGUGUAGAAAGCCUCCAUGGUUUUAGAACCUUCAUAGGUGGUUGCACUUUUGAGUCUCUCCCAUGAUGAUUUCUUGCUCUAGCUUGCUGGCCAAAAAAGGCCUCGUUAUGGUUCACAUUUUCUUUCUCCUUUAGACUUACUAUCACUUACUAUCACUAUCAAGGGCGUGUGACAUCUGAAAUACUUGAUCUUCAUCUAACAUAGGCUUGCCGAUUGCCGCAAGUUUGUCACAAAGCCCUUUCAAUUUCUUAAGGAAUUCUUUAAGCUCUAAGGAACCCUUCUUUAAAGAGUAAAAGUUAUUCUUCAACCAAAAUUAUUGUUCUUUAGUUGCAGAAGCAUGUGCUCUUCCACAAAUAACCAAAUAUCUCUAGUGGAAAGGCAUCCAACUAUAAUGGUCAUUAUAUCUUCGUUCAUCAUUCCCCGAAGCCAAGGCAUGAGUAAUCCAUCAUUAUUUUGCCAAAUAGUAAAUUCAGGGUUGUUGACCUUUUUUCCAUCUAGAAAUAUUUCUUGGUGGAACUGUUUCAUCAUUGAUAUGAUGCUCUAGAUCAAGGCUUCUUUUGAGUGGCAGUGGCAGGACUUGCGACUUCAAAGAAGGUAUUAUUGUUGUUGAGUUUGAUGGAAAUUAGGCUUGCACAUUGGUGGAAUGACUGGAUCGAGAGUUUGGGCUUAGUUUGUAUUUUUAUAGCCAUAGGCUCUGAUACCAUAAAGAAAUAUAGGAUUGAUUGAAAACAAUUUGUUUUCUUGUUUUUGUAUUUGCUCGAUCAUUACAUUAUAUACACAAAUUAUCAAAAUCAAGCUUGCACAAAUGAAAGGUUCUCAAAAUUGUAUCAAUUACACUAACUUCCGAGAAUCAUGACGUUGAGCGCUUUAUAUCAAAAUUGGCUUGUGGCCGUUGGACUCCUUCAAUCAUGGACACUGAUUUCUCUUGUGUCCGUUAGAAGUGUAUACCAGCGUCGUUCUUUCCUUAAUCUGUCCUCAGUAAACCCUUUAGCUAAGGCAACAAUACUGCCAUAUUUGUCACAACUGGUGACCUUGGUUCUUGUUGAUUUGUCUGAUGCUUUUGUUGCUUAUCAACUACCAUAGCGUAGUUUUUAUUUUCUCACUACAACCACCAAAAUAAUUUUAAAACCCUAGACCUUUUAUCUUCAAUAUUUCACUUAAGCCAUAACUAAAAGCUAGUUAGCAGAAGAAUAUCCAAGAUUUUCAUUGCAUGAAAAAUAUUACAGAUUGGAUCAGAAAAAAUAGAAACCAUGAGAUCUCUACGCUUGUGAUCGACAAAAGAAAUCUGGGAUGUAAAUUGUUAAGAUGAAAAUAAUAUUAGUUUAUUUAUAAAUUAUUAAUGAGUGUAGUCCGUAGGUGUCUAGAGUAGAAAUUAUCAUAAAAUUAUUUUUAAUAGUAAAUUAACAUGUGGGUAAUUUAGGAAUGAGUGAGGUUAUUUGCACUCUGCAAUGUACUUCAAAUAUUCAUUUUGUUUAAAAACAUUAUUUACUAAACUAGAAAAUUAAAUGUUUACUUAAUCCAUUUAUCAAAAUUCCAAAAUUAAACUCAAAUUCAUGAUUCAUCUCUUUUUUUUUUUCUUUUCCUCACGACAAUUAGCCAGUCACUUAUUAUUAUAUUGGGAUAUCAAAAGCUCUUUCUCGUUUGAGAGUUUCCAUAAUAUGGGAGCUCUCACUCGUGAUCAACUUUAAUUAUUUUUUUCAAAAUAACAUGUUAAUUCUCUCAUAUUCUUACAAAACUCCUUACAGACAAUAAAAACCUCCAACAGCACCACUCUGUUGGCCUUUUAAAUUAAGUGGUUGUAGGUGUAUUUUGUAUAAUGAAAGCAACUAUUAAUCAUUCAAAACUUAAUCGGCAGCUCAGUUUGUUUUUGGGCCUUUGAUUUGCUUUGGCCAACUCUACUAGUUCAAGGAAAAGCCCUUUUAUUACUCAAUUCUCUAGUCAAGUCUUCUCUAUAACAUGCUUAUAUGUAAAACAAAAAAUUAAUUCUGCCAAGUUGAUUUUUCAUUUAUCCCAUUAGAUAAACAACCAUUUUCAAAGUCUCAAUGAAUAUGACUGAAUGGUUCAGUAUGGCCAAUAAUAGACAAAACGCAAAAAAGAUAUGAGGAACGAGUGAGGAGUGAUAUUUGAUUUGUAUAGAUUAGUUCGUCCUUAAGACCUAGCACAGAUCAGUGGGUUUGAGCUCCGCUCAAGAAAGUAAAUUCCAAAAAUUAAAGAGAAAAUUAGGUAAAUUUCUAAUUAGAACCCAUUAGAUCUGCAAACAUACUCCUUGUUGGAUUUAUAAAAAUAGUCCCCAUAAACACAAAAAACCCUUAAAAAUUAAUUUUUAACUACAUAAAGAGAGGAAGAUAUUUGGUUUGUAUAGAUUAGAUCAUUCUAAAGAUCUAGCACAUGAUCAGUGGGGUUUGAGUUUCGCUUCAGAAAAUAAAUUCUAAAAAUUAAAGAGAAAAUUACUUGAGUUUCUAAUUAGACCCCUUCAAAUCUAUAAAAAUAUUCCCUGUUGGAUUUAUAAAAACAGCCUCCCAUAAACUCAUAAAUUCAUAAAAAUUAAAUUUUAACUAUAAGAAUUAUAAAAGUCCACUCUUUAAUUAAAAGCCCACAAUAACUCAUAUGGGUGGUCUUACUAUUAUUUAAUUAAUCCCUUUAUUAAAUCUAUUAGAAAAAAAUGAACCUCCAUAAACCUGAAAACCCCAAAAAUUUUAGUUUUUACAUCUUAUUCUUAUGUAUUCUAGCCCCCGGUAAAUUGUUUUUCUAGAUCCAUCACUCACAUAGAACCCCUUUUUACUAUUAUAUUCUUUGAUCAUUAUCUAAGUAUAUACUUACUGUAAACUGACAUAGAUACAUACAUACAUAACAUAAAAAUAAUAUAUAAAUAUCAUAUUAAAAGUAAAAUAUUACAAUAAGUAUAGUUAAAAAAAUUUACAUAUAUCUACUAAAAAGUAUUUUUAUAAUUAAUAAAAUAACAUAAAUAUUGAAAACUAAAUUUUAAUAUUAAGCGGUUAUCAGAUUAUCGUGAUUGAAUUUAUUAAUACUAAAAUACAUUAAUCUAAAAAUUGAAUAUAAGAUAUAUACUAAUAUAGACAUAGCUAAAAAGUUAUUGUAAAUAAAAUAAUGCAAAAACUGACUUUCAGAUUUAUAAUUUCACAAUAGCGAUAAUAAUAAUUUGAAUAUGGUUAAAUAAAGAGAAAAAAACAACAACAAAAAAGAAUAAAAUAAUAUUAAAAUGAUAAAAUUAAUUAGUUGUUUGUUUUGGUUACCAUUGAUGAUAACGCAACAAGAUAUUAAAGCCAGUAGUUAAUAAAAGUAAACAUAAUAUGAUUUAUAUAAUGCUUAUUCAUGGAGGCAUUAUAAAGGCCACUAUAACGCAUUUCUCAAUAUUCAUUCAUAUAUAUAGGGCCUCAUGUAUUUCUUAUGCAUCACCUCCUUUUAAUUUUAAUUAAGUUGUUUACAAUUAAGUUUAGAAAUUAUAACAUGUCGAAGAGUCUCAAUUUCAUUAUCUUGGCUUUGCUUUUGGUUGCAAGCACUGAAAACUCACAUGUUUCAAGCACUAGUAUCGGCCAAGAAUCUAAUUCUGCAAUAUCACCUGAUAGCGACAAGUGCUUUGGACUUACACCAGAAGAAUGUUACAAUAAGUAUCACCAUGAUAGUCAAGACUACACCAUCAUCUAUAACCCAUGAUUUUGUUAAAUGCUAUAUUUUAAUAAAAGAAGGAAUUAAUCCAUUAUGAGCAUGUGAUAUAUUGUGUUUGUUACAUGGUAUUGAUUUGUUGUAUGUAAUUUAUCUAUAUCUGUUAACUUUUCUUACCAUUUGACCCCUAUAAUUUUUCUUCCCAACCCCUUGAACAAAUAUUUACAGAGGAGUAGCUCAACAUGUUUGAAGAUUUUAAUUUCAAGGAGGUAUGUGUGAUCCAUUUGAUCUCUAGUUUACAACACAAAAAGUAUUAAUUUUUCAUAGCCUUGCAACACAGAAAGUACAAUUGUUUAAUUAUAAUCUUUCGGAUGCUACUUUCAUGCCCUUUUUUUUUUCUUUCCAACUAGCAAGCAAGAGCCUGCUCAAAGCAAUGUGAUGUAAGUGAUAACCAUUUUUGCUUAAUUGAUUUAUUUGUUUGAUUUAUAAUGUUUAUUUCUUGUGAUUUAUUUCUUGUGAUCUUUUGAAUGGUGAAAUCUUUUGAUGCGAGUUGUUGGCUCAUCUAGUUUUGUUGUCGAUCAUUAUUUGUUUAUUGGCAAAAUUGAUUACCUAACCAAAUAAUUAAAUUUUAAUAAAAAGAAGUAUUUGGAGAAAUUAUUUUAGUGUGUUUUCUCAUGAGUGUGAGAGUAAAUAAAGAUAAUUAAUCUAAAAAGCGAGAAAUUUUUUGACAUUUUAAAAAGUGUACAAUGUAUAAUUAAUUUUAAAAUUAAUAAAUGAGUGUGCAAAAUAAUGGAAUGUACAAGAUAAUUUAAAUGUGCAAGCAUUCCCACCCUUGUAUACUAUAUCUAUCUGCUACUAGGGUGUAAUUAUUUGUACUUUAAAAACACUUUUAACACCAAUAUUUUACCCUUCCUAAUUUCUAAACUUCUGUCAAUACUUCUACUCUAAUAUUUUAGAGGGGGUGUCAUUUGUCUAUAUAUGUAAUUUGUGGUUUUCUAUUGACUCUAUUCCAGUAUUGUGGUUUUUAUUAGUUAUUUUAUUUUAUUACUAUUUUUAUUUUAUUUUCUAUGUCACUUUUUUGUGAUGUCACUUUUUGCCCGCUAUGCAUAGAGUUUAAUUUAAAUCCAAAAAUUUGGAAUAAUGCUUUCACAAUAAUGAUAAUAAUUUCAAUAGAUUAAAUAAAGAGAAAAAAUCUGACAUAUAAAUUAAAUAAAGAUAAUAACACUAAAAAUGACAAAAUUAAUUAGUUGUGCAAGUUAAUAAUUAAUAAAAAUAAAAGCAUCUUUAAUGCUCAUUCAUGGAAUCAUCAAUAUUUGAGCUGAUACUGAUGGGAAAUAAGCCUAAGUCUUUAAGGAGACAAUGUGGUGGAGCAGGAUUUAAUGCUUGAAUUUGAUGCAGAUGGAAGUAUUGACACUGUUAAUUUUCGCCUUCCUGCUUUCUCUUCCUUCUAUAUAUAUAUAUAUAUAUAUAUAUAUAUAUAUAUAUAUAUAUAUUCUUUAGCAGAAAUGGAGAGAAGAAGAGGAUCGGAUUUUCUAUUCACAAGAUUUUUUUAAAAUUUGGUUAAUCUACGGUUUUCUUUUGGUUACGUUUGAGUACCAUGCUCUUUAAUUAUUUUAUUAUUUUCAUUUCAUUUUAUGUGUCACUAUUUUUGAUGUUAUAUUUUUCGCUUGCACGCUAUGUCUAGAGAUUAACGAGUUCGUUUAAAUUUGAAUAGUAUUUCACAAAAUACCAAUAUUUAUAACAAGCAUUAAAUAAAGAGAAAAAAAACCAAGUGAUAAAUUCAACAAAAAGUAAUACUAAAAAAAAUGAUAAAAUUGAUUAGAUGUAUGUUUCAAUUACCAUGAAUGAGAACACAACAAGAUAUUAAAGUCAAUAGUUAAUGCAAAUAAAUGCAUUACGACUUAUUCAAUACUCAUAAAUAGAAUCAACAACCUCAUAAAAUCCAUUAUACCUCAUUUCUCAAUAUUCAUUUAUAUAUGCAGAGCCUCAUGUGUUUGUUAUUCUUUACCUCUCUUUUAAUUCUCAAUAGGUUGUUUAUGUUUCAAUUUAGAAAAUAUAAAAUGUCAAAAAGUCUUGGUUUCAUCAUCCUAACUUAUUCAAUACUCAUAAAUAGAAUCAACAACUUCAUAAAGUCCAUUAUACCUCAUUUCUCGAUAUUCAUUUAUAUAUGGAGAGCCUCAUUUGUGAGUUAUUCUUUACCUCCCUUUUAAUUCUCAAUAGGUUGUUUAUGUUUGAGUUUAGAAAAUAUAAAAUGUCAAAAAGUCUUGGUUUCAUCAUCCUGACUUAUUCAAUACUCAUAAAUAGAAUCAACAACCUCAUAAAGGUCAUUAUACCUCAUUUCUCAAUAUUCAUUUAUAUAUGCAGAGCCUCAUGUGUUUGUUAUUCUUUACCUCUCUUUUAAUUCUCAAUAGGUUGUUUGUGUUUCAGUUUAGAAAAUAUAAAAUGUCAAAGAGUCUUGGUUUCAUCAUCCUGACUUCCUUGUAGUAGCAAGCACUUAAUACAUACUUAUUUCAAGCAUCAAUGUACUGAUCAAGAAUGUAAACUGUAUGUUUCAUUGUGUACCAAUUUUGCAACAUCACCAAAUAGUGGCGGCUGCUUGGAACUUACAAUUAAAGAAUCUAUCCUAACUCCCUUGAGAAUUAUUACGCCUUAUACCCCUAGAGCUUGUUAUUGGAUGCCAAUGAUUUUUUUAAAUAGUUAUUUGUCUUUUGCCAUAUGAAUAAUUUUGUUAUAACCAUCAAUUGUUGAGAAAUUGAUCCUAUAUUUUAAUAUAAUAAAGAAUUAAUUUAUUAUAAGCAUAUGAUAUGUUGUGUGUGUUAUAUUGUAGUACUAAUUUAUUGUAUAUCUUUGAAUCAAUUUAUGAGAGAGCAUUCAGUUAAAUAUUAAUAAUAAUCAAACGAUUAUAAUUACUUUAUUAGGACCAUUUGUCCUAUAUAGGAUUUGAGUCCAAUGCUUAGCCAAGCUUUUUGAUAGUUUUUGUUCUAUUUCAGUCUCUAUACAUGCUAAUUAAUGAUUUGCUUCUCUUGGCCUUUCUCAUUUUGGUUGGAGCUGGCAAUGUUCUUACUCAAACUCCAAGCCCUCGCUGAUUUCACCUCUAAAAAAGUUUGCUAUUCUCAGUAUGAACGGUUGCAAAAGCUUGAAAAGUCUUUAAGAUAGAAUUUAUUUGGAAUUUCUUAAUAUCUAGGAUGAUUAAAAAAAACAAUUUCAUAGUUUCCAUACGUUCAUGAAAUAAAAAAAAAACCACAAAAUUGAAAGAAAAAGGGGAAUAAAACCAAGCAAACGAUAUUAUUUUCAUUAGGCUAUUAAGAGAAACUAAAUCUUAACCAUUAAAAUUCAUAAAAAGCACAUGUCACAGUAUUUUACAAAAGCUAAUAAAAAUUUAGCUAAACACCAAAUCUAAAUCCUUUUUAUUUUAUGUCUAUCUCCAAUUAGGGUUAUUUAAAAUAUAAACAGUACUUUAACAUGCAUAUUUUACUCUUUUUUAUAUUUUUAAUCUGUCUUUUAAUACAUUUUUAUUUUCUAUUUUAAUAUUUAAGAGGUGGGACUAAUUUUUCUACAUGUGAUUUGAUUUAAGGACACUUAUGUAAUAAAAUAUUUUAUAAAAUGAAAGGUGUUCUUAUCAAAUUUUAAUGUCCAUGAAUCCAAAUCCUUUGAUGACAUUACAAAAUAAAUAAACAAGUAGAAAAAUGGAUUAAGGUCACACCAACAUACAAUUACAAAUAUAAAAAAAAAAUCAUAUUUCAAUACAAUUUAGCUUUUACUAGUUAUUUUGUUUUAUUAUUAUUUCAUUUUCUAUGUCACUUUUUUUUUAUGUCAUAUUUUUCACUUGCACGCUAUGCCUAGAUAUUAAUGAAAUCAUUUAAAUACGAAUAACAGGAUUAAAACUUUACAAAAUAAUAAUAUUUAUAAUAAUAAGUGCAUUUUGCUGAAGAAAACAAAUUAUCAGCAAAACAAACGAACAUGGAGUUAGAGGAAUCAGAAUGACUGCAAAAGUAAUUGAAAAAAAAAAGGCAACUUUGAAAGAAAAAACUAUUUCGGCCACAAGAAUAUCAGAAACAGUGUGUAAGCUCGCAAAAAACCUUCUCCACCCAAAAAAAAAAAAUAAUCUAGGUUGAUGUAAAAGUAUGUUGAGAUGAGGAUGGCUGGGACCCAAACAGAGGUGUAAAGGGGCAAAUUAUUGAGAAUGUCAGAAGUUACUUGUGUAUAUACAGGUAAAUUGACCACAUCGGACAUUUUUUUAUGGAAAAACAGAUCACUAGAUCAACUGAAUACCAAACUCACCUGCUCAGCUGUAAUGCCAUUCUCAAAAGCAUUAUACAAACUUUCUUUCAUUGUUGCUCCGACUGUAAGGUUUGGAAGUUGAUACUCUAUCCUGCACAUUGGCAAAAUAUUCAACAAAAGGUUUUAGGACUGACCAAUGUAGUUCAAUAGCAAAAUGUAAUUCAGAACUUUAACCUAGAAGAGAAACAAUUUAUCAAGUAGAUGGCUAGCUUACUUUGAGAAAAGACGCAAAAUUUCACAGUGUAGCUUAGAUGUUGAAUAAGCAUACAUCCUUAAGUUUGUUUCCACUACAACAAACCCCUAAAGAGAAGAAAAUGUAGAAUGAGCUAUGUAAUUAGAGAAUGUAAAAAUGAGACCUCAUUUUGGUUUUUGACAAUAAUAAUUUAACAAGAUUGACCUAAACUAAUAGAAAAUUAAUGCAGUUUGCAAAGCAAAAUUAUAAUUUUAAAAAAAUUUAAUCACACAAUUUUCUGCAAUUGUAGGUAUAAACCAACUUUCUUUCCUGCCCUGAAUAGCUAUGGAAAACAUCUGAGAACUCCAGAAAAUAAUACAAAAUUAACAAAGAUAACCAGCAUUUUCUGUAGCAUAGACUAGUACAACCUGCUGAAGUUUGACCAAUCCCAAGUCUGCAAAGUCUUUGAUCACACUUCUUUGUAUUUCACUCAGUGUAUUUAAAUUAUAUGCCUAUAACAUGAAGAAGCAAAGAGUAUAGCAAUAAAGUGAGAUCUCAAACCACUUUGAGAAUUCCUUGACAUAAAAAUUUUAAGGACCUCAAGAUGCUGAGAAGUUAAAAGCAGGAUAGACAUAACCUUACAAAAAUGAAUAAGUUGCUCAUCUGGGAAUGAUUCAUGGAAUCGUAAUCGUUCUCGAAUUGCAUCAAAAUUGAGGCGAGAAAGAUGAUCUGCCACCACAUCUUUUAUGUCUUUCUUAUCUUUGAACUCAAGGUCAAAUUCCUACAAAAAUAACACCCAACGAAUUAGUUUGACCUUUACAUCUUUCUUUAUAAAAAGAUAUUUAAGAGUAGUAUAAUCUGUGAGCACAAUUAUUUUAUAUCCUAUAAGAAACUUUUCUAAUGAAAACAUUACUAUUACUAUUUCUUUUUUAGUAGUUGAGUAAUUCAAUUGUGUAUAAUUCAAUGUCAUACUAGCGUAGUCAAUGAGAUGAGGGAUAUGAUUAACUUUUUGUUCUAAUACAACUACUAUUAUUUGUACAAGAAUGUUAAUACUACUAAUCAGGCAUAGUCUCUUGAGGGUAUGUUGUUCCUCAAGCCUUAUUCACAACUAAUCAAUGUGGAGCACGAGAUGUCAGUAUGGAAAAUUCUAAAAGAGAUAUUGUAAAAAUAAGGGUAAUGUUAUAAAAUUAUGUUGCAGGGGAUUAUUGACUAUUAUGAAAAUAAUAGGUGUCAUAACCCAAUCCAGACUUGGCAAGAUAUUGUCCACUUUGGGCCUUAAUAAGGCUCGCACGGUUUUGUUCCUAGGGCGCUCAUACACCCCAAAACGUGCUUGCCAGUUAAAGUGUAGAUUACCCCUUAUAAAUCCAGCAUCUCUCUCGUGCUUUGUCGAUGUGCGAUUUGCCGGGGGUAUUACAUUCACCCCCAUUGGGGACUCAGCAUCCUCGCUGAGGCUUGCCCCACCAUUGCUCAAGAGGACACGCGGAACUGCUCUAAUACCAUAAUAUCAUGACCCAACCUAGAUCUGACAAGAUAUUAUCCGCUUUGGGUCUUAAUAAGGCCCGUACGGUUUUGUUCCUAGGACGCCCAUACACCCCAAAACGCGUCUUGCCAAUUAAGGUGUGGAUCACCCCUUAUAAGUCCAGUAUGUCUCUCGUGCUUUGUCAAUGUGGGAUUUGCCUAGGGUGUUACAAUAGGUGCAAGUGGUAUACAUUGAUUUCAUUAGUGAAAAAUUGGCAACCUCCCGAUUUAGAAUUAGGGAUGGCAAUGGGGUGUGGUAGGGGUAGGGAGGCCUAUCCCAUUCCCCACCCCAUUAAAAUUUUUUGCCUCCAUUCCCCACCCCAUUCCCCAAUAAAUUUAGUGGGGUGGGGAUGGAGAAUCCCCAUGUGGGGAAUAAUUUCCCCAUCACCACUCUAUUCCCAUUUACUUAUUUUAUAUUAGGUAUAAAUACAUUAAUGCAAGAUCGUUAAUGGGGUAAUAGUUCUCUGGGGAUUUUGAUGCAUUCAAAGACCAAAGCUCCAUAGGCAAAGAAAAAGUCCUAUAGGCAAGAUCGUUAGUCCAAUACCCUUCAAGAAAAAUCAAAAGUCCUAAUUUUGUCAAUUAAAAUCUUGAGUUCUUUUGCAUAAAAAUCAUAAAAUUCAUUCAAUGAAAAUUCUCAAAUUCUUCGAAUAAUAAAAAUUCCUUAAGUGAAGUCAUGAGUUCCAAACAGAAAUUUUUAAAUAUUUGAUAAUUCCAUGUAUCUCGUACAUAUAUUUAAAAUCUGAAAACAAUUUUUUUUUUAUAAAUGGUGAUAAGAAAGACUAAACGCAACUUUAGCUCAGCCAAUUUAGUUUAAAACUUUUGAUUAUUUUCAUCAAAAGUUUAAAAACUUUCGGGGAGUAAUAUCAGGGAAAAUCCUUAAGCAGCUCGGCGGGCGGUCAUAGGAACAACCAGACAGUACCCCUGUAAUGGUGUUCCUCUAUUAGCAACAAAACAAUUUGGUGAAUUAUUAUUAAUUAGUUCUAGAAGUCAAUUCAAACUAAAACCGUAACUUCAGAAGAUCAAAAUGGAAUUGAAAACCAGAAGAGAAUAACAUAACAAAGCAUCUGCACUAACUGAAUUCAAAUGGCCAGAACUAUAAAUAGAGACUACAAAUUCUUGUAAAGACACGGCAAUUUGAAAAGCAACAAGAGGAACAUUGCCAAUUGAAGGUCACUACCCAGGCGUCUUCCAGCAAGCUUCCAACAGACAGUUCAAGCAGCCAUGACCUUUUUCGUCACAACAGUAAAAAAUGAAAAUUUAAAAGAAAAAAAUAAUAAUAUAAGUACACGUACUCUUUGUCCACGAUGCCCUUAAAAGCCUGAAUCCCCAAGGAUCUAGGUCUUUUGGAAUUGGAGGUUGCAUCAUAGCUUUUGUUGAUUUAAGAGUCACGUCUCUUGCAAACGUAAAUAGGCUUUCACCUUUGUAAGCUGAAAGGAAAUACAAAAAGGUAUAAGAUGUAGAAGUCAGCUGUCACUGACAAACCGAGCAUAAUGCACCAAGUUUGAAAGAGAAGAAAGUACAAGAAUGCAUCAAAUCCCAAGAGACUUAAAACUAUAGACUUCCUGUUUUAGAUAAACAAAACAAUAAAAUUAUAGUCUUUGUCAACACCUGGAAGUGCAAGGAGAAUAUACAUAUAGAAGCCUAAAGUCGGGCUCCCUCUCCUACUUUUUCAUACUCUGUUUUAUUUAAAACGUGUUGAAUGACCUGGCUAACAUAUAGAAUAUAAUAUGGAACGAAGGAAUGAAGUACUUAAAAACAUGUAUUCUUGAUUGCCUUCAUAAUCAUGCUCUCGGUUAUUAUAUCAAUUGAAGAAGAAAAAUCAAUAAAGCGAUAUUAAGUAACUUUCCCAGUAAAAAGACACAGAAGGAGACAGACCAUGAAAGAAAAAGAUGAGUAACCUGAAGUAACUUAAAGGUCUCGUGAUCAGUGUCUGCAUGGUAUCGAUUCUCAGCCUGGUAUCAAGACAGUCUAAUUGGAAAUCAAGCAUAAGAAUUCGAGCCAUCUGUCGCUGGCUGCAUUCUGGAAUGUUAAAACCUCAUGGUGUGAACCUAUGAGCUUCAUCAUAUCUACGGAAUUUCUUCUAUUUUCUGAACUCUCCCUACUAGCUACCACUCAUAAAGGACAACCAUGGAGUUCAAGUUUUUCGGUGGGGUUUAAAAGUAACUACCCAAAUAAACUUUUAUCUUUAAAAUUGAUUCAAUUGGAAACAUUAACACAAUAAGCAAUUGAGCCAAGAAAAUAAAAAUCCCCACAAGCAAAAGCAUUGGAAAUCAUUGGUCAUCAGGAAGGAAAAUCUCAGAACGGUUUUGACCUAUCCAUUCCACUCAUAAGGGAAAGGCAAAAUGCUACUUCUAUGCCUGUUUAUUCUUUAAGGUACUUAUAAUUUGAUGACUGUUUGAUUAAUCAAUAGUAUAUACCAAGUAAGAAUUAAAAACAUUACCCAAUAUUUCGAAUUAAAAACAUUACCCAAUAUUUCAUGCUUCUUUCCUCAAUUCGUCCACAUAACAUGCUGCAUUUGGGGUUACAAAUUACAAUUGCCCUUAAGUCAUUAUUAACACCAAUCAAUUUACAAGGUUUACUCACGGGCACUCACUAGUUACUCAUCAAAGUCUUUUAAUUUACACUGAUUUUCGGCAGUAAAAUUUCCGACUUGCACGCAUUUUAGCUUCCAAUACUUGGUAAUUAUAAUAAUAAGUCUUGACAACGCAGUCAAAAGCGAACAAUUAAAAAAAAACGUAAACGUACUCUUUGUCUGCGAUAUGAGAAACCAAAUCAACUUGAAAAUUCCAAAGUUAAUUUUUAAUAAAAAAAGUAUAAUUGGAAAUGAACAAGAAAACAGGUGACUGCUUAUUCUUGAAGAGUAAGACGAAAAAAGAAAGUCGAAACUUGGCGGUUGAAGAAACCAUCCUACCCUUAAUUGAGAAAUUACUCAACUACUUCAAUUCCUUAUAAGUCUUUAGAUAUAUCAAAAGCAAAGCCACUUGCAAACAAAAGUAACAACUAACAAGCCAGCUCGAUAGGCCAAAUCGUUCAAAUUUAAGGUGAACAAGCUCCGUUCAAAAAAGUACUUGCACCAAUUAUCCCCGGCUUCAACUUUAAGGUGCGGAUAAUAAUGAUGAGCAUUAACGAUAUCAUAAGAGUAAUUUAGACAUUUAACACUAGGAAUGACGGUGAGGUGAGGUGGGGGUAGAGAGACCUGCCCCCUUCUCCACCCCAUUAAAAAUCUUUCCUUCAUUCCCCAUUUCAUUCACCAAAAAAUUUAUGGUGCGUUUAUUAAACUGGAAUCAGGAUUGGGUUGGAAUGAGAAUCACGAAUGAGAAUCAAAAUAAAUUAUUUACUUGAAUAGUAGGAAUUGGAAUUGAAAUGAACUUCAUUUCUAUUAUUGUGUUUACUUUGUCAUGAAAUUUGAAUGAAUUAUUUCAAUUUAUUAAAAUACCCUUCGUUAAUUAUUAUCAUUUGGUAAUAAUAAUAAUAAUAAUAAUAAUAAUAAUAAUAAUGAUAUUAAUAAAGAACAAUAAUAACAACAACAAUAAUUACAAUAAUUAUAAAUAAUACAUGAGAUUUAGUUUAUGACGGAAAGAACUGCUUGAGCCAAUCUAAGAAUAAAGGUGAGAACGAAAGGCAAAAAAUAAUCUUUUGUCUCAAAAUAGUUAUAAAACUCGCGUCCCCUCAGAUUUAGUUUAUGCAGGUUCUAUCACAUAAGAUUUUGUGCUGACCACAUUAUAAUACUAUGCGGUGCAAUUGACAAAUAUAAUAUUAUAAUAUUUUAUACAAUGAAGAGUUAUGAUAAGGGCAGCAAUGUUUUUACAUUCAUUUCUAUCUUUUACUAGGAAAAAUUAUUGCUCUACAUUUUCGAAUGCAAAUAGAAAAUGUUCAUAAUUAGAUCCACUUGUCAGUUUGUCUACAAGCCACAAAAUGGGCACUCGACAAAGCUGUGUAAGUAAAAAAUAAAUAAACAAAAGGCGGACUUACAAAAUUGAAUUUUGAUUAAAUUGAUACAAAUUUUUACAAAAAACUUCCCAACAAAAUUCUAUAAACUUCCAUCAUUCAUAUUUCAGUCAUAUUAAGUUAAAUUAAAGAUCAAAUAUACAGAGAAGAUAACACAACAAUUUCCUCUUUUCGUAUUUUCUAGUGUACAUCCCUCAAAUGUAGGGAUUGGAUGCCUUUUUGUGGACUUCAACCAUACCUCCGUUUAUUUUAGGUAGAAAGAAUCUUUGAUUUCUUUUUUUCCCAUCUGGUUUGCAAUGAAUCUGGAAAAUGCCUCUGGUAGCUUUAAUGCAGAUACGAAUUAGGCAAGAAAAACCCAAAUUAUGACAACCCUACCAUGCAACAAUCCCAAGCAACACAUGGCUUGUCAUCCUUUUUGUUCAAUAAGUUCUGCAUGGCCAAGAAAACAUAUCAUUCUACUUGUUUUGACCCCGAAGGAACUCUCUCAUGUGCAUAUGAAUUUCUGCAUUAACAACUAGACGCAUUUUCUUUGAAUCCUCCCAAAGCAAACCACUUUGAUCUCUUGCAUAAUCACAAGCAGCCUCAAAGACAUCCUACAAGAUUUAUGAUGUAACUUUAAAAUGUAAUCCCUAAAAGAUAUGAGAUGAGAAAUGAAUCCAAUUAAAAUGCUCAGAUUACCCUCGAGGGAAACUCAUCAUAAUAAUGCGCAGGGGUCGUUUCAACCCUAUUCAAAUCGGAUUCCCACAAUCUUAUCUGUCAAAGAAACAACAGAAUUUGAAACAUUAGAAUAUAAAUAAUCAUCUUUGUUAAUUGAUAUGUACUAUGUAGAAAAUAUUGAGAAUUUUGCUAUGGAAGGUCAGGAAGCAUUGAUACGUGCAAUACAUCUGAAUGCAGGAAAGAAUUAUGACCUGAUCACAAACAUUUUUUGGUACAGAUGGUAUUUUGUCAGCAACCCAAGGAUGUGCAUUUUGCUGAAGAAAAUAAAUUAUCAGCAAAACAAACGAACAUGGAGUUAGAGGAGUCAGAAUGACUGCUCUAACUCCAUGAAAAAAAGGCAACUUUGAAAGAAAAAACUAUUUCGGCCACAAGAAUAUCAGAAACAAUAUGUAAGCUCGCAAAAAACCUUCUCCACCCAAAAAAAAAAUAAUAAUAAUCUAGGUUGAUGUAAAAGUAUGUUGAGAUGAGGAUGGCUGGGACCCAAACAGAGGUGUAAAGGGGCAAAUUAUUAAGAAUGUCAGAAGUUACUUGCAUAUAUGCAGGUUAAUUGACCACAUCGGACAUUUUUUUAUGGAAAAACAGAUCACCAGAUCAACUGAAUACCAAACUCACCUGCUCAGUUGUAAUGCCAUUCUCAAAAGCAUUAUACAAACUUUUUUUCGUUAUUGCUCCGACUAUAAGGUUUGGAAGUUGAUACUCUAUCCUGCACAUUGGCAAAAUAUUCAACAAAAGGUUUUAGGACUGACCAAUAUAGUUCAAUAAAAAAAUGUAAUUCAGAACUUUAACCUAGAAGAGAAACAAUUUAUCAAGCAGAUGGCUAGCUUACUUUGAGAAAAGACGUAAAAUUUCACAGUGUAGCUUAGAUGUUGAAUAAGCAUACAUCCUGAAGUUUGUUUCCACUACAACAAACCCCUAAAGAGAAGAAAAUGUAUAAUGAGCUAUGUAAUUAGAGAAUGUAAAAAUGAGAUCUCAUUUUGGUUUCUGACAAUAAUAAUUUAACAAGAUUGACCUAAACUAAUAGAAAAUUAAUGCAGUUUGCAAAGCAAAAUUAUAAUUUAAAAAAAAAAAUUCAAUCACACAAUUGUCUGCAAUUGUAGGUAUAAACCAACUUUCUUUCCUGCCCUGAAUAGCCAUGGAAAACAUCUGAGAACUCUAGAAAAUAAUACAAAAUUAACAAAGAUAACCAACAUUUUCUGUAGCACAGACUAGUACAACCUGCUGAAUUAUGAUCAUUAUGUUGGAGAAAAAUCAAUUUUUUCAAUUUUUAUAAAACCUUUUUAAGAUCGCUCUCAUAUAAUAUAUAAGAAUUUGUAAUUUAGAAAUCGUACCUUGAAAAUCCGAUUUAGUUUUUUCCGCUGAAGUGAUUUAGGCUCCCAGAUCACGAUCCGUCACCACCACGCUUGUUAUAUCACGAACUGUCACCAAUGAUCUUCCAGGUUAUGACUCAGGUUUGAUCUGCACUUGACGUGUGGGCGCCUUUAUUACUACCAAAGCAACUAGUACGAGAAAAUUUUUCUUUCAAUAAUCGAGAGAAAAAUCUUUUUCUCUGAUCUGUAUAAAGUGGCUGCUCUCUCUUUCUUUUAGAGAAAAUAAGCCUGGACCCACCUUGUAAAAUAACAUAAGGCCCCUUACACACAAGCUAAUUAAAUGAAGCCUCCCACUAAAUGAUAUAUUUAGGCUUUUGACCCAAAUAACUAGUUAUCUUGCUUAUUAAUCCAGUAGUGAUGCAGUCAAUUAAAUGAGCUAACCCGGGGAUUAUUUAGGAACAUACAAUAGUGGCUAUAACAAUUAGGCCUGUAAUUAAACUAGCCUAAUUAUUUAAUUCUAAAUUUACUCCACUAAAAGAUUGGAAUUGGCCUCCAUAAUUGUAUGCUCGAAUAAUAAUUCAUCCCAAGCCACAUUGAUUUCUUUACUGCACAAUCAUUUGUACCACAUCAUUAAUUAAAUCGAUAUCUCAACUGUCCAAUCAAUUUAAUUACAUCUUGUUCCUUGAUACUUACUGGUUUUCUCUAAUGAUCAUUUUCAACAUACUAAAUAUGUUUGACACACUCUGGCCAGAGAAUUCUAUGAUCAAGUGCCGAAAACCCAUCAAGAGAUGUGUUUUACAAAUUCUAUAUUGUUAAUCCAUAACUCCAAUACUCAUAAUUGCUCCCACAAAGAUACUGGGUAAUCUUGACCACAAGUACGUGUCGUGCCCAUUGGUAACUCAAAUGGAAUAACAAUUACAAUCAUGAAAUCAUAAUUAACUCAAUAUUAAGAUUACAGUAAAAUCAAUGCCUAUGAGAUUUAAUAAGUCUGACAGUUAUUACAAAGUUAAUUAAAUCUCAUAUGUGAUCCUGUUCAAUGUAGUCGUACUACAUCAAUAAAUUCAUACAUGAUUAAGAUAAAUCAUUUAAUGAAUUCAUUACAGUCUAUACCUAAAUAAAGUGUCCAACUUUAUUUAUCAACUGCGAACUAAAUUUAUUUAAUCAUAAGAUAACUUGUAUUUAUGUCUUCUGUGAAUCCACAUGGUGAUCACAUAAAUACAUAUAAUAUGAUUAAAUGGACUUUGAUCAAAAUAUUAAUGCAAUUAAGAUAUUUGAAUAAAAUACCUCAUUAAUUUUAUUAAUCAGAAAAAAUAUUUAUUACAAUUAAAUAAACACAUAUGCUUUUAAAGAGCAUAUUUUCCCAAUACAUCAAACCUCUUAAUUGCAUGGCCCUAUAUAAUACAUACAGAAGGGAACCUCCUUACAAAAAAACUCACCCAUUUAUUAAAUGCUUCCAAAGAUUAGACUAGAAUGUUGAAUUUAAUCGGUGCGUGGUUUCCUUCUUCCUGUCAUUAAAAUAUGAAGACAUCAGCAAUUCAGCAUAGGGCAAACAGUACAGAUUAAAUUCAAUUUUUUUUUAAAAAAAAAAGAAUACUAGUGAUAUUAAUUGGAAGACAACAUUCAAGCAUAUAGAGAUACAUCUGAAUAUAAAUAGAUAAAGCUGCAAAACUUAAUACUUUUUAAAAUAACUUGCCAUGACAGCAUAUUAACCAGCCGUACACAACCGAUGUGAGAAAUGGUCAACAAAUAUAACCCAAUUCCUAACUGAGCUUUGUAUUUCACAUCUCACAAAAUAAACUCAUGAUGACAAAUCAAGAUGUCGUAGCAAUUCUCUUAGAGUAAAUUAAGCUUAACGUAUCUCAUAUCAUUUAGGCCCCUUUAGUUCUGCCAGUCAAUAGAAAAAAUGCUUAUAGUCGUAAAAUUUUCGGCGAUUUAGCAUUCUUCCCAGUUUCUAGCAGUCAAUAUUGGAAAAUAAAGUAAAAAUAUUUAAGUGAAAUUACAUACUUUUCCUCUGAAAAUAAUCUCAACUUGUUAAGGAAGCACAUUAUGGAGAGCAUGAGAAAACAUAGCUUGGGUCAACUCAAGUCAAACUAUCAGAAGUUGUUAAGCAACGCAACAGUCCAGACUGCCAGCUCAGCACAGUUAGUUAAAGUUUGUUUUUACUCACAGUGUAUACUGAACAAAUGAUUAGCUGGAUUUAAUUCUUAGUUAGUUAUUGAUUAAUUAGUAUAAAUAAAAGUGAUGUAAUCAUUCUUAAUAAGAAAUAAAAGAUCUGGAAAAUUAGAAGAUUAUUUUCUCUGUUAUUUUCUUUUAAGCCAAACACUUCGUUUCAUAUUUCCUUUAUGGUAUCAGAGCAAUAAUCAUGGCAAAGUCAAGUACAACUCACUCAAAUCCAAAUUUUCUUAAUCAAAAUCAACCUUUAAAUGUUUCAUUCACAUUCACUACUCCUGUAAAGCUUGAUCGAUCCAAUUAUUUACUAUAGCGCAAACAAGUUCUCACAUCCAUAAGAGGCAAUCGACUUGAACAUUAUAUUUUUGGAAAUCGAGCUGUACCAGAUUAGUGUCUUCCUGAUCCAGCUUCAACAUCAGAUGAAAUUUCAGAACAAAGAGCUGAGAAUCCAGCCUACAUCAACUGGCGUGCUCAAGAUCAGAUCCUUCUUAGAUGGUUGUUGUCUACAAUCAGUGAAGGUAUGCAUACUGGAAAUUCUGAUGGCACACUACCUGUAUGUCAAAUUUAUCAUAAGCAAGGGCAUACUGCUGAUGCUUGUUGGCAUAGGUAUGGAGAUGAUUUUGUACCUUCACCAAAACCUUUUGGUAGAGGUAGAGCUGCUAAGUCUGCCUACUUGACUGCUUUUGAACCAUAAUUUUCUACAUGUCCAUUUGAAGAAUCUUUUGAUUGAACUGUCAACAACCAAUGUAUUACUCUCCAAACUCCAUCUCACCUUAUGCAUCAGAAGAUUUCACAACACCUGGAGCUGCAUAUGUUGCUAAUUUUGAAGGACCAGUUAAUGAUGGAUGGUAUCUCGAUAGUGGUGCCACUCAUCCCUUGACCAACAACAUGUCUAACAUGCAUGUCAGAGAGGAGUUCAAAGGGUCAGAUCAGCUCAUCAUUGGCAAUGGUCAAGGUUUGGCUAUUACUCAUAUUGGUGAUGCUUUCCUUUGUUAUAAACACUCACAUUCAAAUGCCAAAUCUAUUCAUACACAAAUAGCACUCAAAGAUAUCCUACUGGUUCCUUCAAUUACUAAAAACUUGCUAAGCAUGUCCAAACUCACCACUGAUAAUAACUUGACAGUUGAAUUUUCUGGUGAUGUUUGUUAUGUGAAGGAUACAUUGAGGGGGGCAAGUUCUUCUGCAAGGUCUUGCUGAGAAAGGAUUAUACAAGCUGCUUUUAAAGCCAUCUGCACAAACACUUCCUUCUUCUUUUCUACAUCAAACUAUUUCUAAUAGGCCUUUGUCAAUGUUAUCUGUUUGUCAUUCUAGUGUUAAUUGUCAAUCCACUGUCUAGAGCAAAGUCUCAGAUAAUAAGAUCUGUCAUCAUACUGCUGUUGAUUCAUGCAAUUCAGCAAUGAAUAAAAUUCUUCUUUUGCAUAAAUGAUUUGGCCAUCCCAAUUUUCAUACACUAAUGCAUUUGCUUAAACAAGUCAAGUCUAUUAAUAUUUCUCACAAUGUAAAACAGCAAGCACUUACAAUCAUUUGUAAAGAAUGUCAAAUGAGAAAAUCACAUAGAUUGCAUUUUCCUGCUACUGAAGCCAAAACAACCAAAAUUCUUGAACUAAUACAUACAGACCUCUAGGGCCCUUCACCUCAUCCUUCCAAAGAGGGUUAUUCAUACUAUAUCAGCUUUGCAGAUGACUUUAGUAAGUAUACCUGGAUUUUUCCUUUGAAAUUAAAGUCAGCAGCCUUAGAAGUAUUCAAACUCUUCAAACUGCAAGUUGAAAAACAAUUUGAUACCUCCAUUAAGAUGUUGCAAUCUGAUUGGGGAGGGGAAUAUAGACCAUUCACUAGCUUUUUGAAUCAAUCUGGAAUCCUAUUUAGACACCCUUGUCCGUACAUACAUCAUCAAAAUGGGGUAGCUGAAAGAAAGCAUAGACAUGUUGUUGAACUAGGACUCACCUUACUAGCUCAAGCUCACUUACCUUUUAAAUGUUGGUGGGAUGCCUUUCAUACAGCAGUGUAUCACAUUAAUAGAUUACCCUCUGCCACUCUUUAUUUUGAUACACCCUAUGAGAAAUUGUUCAAUCAUAAACCAGAUUAUAACAUGCUUAGAUGUUUUGGUUGUUGUUGUUAUCCCUACUUAAGAGAUUAUAAUAGACAUAAAUUUGACUAUCAUUCGAGUAAAUGCAUUUUUGUUGGAUAUAGUCCAUCUCACAAAGGGUAUAAGUGUCUUCAUCCUUCUGGAAAAGUAUACAUAGCUAGACAUGUUUUUGAUGAAAAUACAUUUCCUUACUCAAAUAUUUACGAGUCACGGAAAUCUAAUUUUUGCUCUCCUAUUCAUCUUACUCCUCAACAAGUCUAUCAUCUCACUACUCUAUCUGUAACUCCUUUUUCUCCUGAUGGCAGCUUGACUAAUCCUGGCUCUGUAAGUUCCAAUUGCAGUGGUUCUGACCACUUGGUUAACUCAGUUUCAACCUAGCACACUAUACUAGAAGAACCUAUACAAUCUCACAUUUUACCUGUUCAACCUAUAUCGUCUCCAUCCACUUCACCUAACAAUUAACCAAUACCUAUUUCAUCCAAUAUACAAACAUCAAUAAUCAUUCAACAACCCUCAUCUCAACCAAACACACACCAAAUGAUUACCAGGAGUAAAACUGGUAUCUUUAAACCCAAAGUAUACACAACAAUUCUUGAACUAAGGAACCAGAUACAGUUCAUGAGGCAUUACAUGAUCCAAAUUGGUUUGAAGCUAUGAAAAAUGAAUUUGAUGCUUUAACUCGUAACAAUACAUGGUCAUUGGUUCCAAGAACAAGUGAUCAAAAGAUAGUUGGCAAUAAGUGGGUAUAAAGAGUUAAACACAACACUGAUGGCAGUUUAGCUAAGUAUAAAGCUAGGUUAGUGGCAAAGGGUUUUCAGCAGAUUGCAAGGGUGAACUAUUUUGAGACUUUCAGUCCAGUGAUAAAACUAGCCACUGUCAGAGUUGUGCUAAGUCUUGCAGUGAUGAAUCAAUGAUCAAUUAGGCAAGUUGAUACAGAGUGUGCAUUGUGAAGUUAGUUAAGCUGGUAACUGCUGCUGACUUAGAUCUUCUGACGUGGCACUAAUGACAACUGGUAACUUGACAUUCUUGUUACAAGGCUUAACACCAUGCUGAUUCUUCUUCUUCAUUUCUGCAUAAUGAGCUAUCUUCACAGCCCCCCUCAAACUCAAAGGACAUGGAAAGACAUUGAGUUUGUCCCUUAAGUAAUUGAACUAAGGAGAAGAUAAGGGCUUGGUUAGGAUAUCUGCAAUCUGAUCUUCACUUGGCACAUAACAGAUUUUGAGGUCACCAGCUAACACUUUAUCUCGAAUAAAAUGAACAUCAAUCACAAUGUGUUUAGUUCUUGAAUGGAACACAAGAUUCUUUGGUAGUUCUGUUGCACUCAUAUUAUCACACCAUAUUGUUGGUCUCUCUACACAACAUACUCCUAUUUCCAGAAACAAUGAUUUUAACCAAGCUAUUUCUGAAGCAGCUGAAGCAAGUGCCCUAUAUUCACUCUUAGCUGAAGACUUAGUGACUACUGUUUGCUUCUUCGAAGACCAUGAAAUCAGAUUAUUUCCAAGAUACACACAGUAAGCUCCAAUUGAUUUCCUAUCAUCCAAGUCACUUCCCCAAUCUGCAUCAGUGAAUGAAGUAAUUUUCAGAUCACCAUCCUUAACAAACUUUAAGCCAUAAUCCUGUGUCUGCUUUAGAUAUUUAAGAACCCUUUUGCAAGCCAUAAAAUGUUGCAUAGUUGGUGUAGAUACAUAUUGGCUCAGCUUAUGAAUAGAAUAAGCAAUUUCUGGUCUUGUCAAGAUCAGGUACUGGAGACCACCUACAAUGCUUCUAUAAUGAGUAGCAUCUUCAACAUAGUAACCCAAUUCUCCUUUAACUAUCUUCUACAACUUUGAGUCCUUGCCACUACACAUUGGUGUUAUCACUCCUUUACAAUCAAGCAUAUCUACUUUAGCAAAGAAAUCUCUUAUAUACUUCUUCUGAGACAAAUAAAUGCAAUCCUGACCAUACAACACUUCUAUACCAAGGAAAUAAGACAAUCUUCCUAAGUCUUUCAAAGAAAAAAUAAUAUUAAAUUGUUGAAUGAAACUGUCUAAUUCUCCACUGUUAGGUCCAGUAACUAAUAUGUCAUCAACAUAUAUCAAUACUAUAAUGAGUGACAAUUUAGUUCUUCUUAAGAAUAAAGAAGAAUCAGAUUUGGAAUUUCUGAAAUCCCAUUACAAAAGACAUCCUCUGACCUUUUCAAACCAAGCUCUAGGAGCUUGCUUAAGACCAUAUAAUGCUUUGUGUAAUCUGUAAACAUAGUUAGGUUUGCUUUUAUCAACAAAUCCUUCAGGUUACUGCAUAAACACCUCUUCUGACAAUUCACCAUUUAAGAAUGCAUUGUUGAUAACCACCUGUCUAACUAUCCACUGAUUCAUCACUGCAAGAUUAAGAACUACUCAAACUGUUGCUGGCUUUACCACUGGACUAAAGGUAUCAAAAUAAUUCACACCAUUAAUCUGUUGAAACCCUUUUGCCACCAACCGAGCCUUAUAGUUAGCUACACUGCCAUCAAUAUUAUACUUUAUCCUAUACGCCCACUUAUUCCCAACAAUUUUUUGGUUUUCUGUUCUUGGUACUAAAGACCAAGUUCUAUUUUCGAUCAGUGCGUCAUACUCAUUUUUCAUAGCUGUAAACCAGUUUGUAUCUUGCAAAGCUUCAUCAACUGAAUCUGGCUCUUUGUGAAUUAACACUGCAGUAUACAUUUUUGGUUUAAAAAUACCUGUUUUUCCUCUUGUGAUCAUGGGGUGAUUGUUUUGUAAAGGUUGAAUACUGUUUGAGGUUAUUUGAGAUUGAGAUGGUAAUAGAAUUGGAGUAAAAUCUGAAGUGUUUGGCGAGUUUUUAUCAUGAGUAGGUUCAAGAGCAGGAUUAAGAUUUGGUGUUUGAAGUUGCGUAGCCUCAUUUUCUUAGAGGUGAUCUGCUGGUGGGAACAGUUCUGUGCUGUUGGAACAUGCUAGAGGAUAGGAUUCAAAACUGCUAUCACAAAGAUUGACACAACGGGAAGAGUGGACAAAUGAAAAACUUGAUGAUGAGACAAAGUAUAGCUAGAUAUUGGUUGUAUUUUGCUUUCAUAAUUGAAAUUAGGAUCUGAAGAGAAAGGGAAUGCAAUUUCAUCAAAUAUGACAUGCCUUGCUAUGUAUAUACGAUCAGAAUGAUGUAGGCAUUUAUAUCCUUUGUGAGCAGGGCUAUAACCAAUGAAUAUGCAUUUGCUUGUGUGAUAAUCAAACUUAUGCUUAUUGUAAUCUCUCAAGUAUGGAUAGAAAACACAGCCAAAACAUUUCAGCAUCUUAUAAUCGGCUUUAUGUUUGAAAAGUUUUUCAUAUGGUGUCAACAUUUUAAGAGCUGAAGUUGGUAACUUAUUGAUAUGAUAAACUGAAGCAUGGAAAGAAUCCCACAAAAAAUUCAAAGGAAGCUUAGCUUGAGCUAACAAUGUAAGACCCAAUUCUACCACUUGUCUGUGCUUUCUCUCAACUAAGCCAUUCUGAUGAUGAGUAUGUGGACAAGAGUGCCUAAAUAAAAUGUCACACUGAUUUAAAAAUUCAGUGAAUGAUCUGUAUUCUCCCCCCCCAGUCAGAUUGCAGUAUCUUAAUGGUUGUUUGGAACUGGUUUUGAACUUGCAACUUGUAUAGCUUAAAAACUUUUAAAGCUUCUUAUUUCAAUUUCAAUGGGUAAAUCCAAGUAUAUCUAGUGAAAUCGUUAACAAAGCUAAUAACUGGUGAGGGACCUCAAAGAUCAGUGUGUAUAAGCUCAAGUGCUGAUUUGGUUUUGAUUUCUGUAAUUGGGAAGUGCAAUUUGUGUAUUUUACCCAACUAACAUGCUUCACAGAAAUGUUGUGUUGCUUGUUUAACCAUAUUCAUAGAGAACUUAUCAGCAUGAUGAAGUUUGAGUAAAUGCAAUAAGCUUUGAGAAUUUGGGUGGCCAAAUCUUCUGUGUAAAAGAGCUAUUUUAUUAGGCUUAUCAGAACAUACAUCAAUACCAUUCUGUAAACAAAUGUUUGGAUUAUUUAUGAACUCUACAGAUGGCAUAUGAGAAGCAAGAUGACAGAAUGAUAACAUUGACAGAGGUUUAUUGGCUUGACUAUGAGACACAACAGAUGAUGACUCAAAAUUCUUGGUGGAAGACAUAGGUUUGACCAGCAGUUUAUACAAUCCUUUCUCAGUAAUGCCCUGUAUUAGAACUUGUCCUUUCAGCAAAUCCUUCACAGCACAAAAUGAUCCAAGAAAUUCAACAGAAAUGUUAUUGUCAGUGGUAAGUUUGGAAAUGCUUAUUAGGUUCUUUGUGAUAGAGGGAACAAGCAAAAUAUCUUUAAGUGCAAUAUGUGAAUCUACAGGUUGAGUUUUGAAAACUUGAAUGAAAAAUAAGAAUCACCAAUAUGAGUUAUUGAUAAACCUUCACCAUUACCAAUAAUGAGCUUAUCAUUACCUCUAAACUCAUCUCUGAUAUUCAGAUUUCCCAUGCUGUUGGUCAGAUGAUGAGUGGCACCACUGUCUAGGUACCAGCCUUCAUCUGCAGGUCCUUCACAAUGUGCAGCAGAAGCAGCUCCAGCCUAGGGUAUACCAGAAUAGUCAGAUACACAAGAAUGUCCAGAAUGUGACAUUUGUAAUCCAGUACUAUUGACAGGCCAUGGAGCAUCAUUUGUUGAAUAGUAAGGCAUGUAUGCAGGUUCAUAAUUAGCUAUGUAAGCAGACUUUGAACUUUUUUCUCUCUGAAAUUGUCUUGGUGGCUAAGGUAUGUAAUUUUCUUCAAAUCUGUGCCAACAUUCAACAACUGUAUGUCCUGCUUUGAAGCAAAUCUAACAUAUAUUCAUGGAAUCAUCACUGUUGGAUGCUUAUGAUUCAAAAGAAGGCAAAUUACCAGUACCAGAAAAACCAGUACUUCCAAAUAAACCUCUUCCAGAAGAACCAAAUCUAUUACUUCCCAUCAUCAUUUGAUUUCUUCCAUGAUUACCAAAAUGACCAGUUCCAGCAGGAAAACCUCUUGGAUAUGAGUUUAAAAAUAUUCAUCUACCAUUAAACAUGCCAUUUCUACCACCUGAAUGACCAUUAUAAUUGCCCUGGACACCUCCUGUAUAUCCUCCUCUCCUAGCUUGACCUCUUAUUUGAGCAUAGUAUGCAUUCAUCAUACUAUUAUUAUUCCAGUUAGACAUAUUAGCAUAGUUUGCAUUAAACAUGUGCUUUUCACUUUGACUUUGUUCAAGUCUGGCUUCAUGAGUGAGUAAUAAAGCAUAAGCAUCAUCAUAAUCCAAUUUGUUUGCUGUGAUAAAAGUAGCUAAAUCCAAACAGCCAGCUCCUAAACCAUUGAGAAUUUGUUGCAACAUAUCUCUAUCUAAUACAGAACUACCAGCACACGCCAAUUUGUCUGUAACUUGUUUCAUUUUCAAGCAAUAUUCUUCAAUACUUAGUAAUUCUUUUCUUAAGACACUCAUCUCAUACUUAAGUUGAAGAACUCUACCCUCAGAUUGUACACCAAACCUUUUCUCUAAUGUUUUCCAUACAUCAAAUGAAGUAUUACAUGAGUGAACUAGAUUGAGAAUACCUUCGGUUAUUGAGCUAAGAAGCCAGCUGAGUAAUGUUUGAUCUUGAGAUCUCCAAACUGUGUAUUCAGGAUUCUCGAUCUGUUGAGAAGAUCCAGCAGCUCCAGUAGUUGCUCCAGCAAAGCUUGAUGAUGCUAUAAAUCGAUUUGGUGCAAUCUUUUCUCCAUUAAUGUAUCCUUCAAGUCGACUUCCUCUAAUGGAGGCCAGCACUUGAUUUUUCCAAAGCAUGUAGCUAGAUCUAUCUAAUUUGAUUAGUGUGAUGAAAGAAAAAGUUGUUUGAUUUGUAGCUACUGUAUUUUAAUUGAUUGAGGUUGCCAUGAAUGGCUCUGAUACCAUGAAGAAAUUGUAAAAAUUGAUAAGUGCUACUGUUUGGCAGCUGAGAAAAACAGAGGAAAAAUACCUAAUAUAAAAUAAGUAAAUGGGAAUGGAGUGGUGAUGGGGAAAUUAUUCCCCACAUGGGGAUUCUCCAUCCCCACCCCAUUAAAUUUAUUGGGGAAUGGGGUAGGGAAUGGAGGUAAAAAAUUUUAAUGGGGUGGGGAAUGGGAUAGGCCUCCCUACCCCUACCCCACCCCAUUGCCAUCCCUAAUUCUAAAUCGGGAGGUUGCCAAUUUUUCACUAAUGAAAUCAAUGUAUACCACUUGCACCUAUUGUAACACCCUAGGCAAAUCCCACAUUGACAAAGCACGAGAGACAUACUGGACUUAUAAGGGGUGAUCCACACCUUAAUUGGCAAGACGCGUUUUGGGGUGUAUGGGCGCCCUAGGAACAAAACCAUACGGGCCUUAUUAAGACCCAAAGCGGAUAAUAUCUUGUCAGAUCGAGGUUAGGUCAUGAUAUUAUGGUAUUAGAGCGGUUCCGCGUGUCCUCUUGAGCAAUAGUGGGGCAAGCCUCAGCGAGGAUGCUGAGUCCCCAAGGGGGGUGAAUGUAAUACCCUAGGCAAAUCGCACAUCGGCAAAGCACGAGAGAGAUGCUGGAUUUAUAAGGGGUGAUCUACACCUUAACUGGCAAGACACGUUUUGGGGUGUAUGAGUGCCCUAGGAACAAAACCGUGCGAGCCUUAUUAAGGCCCAAAGUGGACAAUAUCUUGCCAAGUCUGGAUUGGGUCAUGACACCUAUUAUUUUCAUAAUAGUCAAUAAUCCCCUGCAACAUAAUUUUAUAACAUAUUGUGACAGGGCAACUUUCAGAGAAUUAAACUAAGCAAGAUAAGGCCAAAUUUUUUUUUUUUUGUGGAAACAAAGAAUUUCUUUUCUAAUGAUCUUUAUCUAUUCAAAUAUUACGUGGAUCAUAUUAUCAGACGAUGCAUCCCAGAGAGAAAAUUUCAAAACAUCCUUUCAUUAUAUUCGGAAUAAGCUUGUAGAGACAAUUUUAAUGCUAGAAAGAUGGCUGCUAAAGUUUUACAAUAUGGUUUUUAUGCCCAACUUUAUUUUGAGAUGCUUAGACUUCUAUUCUUCAUGUCAUUGGUGCCAAAGCAUAAGAAGUAUUUCACGAAGGAGCAUGAUGCCACUAAACCCUACUAUGGCAGUUGAGUUUUUUAAUAUGUGGGGCAUCAAUUUUAUGGGACCAUUUCCUCUUUCUUUUGGCCAUCAAUACAUAUUAGUUUAUGUCAACUAUGUAUCAAAGUAGGUAGAAGCAAUUCCGUGCAGAACCAAUGAUCACAAAGUAGUGAUUGGAUUUUUGAAGAGCAACAUUGUUUCGCACUUUAGACUCCCUCGACCAAUAAUCAAUGAUUGUGGUACCCACUUUUACAACAAAACAUUCAUAGCUCUUUGGGCAAAGUACUUCGUCACACACAAAGUGGCUAUCCCAUAUCAUUCACAAAUUAGUGGCCAAGUCAAGAUCUCCAAUCGAGGAAUAAAGUAUAUAUUAGAUCAGACGGUUAAGCUAAACAGAAAAGAAUGGUCAUUGAAACUCGAUGAUUCACUAUAUGCUUAUUGAAUGGCUUUUAAAACCCCUAUUAGGAUGUCACCUUAUAGGCUAGUGUAUAAGAAAGUUUGUCACCUACCUAUGGAAAUCGAGCAUCAUGCAUACUGGGCUAUCGAGAAAUUUAACUUUGACAUGCAACAAGUUAGUUUGGAAAGAAGAUUAUAGCUAGUAUUAAAGAGAUUCGCAAUAAUGUAUAUGAAAAUAACAAACAUUACAAGUAGCGGAUGAAAGUCUUUCAUGACAAGAAUAUUAUGAGAAAAUCUUUUACACUAGGUUAGAAAGUGAUACUAUUCAAUUCUCGCUUACAUCUAUUCCCAAGCAAAUAACACUCUUGAUGGUAUGAUCUAUUAAUUAUUCACACUAUUUUUUCAUGUGGGCCAUUGAAAUUAAGGAUCUAAAGAAUAAUGUCACUUUUAAAGUUAACGGUAAAAAAUUAAAGUCCUAUAUAGAGUACAGACCACAUGAAGAUGACACCAGAGGAAAUUUGAAAGACCCACCACAUCUUGAUUAGGUUUUUUUUUUGGAUGAUUUAACUUUUUGUUAUUUUGUUUUAUUGAUUAACAUUAUUUUGAUUGUUUCCUACUUUAGUGCAUUUGUUUAAAAUUAUGCUUUCUUUUAUCAAUUGUCUUUUAGGUCAUGAGUAUCUCAAUGAGACAAAUCUUAUUCAUUAACCUUAACAAACUUCUAUAUAUGAAGCUUGACGUAAGUGGUCUGCUCAAAAUUUGUAAAUCACAUCCUGUUUAGGAUCUAUUACCACUAGUGUUAGUAUCAUAUUUAAAAAGACAAUUCAUAGAAAUAGAAGGUAGUAUCUGUGAUAUCCAAUUAGAACUUACGAUAAACUCAAUAAGGAGAUGGUGGUGAGUUAACGUCCUAGUAUUUAUAUUGUUUGUUUUUGUUUUAUUGUUUGCCUUCACAUGCAUUUUGUUUUUGCUAGAUUAAUUCUUUUGUUUGGUAUGUUGUUAUUUCUUACCCUAGUUAAAUGGCAGAUAAUGGUACUAUGUAACCAUUAAAGUCAGUUCUAAUAAUUUUCCAUAAUAACUGACAUUUCCAAGCCAAGGUAUAAAUAAGAAUACAGUUCUUGCAAAACUUCAUAAGUGAUUUCCCUCUCUCCCUUAGAAUGCAAUCCUCACGAUCUUUAAAACUUGAUCCAAACUCUUACAAUUACUUAUGAGAAAUACCGUUCUUGUUCACAUCCGUUGGUUAAUUGAAACCAAAGUAUGAUUAAGAAGGGAGUUACCUCUCAAAUUUGUUGCUUACAUGUCUGGCUAUAGGAAAGGAAAUUAUUCAAGAAAAUGAAGAGCUAGACAGCUCCAAGUUUCUUAUCAUAAGUGUGCUCGAACAAACUAUAAUGAAAGUUCUAGUAUAUGUUUGGGAAUGAUGUCCUAUAUUAGGGAAGAAAAUAUUCAAUUUAUUAGGGAUGACUUGAAUAAAAAGUCAUUAGAUGACAUCCUUUCGACCCUUAAAACGCAUUUUGAAUAGACAAUUGAAGAACGUUUGCAUGCUUUCUGGCUUUCGUUAUGGAAAAUACAAAGUGCUUGCUCAAGCAGCUAUGGAUCUUGGUCAAGUAUUUGUCUUAGAAACUACUUACACUAGAGGAAGUCAAGUGCUUGGUAUCAUCCUACACCCCUAUAACCUCUGGAAUGCCUGCCCGGCUCACCAAUUGCAAAUAAGCUAGUCAUCUUAAGUUUGCAGGAGAAAAUAACCAAGACGCGAAACCUUAAUAAUGCUUUAAUUUUCUUACCAAAAGAUCUUGCAAUUGUAGAGGCAUAAAUUAUAUUUGCAUGUUGGGCCCAUUCAAACAUUAAUAAAAAUUCAUCAGUUUUUUCUAAACUCUACUUCUUUUCUUUCAAAAGUUGAGGACAAUAUCUCAUUCUAGUUGGGGGACAGAAUAAUUGCUAGUUGUGGAAUAAUUGAUAGUUGUGUUGUUGUACUUUUACUAAUUUUUUUUAAAUUUUUGAGUCAAAGAUGGCCGAAUGUGGAGUUUAAUUACUCUAGAAAUGCAUAUUCCUAGUCUUGUAGUUUAGUUAAAAAAUAAAAUAAAAUAAAAUAAAAUAAAAAUAAUGAAAUAAUACAAUUUAAGACACUUUUUGUGAUCUUUUGAUAUUGGAUGACGUGAUGGCUUUUAAAUUUUACAAUUUAUAUUAUCUUUAGCUUUGAAUUAUGUUACACCAUAUUUGCCACUUUGCAAAGUGAUGUUGGUUAGAUGUGUGAAUUGAGAAAUUGAUGAGUGAAAUUCAUUGAGCUAUUUGAAAGAACGUACAUGUCAAAAUAAGCUCCAAGUGAGUUUUUGAAUCUAUUAUUUAUCUUAGAGAGCAACCUUUUUCCAAAGCUUACUAGUUUAUUAUUUUAUACAUAAUCUCUAUCUUUUUCUUUUGAGUGGACCAAUGAAAAGAAUUGUGUGUUGUUACGUCUGAAAGUCUAUUGAACUAGUAGAUAUAAAGACUAUUUAGAUCUUUAACAAAUGACAGAAGUUCAUGUUUGAUCCAUUUGAGUCUCUUCUGGCCAUCCUCAUUGUGAAAUAUCCAUAGUCACCCCUAUUGAACCUAUUAAAAAAAAUUAUUUGUUAACGUAUUAUCAUAUCCUACUUCAAUUUGGAGCAUUACCAUAUAUUUUAUGUUUUCCAUCACUUAUCCAUCAUUGACAAAAUAAAUAAAUAAAUAUGAUAAUCAAAAAAGAAAAAAUAAAAAAGGGAAAAAUAUAUAAAACACAUUGCAAUUCCCAAAAGAUCUCUAUUGUUUUUCCAAGCAUAUAUUUUGUUCUUCUUAUUAUUCCUUCUUUUUUAGCCAUUUCUGUAGCCCACAUUACAAAAUAGUAAAAGUUCUUCUUGGUUUUAGAAAACUAUAAUCUGAAGUAGAAGCUGAUAAUAUGGCCUAAAACAUGUGGUGAUGCAUAAAACUAUAUACAAAUAAUAUUAUUGGUAGAUCAAAACAAGAGAAGAUGCAAAAUGAGGAAAUGCUUUAAUGUAAAAUGACAAGGCCAUUACAUCAGAGAUUGUGAUGAAAAGAAAAAAGGAUGAGAAAGAGAGAACAAGGGACGCAACAAUGGCUUCGGAUGAUUGAUAUCGUAGUGCUGACUUGUUGGUGGUUUCAAAUAGCAAUAUAAGAAGUCAAUGGAUCCUUAACUCAAGGUGUUCCUUUCAUUUGUGUCCUGGUAGAAGUCUCUUUUAUGAGUCUGUGGAUGGUAGUAGAGUCUUGAUGGGAAACAACAAUGUGUAAGAAGGGUCACCAGUACCUAUGUUAGCUACAAUACCUGAUGUUCUAAAGUAGAUAGAACCAAGUCACGGUAUCUUAUACUUGGAUGCAUAAGUGUCAAGGGGAUGCAAAAGCUAAGCCAGCAAGGGUUUCUUUGUGGUGAUAAGAUACAUGAGGUAGAGUUCAGUGAAAACAACAUUUUUGGAAGAGCACAUUGGUCCAAAUUCACAAAGGGACUGCACACAUCUAAACAAGUUUUGGAUUAUGUUCAUGCUGAUUUUUUGGGGCCUUGUUCAGGUCCUUUAUUUUAAUUAACUGUUGACUUUAAUAACUUGUUGCAUUAUCAUGCAUGGUAAUUGAAUAUACAACUAAUUGAUAUUAUCAUUUUUAUUAUUUUUUUAAAUUGAGUUUAUGUCUUAGAUUUUUUAUCUUUAUUUAAUUGUUUUCCACUUAUUAUUAUAAAUAUUAUUAUUUUGUAAAGUUUUAUUCCUGUUAUUCGUAUUUAAAUGAGUUCAUUAAUAUCUAGGCAUAGCGUGCAAGUGAAAAAUAUGACAUAAAAAAAAGUGACAUAGAAAAUGAAAUAAUAAUAAAACAAAAUAACUAGUAAAAGCUAAAUUGUAUUGAAAUAUGAUUUUUUUUUUAUAUUUGUAAUUGUAAGUUGGUGUGACCUUAAUCCAUUUUUCUACUUGUUUAUUUAUUUUGUAAUGUCAUCAAAGGAUUUGGAUUCAUGGACAUUAAAAUUUGCUAAGAACACCUUUCAUUUUAUAAAAUAUUUUAUUACAUAAGUGUCCUUAAAUCAAAUCACAUGUAGAAAAAUUACUCCCACCUCUUAAAUAUUAAAAUAGAAAAUAAAAAUGUAUUAAAAGACAGAUUAAAAAUAUAAAAAAGAAUAAAAUAUGCAUGUUAAAGUACUGUUUAUAUUUUAAAUAACCCUAAUUAGAUAGACAUAAAAUAAAAAGGAUUUAGAUUUGGUGUUUAGCUAAAUUUUUAUUAGCUUUUGUAAAAUACUGUGACAUGUGCUUUUUAUGAAUUUUAAUGGUUAAGAUUCAGUUUCUCUUAAUAGCCUAAUGAAAAUAAUAUCGUUUUCUUGGUUUAAUUCCCCUUUUUCUUUCAAUUUUGUGGUUUUUUUUUUAUUUCAUGAACGUAUGGAAACUAUGAAAUCGUUUUUUUUAAUCAUCCUAUAUAUUAAGAAAUUCCAAAUAAAUUCUAUCUUAAAGACUUUUCAAGCUUUUGCAACCGCUCAUACUGAGAGUAGCAAACUUUUUUAGAAGUGAAAUCAGCGAGGGCUUGGAGUUUGAGUAAGAACAUUGCCAGCUCCAACCAAAAUGAGAAAGGCCAAGAGAAGCAAAUCAUUAAUUAGCAUGUAUAGAGACUGAAAUAGAACAAAAACUAUCAAAAAGCUUGGCUAAGCAUUGGACUCAAAUCCUAUAUAGGACAAAUGGUCCUAAUAAAGUAAUUAUAAUCGUUUGAUUAUUAUUACUAUUUAACUGAAUGCUCUCUCAUAAAUUGAUUCAAAGAUAUACAAUAAAUUAGUACUACAAUAUAACACACACAACAUAUCAUAUGCUUAUAAUAAAUUAAUUCUUUAUUAUAUUAAAAUAUAGGAUCAAUUUCUCAACAAUUGAUGGUUAUAACAAAAUUAUUCAUAUGGCAAAAGACAAAUAACUAUUUAAAAAAAUCAUUGGCAUCCAAUAACAAGCUCUAGGGGUAUAAGGCGUAAUCAUUCUCAAGGGAGUUAGGAUAGAUUCUUUAAUUGUAAGUUCCAAGCAGCCGCCACUAUUUGGUGAUGUUGCAAAAUUGGUACACAAUGAAACAUACAGUUUACAUUCUUGAUUAGUACAUUGAUGCUUGAAAUAAGUAUGUAUUAAGUGCUUGCUACUACAAGGAAGUCAGGAUGAUGAAACCAAGACUUUUUGACAUUUUAUAUUUUCUAAACUGAAACAUAAACAACCUAUUGAGAAUUAAAAGAGAGGUAAAGAAUAACAAACAUAUGAGGCUCUGCAUAUAUAAAUGAAUAUUGAGAAAUGAGGUAUAAUGACCUUUAUGAGGUUGUUGAUUCUAUUUAUGAGUAUUGAAUAAGUCAGAAUGAUGAAACCAAGACUUUUUGACAUUUUAUAUUUUCUAAACUCAAACAUAAACAACCUAUUGAGAAUUAAAAGGGAGGUAAAGAAUAACUCACAAAUGAUGCUUUGCAUAUAUAAAUGAAUAUCGAGAAAUGAGGUAUAAUGGACUUUAUGAAGUUGUUGAUUCUAUUUAUGAGUAUUGAAUAAGUUAGGAUGAUGAAACCAAGACUUUUUGACAUUUUAUAUUUUCUAAAUUGAAACAUAAACAACCUAUUGAGAAUUAAAAGAGAGGUAAAGAAUAACAAACACAUGAGGCUCUGCAUAUAUAAAUGAAUAUUGAGAAAUGAGGUAUAAUGGAUUUUAUGAGGUUGUUGAUUCUAUUUAUGAGUAUUGAAUAAGUCGUAGUGCAUUUAUUUGCAUUAACUAUUGACUUUAAUAUCUUGUUGUGUUCUCAUUCAUGGUAAUUGAAACAUACAUCUAAUCAAUUUUAUCAUUUUUUUAGUAUUACUUUUUAUUGAAUUUAUCACUUGGUUUUUUUUCUCUUUAUUUAAUGCUUGUUAUAAAUAUUGGUAUUUUGUGAAAUACUAUUCAAAUUUAAACAAACUCGUUAAUCUCUAGACAUAGCGUGCAAGCGAAAAAUAUAACAUCAAAAAUAGUGACACAUAAAAUGAAAUGAAAAUAAUAAAAUAAUUAAAGAGAAUGGUACUCAAACGUAACCAAAAGAAAACCGUAGAUUAACCAAAUUUUAAAAAAAUCUUGUGAAUAGAAAAUCCGAUCCUCUUCUUCUCUCCAUUUCUGCUAAAGAAUAUAUAUAUAUAUAUAGAAGGAAGAGAAAGCAAGAAGGCGAAAAUUAACAGUGUCAAUACUUCCAUCUGCAUCAAAUUCAAGCAUUAAAUCGUGCUCCACCACAUUGUCUCCUUACAGACUUAGGCUUAUUUCCCUUCAGUAUCAGCUCAAAUAUUGAUGAUUCCAUGAAUGAGCAUUAAAGAUGCUUUUAUUUUUAUUAAUUAUUAACUUGCACAACUAAUUAAUUUUGUCAUUUUUAGUGUUAUUAUCUUUAUUUAAUUUAUAUGUCAGAUUUUUUCUCUUUAUUUAAUCUAUUGAAAUUAUUAUCAUUAUUGUGAAAGCAUUAUUCCAAAUUUUUGGAUUUAAAUUAAACUCUAUGCAUAGCGGCCAAAAAGUGACAUCACAAAAAAGUGACAUAGGAAAUAAAAUAAAAUAACUAAUAAAAACCACAAUACUGGAAUAGAGUCAAUAGAAAACCGCAAAUUACAUAUAUAGACAAAUGACUCCCCCUCUAAAAUAUUAGAGUAGAAGUAUUGACAGAAGUUUAGAAAUUAGGAAGGGUAAAAUAUUGGUGUUAAAAGUGUUUUUAAAGUACAAAUAAUUACACCCUAGUAGCAGAUAGAUAUAGUAUACAAGGGUGGGAAUGCGUGCACAUUUAAAUUAUCUUAUACAUUCCAUUAUUUUGCACACUCAUUUAUUAAUUUUAAAAUUAAUUAUACAUUGUACACUUUUUAAAAUGUAAAAAAAUUUCUCGCUUUUUAGAUUAAUUAUCUUUAUUUACUCUCACACUCAUGAGAAAACACACUAAAAUAAUUUCUCCAAAUACUUCUUUUUAUUAAAAUUUAAUUAUUUGGUUAGAUAAUCAAUUUUGCCAAUAAACAAAUAAUGAUCGACAACAAAACUAGAUGAGCCAACAACUCGCAUCAAAAGAUUUCACCAUUCAAAAGAUCACAAGAAAUAAACAUUAUAAAUCAAACAAAUAAAUCAACUAAGCAAAAAUGGUUAUCACUUACAUCACAUUGCUUUUAGCAGGCUCUUGCUUGCUAGUUGGAAAGAAAAAAAAAGGGCAUGAAAGUAGCAUCCGAAAGAUUAUAAUUAAACAAUUGUACUUUCUGUGUUGCAAGGCUAUGAAAAAUUAAUACUUUUUGUGUUGUAAACUAGAGAUCAAAUGGAUCACACAUAUUUGUUCAACGGGUUAGGAAGAAAAAUUAUAGGGGUCAAAUGGUAAGAAAAGUUAACAGAUAUAGAUAAAUUACAUACAACAAAUCAAUACCAUGUAACAAAAACAAUAUAUCACAUGCUCAUAAUGGAUUAAUUCCUUCUUUUAUUAAAAUAUAGCAUCAAUUUCUCUACAAUUGAUGGUUAUUGCAAAAGUAUUCAUUUGGCAUAAGAGGAAAACUAUUUAACAAAAUCAUGGGUUAUAGAUGAUGGUGUAGUCUUGACUAUCAUGGUGAUACUUAUUGUAACAUUCUUCUGGUGUAAGUCCAAAGCACUUGUCGCUAUCAGGUGAUAUUGCAGAAUUAGAUUCUUGGCCGGUACUAGUGCUUGAAACAUGUGAGUUUUCAGUGCUUGCAACCAAAAGCAAAGCCAAGAUAAUGAAACUGAGACUCUUCGACAUGUUAUAAUUUCUAAACUUAAUUGUAAACAACUUAAUUAAAAUUAAAAGGAGGUGAUGCAUAAGAAAUACAUGAGGCCCUAUAUAUAUGAAUGAAUAUUGAGAAAUGCGUUAUAGUGGCCUUUAUGAUGCUUCCAUGAAUAAGCAUUAUAUAAAUCAUAUUAUGUUUACUUUUAUUAACUAUUGACUUUAAUAUCUUGUUGCGUUAUCAUCAAUGGUAACCAAAACAAACAACUAAUUAAUUUUAUCCUUUUAGUAUUAUUUUAUUCUUUUUUGUUGUUGUUUUUUUCUCUUUAUUUAACCAUAUUCAAAUUAUUAUUAUUGCUAUUGUGAAAUUAUAAAUCUGAAAGUCAGUUUUUGCAUUAUUUUAUUUACAAUAACUUUUUAGCUAUGUCUAUAUUAGUAUAUAUUUUAUAUUCAAUUUUUAGAUUAAUGUAUUUUAGUAUUAAUAAAUUCAAUCACGAUAAUCUGAUAACCGCUUAAUAUUAAAAUUUAGUUUUCAAUAUUUAUGUUAUUUUAUUAAUUAUAAAAAUACUUUUUAGUAGAUAUAUGUAAAUUUUUUUAACUAUACUUAUUGUAAUAUUUUACUUUUAAUAUGAUAUUUAUAUAUUAUUUUUAUGUUAUGUAUGUAUGUAUCUAUGUCAGUUUACAGUAAAUAUAUACUUAGAUAAUGAUCAAAGAAUAUAAUAGUAAAAAGGGGUUCUAUGUGAGUGAUGGAUCUAGAAAAAUAAUUUACCGGGGGCUAGAAUACAUAAGAACAAGAUGUAAAAACUAAAAUUUUAGGGGUUUUCAGGUUUAUGGAGGUUCAUUUUUUUCUAAUAGAUUUAAUAAAGGGAUUAAUUAAAUAAUAGUAAGACCACCCAUAUGAGUUAUUGUGGGCUUUUAAUUAAAGAGUGGACUUUUAUAAUUCUUAUAGUUAAAAUUUAAUUUUUAUGAAUUUAUGAGUUUAUGGGAGGCUGUUUUUAUAAAUCCAACAGGGAAUAUUUUUAUAGAUUUGAAGGGGUCUAAUUAGAAACUCAAGUAAUUUUCUCUUUAAUUUUUAGAAUUUAUUUUCUGGAGCGAAACUCAAACCCCACUGGUUAUGUGCUAGAUCUUUAGAAUGAUCUAAUCUAUACAAACCAAAUAUCUUCCUCUCUUUAUGUAGUUAAAAAUUAAUUUUUAAGGGUUUUUUGUGUUUAUGGGGACUAUUUUUAUAAAUCCAACAAGGAGUAUUUUUGCAUAUCUAAUGGGUUCUAAUUAGAAAUUUACCUAAUUUUCUCUUUAAUUUUUGGAAUUUACUUUCUUGAGCGGAGCUCAAACCCACUAAUUUGUGCUAGGUCUUAAGGACGAACUAAUCUAUACAAAUCAAAUAUCACUCCUCCUCACUCGUUCCCCAUAUCUUUUUUUACGAUUUUGUCUAUUAUUGGCCAUACUGAACCAUUCAGUCAUAUUCAUUGAGACUUUGAAAAUGGUUGUUUAUCUAAUGGGAUAAAUGAAAAAUCAACUUGGCAGAAUUAAUUUUUUGUUUUACAUAUAAGCAUGUUAUAGAGAAGACUUGACUAGAGAAUUGAGUAAUAAAAGGGCUUUUCCUUGAACUAGUAGAGUUGGCCAAAGCAAAUCAAAGGCCCAAAAACAAACUGAGCUGCCGAUUAAGUUUUGAAUGAUUAAUAGUUGCUUUCAUUAUACAAAAUACACCUACAACCACUUAAUUUAAAAGGCCAACAGAGUGGUGCUGUUGGAGGUUUUUAUUGUUUGUAAGGAGUUCUGUAAGAAUAUGAGAGAAUUAACAUGUUAUUUUGAAAAAAAUAAUUAAAGUUGAUCACGAGUGAGAGCUCCCAUAUUCUGGAAACUCUUAAACAAGAAAGAGCUUUUGAUAUCCCAAUAUAAGAAUAAGUGACUGGCUAAUUGUCGUGAGGAAAAGAAAAACAAAGAGAUGAAUCAUGAAUUUGAGUUUAAUUUUGGAAUUUUGAUAAAUUGAUUAAGUAAACAUUUAAUUUUCUAGUUUAGUAAAUAAUGUUUUUAAACAAAAUGAAUAUUUGAAGUACAUUGCAGAGUGCAAAUAACCUCACUCAUUCCUAAAUUACCCACAUGUUAAUUUACCAUUAAAAACAAUUUUAUGAUAAUUUCUACUCUAGACACCUACUGACUACACUCAUUAAUAAUUUAUAAAUAAACUAAUAUUAUUUUCAUCUUAAAAAUUUACAUCCCAGAUUUCUUUUGUCGAUCACAAGCGUAGAGAUCUCAUGGUUUCUAUUUUUUCUGAUCCAAUCUGUAAUAUUUUUCAUGCAAUGAAAAUCUUGGAUAUUCUUCUGUAACUAGCUUUUAGUUAUGGCUUAAGUGAAAUAUUGAAGAUAAAAGGUCUAGGGUUUUAAAAUUAUUUUGGUGGUUGUAGUGAGAAAAUAAAAACUACGCUAUUGUAAUUGAUAAGCAACAAAAGCAUCAGACAAAUCAACAAGAACCAAGGUCACCAGUUGUGACAAAUAUGGCAGUAUUGUUGCCUUAGCUAAAGGGUUUACUGAGGACAGAUUAAGGAAAGAACGACGCUGGUAUACACUUCUAACGGACACAAGAGAAAUCAGUGUACAUGAUUGAAGGAGUCCAACGGCCACAAGCCAAGUUUGAUAUAAAGCGCUCAACGUCAUGAUUCUUGGAAGUUAGUGUAAUUGAUACAAUUUUGAGAACCUUUCAUUUGUGCAAGCUUGAUUUUGAUAAUCUGUGUAUAUAAUGUAAUGAUCGAGCAAAUACAAAAACAAGAAAACAAAUUGUUUUCAAUCAAUCCUAUAUUUCUUUAUGGUAUCAGAGCCUAUGGCUACAAAAAUACAAACUAAGCCCAAACUCUCGAUCCAGACAUUCCACCAAUGUGCAAGCCUAAUUUCCAUCAAACUCAACAACAAUAAUACCUUCUUUGAAGUCGCAAGUCCUGCCACUGCCACUCAUAAGAAGCCUUGAUCUAGAGCAUCAUAUCAAUGAUGAAACAGUUCCACCAAGAAAUAUUUCUAGAUGGAAAAAAGGUCAACAAUCCUGAAUUUACUAUUUGGCAAAAUAAUGAUGGAUUACUCAUGCCUUGGCUUCAGGGAAUGAUGAACGAAGAUAUAAUGACCAUUAUAGUUGGAUGCCUUUCCACUAGAGAUAUUUGGUUAUUUGUGGAAGAGCACAUGCUUCUGCAACUAAAGAACAAUAAUUUUGGUUGAAGAAUAACUUUUACUCUUUAAAGAAGGGUUACUUAGAGCUUAAAGAAUUCCUUAAGAAAUUAAAAGGGCUUUGUGACAAACUUGCGGCAAUCGGCAAGCCUAUGUUAGAUGAAGAUCAAGUAUUUCAGAUGUCACAUGCCCUUGGCUUAAAAUACUCUGACUCUAAAAUGGCAAUUUUGAUAAAAGCCUCCUUAUCCAUCAAUAAAACAAUUUACUUUUGCAUCACAUAAUCAAAAGCAAGUGAUAGUAAGUCUAAAGGAGAAAGAAAGUGUGAACCAUAACGAGGCCUUUUUUGGCCAGCAAGCUAGAGCAAGAAAUCAUCCUGGGAGAGGCUCACAAGUGCAACCACCCAUGAAGGUUCUAAAACCAUGGAGGCUUUCUACACUCAUGUAACACAUAUGGUAGCUUGUAGAUAGUUCCAUGUAAUUAUUGAGAUAGGUAGAUAGUUUUAAAGCAUCAUCUAGACAUUUCCUUGUACCCUAUAAAUAGGAGGGGCCUCAUUUGGCUCAACACACACAAGAAAUCCAGCACUGACAUUACUUAAAAGCACUAUAAGCUUUCCUUGAGUAAUAGAGUUCUUUCCUCCCAUCUUGAACAAGUUUGAGUGAAUACUCUUUCCCACUUUCGAAUCCAGUAACGUUGUGAGUGAGCAAGGUUGACUUAGGACCAAGAGAGUGAGAUUUAGCACCUAAGGCCCUGCAAUUCAGUGAGGGAUCAAGAGUGUCGUGAUAGUUGGUAUCAAAGCCGUAAUCACUCUUGGGGUAAUUGCGUCAUUUAAAAGGAAGAAUGUCGGACCUCACUUAUGAUGACCAAAGGGUAAGGGACCAAAAUCCCAACUUGAAAAAGAGAAAGAACAAGAAGGAGAAGUCCGUGGAUAGGCUGAACGCCAUUGAGAAUUGGGUUGUUCGUAGGGAGAUUAUUGUCUUUGAGAUAAAGGAGCACCUCGAGAUCUUCAAGCAAAAGAUGAAAGAGGUUGAUAAUCUUGAGGGACAAAUGGUUGACUUAAGCCAAGACAUAAUGGUGCAACAUUAAAGUCUCAAGAAGUUCCAAGCUGUAGUGAUGAACUAAAUCGAGGGGCUAAGAGCUCAAGUGGAGGAGCUUUACACGGGUCAUAAGGAGACCAAGAGCAAUAGGGCACUUUGAAAGAAGACGGUGGCCAGCGAAAUGCUCACCACUAAUGCCAUACCUUUAAUAAAGAUUGAGGUUCCUAAGACCAAAGAGGUACAAGGGCAAACGAAAUGCCCAAGAGAUUGACAAUUUUCUGUGGUCCAUGGAGAGGUACUUCGAAACCACCAAUGUUCAAUGCGAGUAAGAAGAGGUAAAUAUUACAAUGGGGUAUCUUGAAGAUCACGCAACUACUUGGUGGCAAUAGAAGCCUGCAAAGAUUAUACGCAUGAUGUGUAUUAUCAACACAUGGGACUUGUUCAAGCGCGAGCCAAAGAAGUAAUUUUAUCCAGGGAGUGUAGCGUAAGAGGCUAACAAAAAGAUGAGAGAACUGAAGCAUAUAGGGUCCAUCUCGAGAACAUGAACCCAAAUGACUUGUUGUUCAUCUUUAUGGAAGGACUCUAACCAUGGGCACAACGGGAGCUUCAAUGGUACCAAGUGAAUGACACCUCCACUACCCUCACUGAGGUAGAUAUACUUGUAGAAUUUCGAAAUGAUGAAUCAUCUAAGCCAAAGAAGGAUAAUAAGCCCCAACAUAGGAAAUGUGGAGGUGCAAAUUAAAAGGAGAUAAGCUACCACAUUAUGAUGGCUAAGAAAAACUGUCACAAAAGAAUGAUGGUUUGAAGGACGGUAAGGAGAAAGUCAAGCGUAAGCAUAACUACUACCUAUGUAAUGUGGACUAUUGGGUGACAAACUGCCUAAAGAAGAAAGCUUUCAACGCCAUGUUCAACAAGCUCGAAGAGAAACAACUAAAGACACGAAAUGUGGGUUUACAAAUCGAUCACGGUUCAUCUUCAUCCAUGUCUGAGCAAUCAAAUCAUGUAUAUGUUCACGAGCCUCUCUCUCUCAGACUCCAGCUUCAUGCAUGUAACAUUGAAUUGAUUUAUGAGCAUCUCCCCUCUUCAGUUCAUCCUAAUAAUUAAUUCAAUCAAACGUAUUGUCAACAACAUUAACAAUUAACUAAUUAUCUAAUAAUCAGAUUGUGAGUACUACAAUUUGUUAUGGAGAAUAUCCUAUACUGCUGAGAAUAAUUCCUCAACUAAUAAUAAGAAUAUAUUAUGUUGUCAGUGGAUAUGAGAUAUCUUCCAUAACAAAUUUAAUAUUAAAAAUGAAUUAAUUGUACCGAUGAUUUUCCCAAAUCGUCUGCAAGUCGUAGAAUUAUUGAUGACCAACGAAUUAUGUUGGGAUAAUCUUUCAUGAAUUCCAAGCCCUCCGUUGUUAUUGGAUUUGCUGUAGAAGUGUUUGCAUGGACUAGAAUUACAGGUGCUGCUACCAAAAUCCAAGCAUUUUCCAUGUACUCUUGGAGUGUUGGUAUGUAGCCGUUGUCGUACCACUUGGCCUCCACUAAAUAUGUUUUGCAUAGAUUUGCCCACUGAAAGUUUUAUUUUUGUAUAUCGAAUUGAUUAAUAUAAUAUCAAAUACAAAAGCAUAAAUUAAAUUAAUUAAAGGGAAAUAAUUUCCAAGCACCUCAAGAAUAUUAUAAAUAUAAUUAGUCACCAUAAAUUUCAAAUGAUAUCUUGGCACUAACUCAAAUUUUAAUUUUAUAUCAACCAGGCAUUUUUUUAUUAACUCUAUAGCUAUCAUUAAAUAAUUUAAGGUAAAAGACCAAUUUACCCUAAAAUGAAAAACACAUGGUAAAUUGGUGGUGCAAAAUAAUCUUUUAUCUUAUAUUAUUUUAAUAGUGACUAACGGAGUUAAGACAAAAGUGAUCGGUUUACAUAAAAUUAAAACUUGAAAUGAUGUAGAGAUAAUACUAGUUAUCAUAGCAGUUAUUUAAACUUUUUGAUAUUCUUAAGGUGAUUGGAGAAUAAUAUUCCUUAAUCAAAAUGAAAGGUUUAAUCUACUAGUACCGCUUUCUUAAGAUAAGAAAUGACCAUGCCAACUCCUUGAUCCCGAAGAGCAUCAAAAGCCAUUUCAUUUAUGGAAUUAUGGAGAGCAAGAAAGCACAACUUCGUAUAGUCUGGAAGUUGCUCUAUUGUAGUAGCGUCCCACCUAACAAUGUAAUACAACUAAAUUAAAAUAAGAGAGGUGUAUAAAUUUAUAAAUUCCUGAGUAAUGAUCUAGUGAAUAAUGUGCUCGCUUUAUGCUGGGCAAUACUAUCAAGUGAAUAAUGUGCUCGCUUUAUGCUGGGCAAUACUAUCACAUAAUUUAUAUAAUUACUUCAUAAUUUUAACAAUAUUCAUUAGGAAUCACAAAAUUAUAUCAUGUGUCCAAGUGUUUAUCAUACGAUGAGUACUAAUCCUCACUAAAUCAUUUUCCAUACACAAUCAUACGAAUAGAAAUGACAUUAAAUAAAAGUAACCUUUCAACUGCAUCCGUGAAAAGUUCAAAUUCGUCCAAAGUCCCAAAGACAUCAUAAACAUCAUCUAUUGUUGUUAUUAAGGCAUUGACCAUUGUAGACAUCCGUCUACUAUAUCCAAAAUCCGGUUCGAAUAUCACCCCCACGGUGCAGAAGAAAUUCUCCAUUAUUCUGUCUCUUGCAAAAUUCAACCUCUCCCCAAGUCCUGUUUUCUUCCACCACCUGACCACAUAAUUAAUUAGCAUGAAAUUAAUUGAGUUACAUAAAUACAUGCUCAGUUAGAUUUAAUCAUUCUUGAGUGAGGAUCUCCACAUUUUCACAAAUGCUAUUGUGAAGAUAGCUCAUUAUGCAGAAGUGAAGAAGAAGAAUCAGCAUGGUGUUAAUCCUUGUAACAAGAAUGUCAAGUUACCAGCUGUCAUUAGUACCACGUCAGAAGAUCCAAGUCAGCAGCAGUUACCAGCUUAACUAACUUCACAAUGCACACUCUGUAUUUUAUUAUUGUUAGCUGAGUGAGCUUGUGUUUAAUAAUUAGUUAGUGAGCAAUUAGUUAGAGUAUGUAAACCAUGUAUAAAUAGCUACAUAUUCGAGAUUGUUAAACGAUUUGGCCAUCCCAAUUUUCAUACACUAAUGCAUUUGCUCAAACAAGUCAAGUCUAUUAAUAUUUCUCACAAUGUAAAACAACAAGCACUUACAAUCAUUUGUAAAGAAUGUCAAAUGAGAAAAUCACAUAGAUUGCAUUUUCCUGCUACUGAAACCAAAACAACCAAAAUUCUUGAACUAAUACAUAGAGACCUCUAGGGCCCUUCACCUCAUCCUUUCAAAGAGGGUUAUUCAUACUACAUCAGCUUUGCAGAUGACUUUAGUAAGUAUACCUGGAUUUUUCCUUUGAAACUAAAGUCAGCAGCCUUAGAAGUAUUCAAACUCUUCAAACUGCAAGUUGAAAAAUAAUUUGAUACCUCCAUUAAGAUGUUGCAAUCUGAUUAGGAAGGGGAAUAUAGACCAUUCACUAGCUUUUUGAAUCAAUCUGGAAUCCUAUUUAGACACCCUUGUCCUUACACACAUCAUCAAAAUGGGGUAGCUGAAAGAAAGCAUAGACAUGUUGUUGAACUAGGACUCACUUUACUAGCUUAAGCUCACUUACCUUUUAAAUUUUGGUGGAACACCUUUCAUACAGCAGUGUAUCACAUUAAUAGAUUACCCUCUGCCACUCUUCAUUUUGAUACACCCUAUGAGAAAUUGUUCAAUCAUAAACCAGAUUAUAACAUGCUUAGAUGUUUUGGUUGUUGUUGUUAUCCCUACUUAAGAGAUUAUAAUAGACAUAAAUUUGACUAUCAUUCGAGUAAAUGCAUUUUUGUUUGAUAUAGUCCAUCUCACAAAGGGUAUAAGUUUCUUCAUCCUUCUGGAAAAGUAUACAUAGCUAGACAUGUUUUUGAUGAAAAUACAUUUCCUUACUCAAAUAUUUACGAGUCACAGAAAUCCAAUUUUUGCUCUCCUAUUCUUCUUACUCCUCAACAAGUCUAUCAUCUCACUACUCUAUCUGUAACUCCUUUUUUUCCUGAUGGCAGCUUGACUAAUCCUGACUCUGUAAGUUCCAAUUGCAGUGGUUCUGACCACUUGGUUAACUCAGCUUCAACCCAGUACACUAUACCAGAAGAACCUAUAAAAUCUCAUAUUUACCUGUUCAACCUACAUCGUCUCCAUCCACUUCACCUAACAAUCAACCAAUACAUAUUUCAUCCAAUAUACAAACAUCAAUAAUCAUUCAACAACCCUCAUCUCAACCAAACACACACCAAAUGAUCACCAGGAGUAAAGCUGGUAUCUUUAAACCCAAAGUAUACACAACAGUUCUUGAACACAAGGAACCAGAUACAGUUCAUGAGGCAUUACAUGAUCCAAAUUGGUUUGCAGCUAUGAAAAAUGAAUUUGAUGCUUUAACUCGUAACAAUACAGGGUCAUUAGUUCCAAGAACAAGUGAUCAAAAUAUAGUUGGCAAUAAGUGGGUAUAAAGAGUUAAACACAACACUGAUGGCAGUUUAGCUAAGUAUAAAGCUUGGUUAGUGGCAAAGGGUUUUCAGCAGAUUGCAAGGGUGAACUAUUUUGAAACUUUCAGUCCAGUGAUAAAACCAGCCACUGUCAGAGUUGUGCUAAGUCUUGGAGUGAUGAAUCAAUGAUCAAUUAGGCAAGUUGAUACAGAGUGUGCAUUGUGAAGUUAGUUAAGCUGGUAACUGCUGCUGACUUGGAUCUUCUGACGUGGCACUAAUGACAGCUGGUAACUUGACAUUCUUGUUACAAGACUUAACACCAUACUGAUUCUUCUUCUUCACUUCUGCAUAAUGAGCUAUCUUCACAGCCCCCCUCAAACUUAAAGGACAUGGAAAGACAUUGAGUUUGUCCCUUAAGUAAUUGAACUGAGGAGAAGAUAAGGGCUUGGUUAGGAUAUCUGCAAUCUGAUCUUCACUUGGCACAUAACAGAUUUUGAGGUCACCAGCUAACACUUUAUCUCGAAUAAAAUGAACAUCAAUCUCAAUGUGUUUAGUUCUUGAAUGGAACACAAGAUUCUUUGCUAGUUGUGUUGCACUUAUAUUAUCACACCAUAUUGUUGGUCUCUCUACACAGCAUACUCUCAUUUCCAGAAACAAUGAUUUUAACCAAGCUAUUUCUAAAGUAGCUGAAGCAAGUGCCCUAUAUUCACUCUUAGCUGAAGAUUUAGUGACUACUGUUUGCUUCUUCGAAGACCAUGAAAUCAUAUUAUUUCCAAGAUACACACAGUAAGCUCCAAUUGAUUUUCUAUCAUCCAAGUCACUUCCCCAAUCUGCAUCAGUGAAUGAAGUAAGUUUCAUAUCACCAUCCUUAACAAACUUUAAGCCAUAAUCAUGUGUCUCCUUUAGAUAUUUAAGAACCCUUUUGCAAGCCAUAAGAUGUUGCAUAGUUGGUACAGAUACAUAUUGGCUCAGCUUAUGAACAGAAUAAGCAAUUUCUGGUCUUGUCAAGAUCGGGUACUGGAGACCACCUACAAUGCUUCUAUAAUGAGUAGCAUCUUUAACAUAGUAACCCAAUUCUCCUUUAACUAUCUUCUGCAACUUUGAGUCCUUGCCACUACACAUUGGUGUUAUCACUUCUUUACAAUCAAGCAUAUCUACUUUAGCAAGCAAAUCUCUUAUAUACUUCUUCUGAGACAAAUAAAUGCAAUCUUGACCAUACAACACUUAUAUACCAAGGAAAUAAGACAAUCUUCCUAAGUCUUUCAAAGCAAAAAUAGUAUUAAAUUGUUGAAUGAAGCUGUCCAAUUCUCCACUGUUAGGUCCAGUAACUAAUAUGUCAUCAACAUAUAUCAAUACCAUAAUGAGUGACAAUUUAGUUCUUCUUAAGAAUAAAGAAGAAUCAGAUUUGGAAUUUCUGAAACCCCAUUGCAAAAGACAUCCUCUGAGCUUUUCAAACCAAGCUCUAGGAGCUUGCUUAAGACCAUAUAAUGCUUUGUGUAAUCUGCAAACAUAGUUAGGUUUGCUUUUAUCAACAAAUCCUUCAGGUUGCUACAUAGACACCUCUUCUGACAACUCACCAUUUAAGAAUGCAUUGUUGAUAUCCACCUGUCUAAUUAUCCACUGAUUGAUCACUGCAAGAUUAAGAACUACUCUAACUGUUGCUGGCUUUAUCACUGGACUAAAGGUAUCAAAAUAAUUCACACCUUCAAUCUGUUGAAACCCUUUUGCCACCAACCGAGCCUUAUAGUUAGCUACACUGCCAUCAGUAUUAUACUUUAUCCUAUACGCCCACUUAUUCCCAACAAUUUUCUGGUUUUCUGUUCUUGGUACUAAAGACCAAGUUCUAUUUUCGAUUAGUGCGUCAUACUCAUUUUUCAUAGCUGUAAACUAAUUUGUAUCUUGCAAAGCUUCAUAACAGUAUACAUUUUUUGUUUAAAAAUACCUGCUUUUCCUCUUGUCAUCAUGGGGUGAUUGUUUUGUAAAGGUUGAAUAUUGUUUGAGGUUAUUUGAGAUUGAGAUGGUAAUUGAAUUGGAGAAAAAUCUGAAGUGUUUGGUGAGUUUUUUUCAUGAGUAGGUUCAAGAGCAGAAUUAAGAUUUGGUGUUUGAAGUUGGGUACCCUCAUUUGCUUGGAGGUGAUCUGCUAGUGGGAACAGUUCUGUGCUGUUGGAACAUGUUGGAGGACAGGAUUCAAAACUGCUAUCACAAGGAUUUGACACAACAUGAAGAGUGGACAAAUGAAAAACUUGAUGAGGAGACAAAGUAUAGCUACAUAUUGGUUGUAUUUUGCUUUCAUAAUUGAAAUUAGGAUCUGAAGAGAAAGGAAAUGCAUUUUCAUCAAAUAUGACAUGCCUUGCUAUGUAUAUACGAUCAGAAUGAUGCAGACAUUUAUAUCCUUUGUGAGCAGGGCUAUAACCAAUGAAUAUGCAUUUACUUGUGUGAUAAUCAAACUUAUGGUUAUUGUAAUCUCUCAAGUAUGGAUAGCAAGCACAUCCAAAACAUUUCAGCAUCUUAUAAUCAGCUUUAUGUUUGAAAAGUUUUUCAUAUGGUGUCAACAUUUUAAGAGCUGAAGUUGGUAACCUAUUGAUAUGAUAAACUGAAGCAUGGAAAGAAUCCCACCAAAAAUUCAAAGGAAGCUUAGCUUGAGCUAACAAUGUAAGACCCAAUUCUACCACUUGUCUGUGCUUUCUCUCAACUAAGUCAUUCUGAUGAUGAGUAUGUGGACAAGAGUGCCUAAAUAAAAUAAUUUAAAAAUUCAGUGAAUGAUCUGUAUUCUCCCCUCCAGUCAGAUUGUAGUAUCUUAAUGGUUGUUUGGAACUGGUUUUCAACUUGCAACAUGUAUAGCUUAAAAACUUCUAAAGCUUCUUAUUUUAAUUUCAAUGGGUAAAUCCAAGUAUAUCUAGUGAAAUCGUCAACAAAGCUAAUAUAAUAUCUAAACCAUUCUCUUGAAAUAACUGGUGAGGGACCUCAAAGAUCAGUGUGUAUAAGUUCAAGUGCUGAUUUGGUUUUGAUUUCUGUAAUUGGGAAGUGCAAUUUGUGUAUUUUACCCAACUGACAUACUUCACAGAAAUGCUAUGUUGCUUGUUUAACCAUAUUCAUAGAGAACUUAUCAGUAUGAUGAAGUUUGAGUAAAUGCAAUAAGCUUUGAGAAUUUGGGUGGCCAAAUCUUCUGUGUAAAAGAGCUAUUUUAUUAGGCUUAUCAGAACAUACAUCAAUACCAUUCUAUAAACAAAUGUUUGGAUUAUUUAUGAACUCUACAUAUGGCAUAUGAGAAGCAAGGUGACAGAAUGAUAACAUUGACAGAGGUUUAUUGGCUUGACUAUGAGACACAACAGAUGAUGACUCAAAAUUCUUGGUGGAAGACAUAAGUUUGACCAGCAGUUUAUACAAUCCUUUCUCAGCAAUGCCCUGCAUUAGAACUUGUCCCUUCAGCAAAUCCUUCACAACACAAAAUGAUCCAAGAAAUUCAACAGAAAUGUCAUUGUCAGUGGUAAGUUUGGAAAUGCUUAUUAGGUUCUUUGUGAUAGAGGGAACGAGCAAAAUAUCUUUAAGUGCAAUAUGUGAAUCUGCAGGUUGAGAUUUUGAACUCUUGAAUGAAAAAUAAGAAUCACCAAUAUGAGUUAUUGAUAAACCUUCACCAUUACCAAUAAUGAGCUUAUUAUUACCUCUAAACUCAUCUCUAAUAUUCAGAUUUCCCAUGUUGUUGGUCAGAUGAUGAGUGGCACCACUGUCCAGGUACCAGCCUUCAUCUGCAGGUCCUUCACAAUGUGCACCAGAAGUAGCUCCAGCCUAGGGUAUACCAGAAUAGUCAGAUACACAAGAAUGUCCAGAAUGUGACAUUUGUAAUCUAGUACUAUUGACAGGCCAUGGAUCAUCAUUUGUUGAAUAGUAAGGCAUGUAUGCAGGUUCAUAAUUAGCUAUAUAAGCAGACUUUGAACCUUUUUCUCUCUGAAAUUGUCUUGGUGGCUGAGGUAUGUAAUUUUCUUCAAAUUUGUGCCAACAUUCAACAGCUGUAUGUCCUGCUUUGAAGCAAAUCUGACAUGUAUUCAUGGAAUCAUCACUGUUGGAUGCUUGUGAUUCAAAAGAAGGCAAAUUACCAGUACCAGAAAAACCAGUACUUCUAAAUGAACCUCUUCCAGAAGAACCAAAUCUAUUACUUCCCAUCAUCAUUUGAUUUCUUCCAUGAUUACCAAAAUGACCAGUUCCAACAGGAAAACCUCUUGGAUGUGAGUUUAAAAAUAUUCAUCUAUCAUUAAACAUGCCAUUUCUACCACCUGAAUGACCAUUAUAAUUGCCCUGGAAACCUCUUGUAUAUCCUCCUCUCCUAGCUUGACCUCUUAUUUGAGCAUAGUAUGCAUUCAUCAUACUAUUAUUAUUCCAGUUAGACAUAUUAGCAUAGUUUGCAUUAAACAUGUGCUUUUCACUUUGACUUUGUUCAAGUCUGGCUUCAUGAGUGAGUAAUAAAGCACAAGCAUCAUUAUAAUCCAAUUUGCUUGCUGUGAUAAAAGUAGUUAACUCCAAAUAGCCAGCUCCUAAACCAUUGAGAAUUUAUUGCAACAUAUCUCUAUCUAAUACAGGACUACCAGCACACGCCAAUUUGUCUGUAACUUGUUUCAUUUUUAAGCAAUAUUCUUCAAUACUUAGUAAUUCUUUUCUUAAGACACUCAUCUCAUACUUAAGUUGAAGAACUCUACCCUCAGAUUGUACACCAAACCUUUUCUUUAAUGUUUUCCAUACAUCAAAUGAAGUAUUACAUGAGUGAACUAGACUGAGAAUACCUUCAGUUGUUGAGCUAAGAAGCCAGCUGAGUAAUGUUUGAUCUUGAGAUCUCCAAACUGUGUAUUCAGGAUUCUCGAUCUGUUGAGAAGAUCCAGCAACUCCAGAAGUUGCUCCAGCAAAGCUUGAUGAUGCUAUAAAUCGAUUUGGUGCAAUCUUUUCUCCAUUAAUGUAUCCUUCAAGUCGAUUUCCUCUAAUGGAGGCCAGCACUUGAUUUUUCCAAAGCAUGUAGUUAGAUCUAUCUAAUUUGAUUGGUGUGAUGAAAGAAAAAGUUGUUUGAUUUGUAGCUACUGUAUUUUGAUUGCUUGAGGUUGCCAUGAAUGGCUCUGAUACCAUGAAGAAAUUGUAAAAGUUGAUAAGUGCUGCUAUUUGGCAACUGAGAAAAAUAGAGGAAAAUUUCUUAUUUCAUUAAUGAACUGAUAUUUUGUACACAUUAACAAUCUCGAAUAUGUAGCUAUUUAUACAUGCUUUACAUACUCUAACUAAUUGCUCACUAACUAAUUAUUAAACACAAGCUCACUCAGCUAACAAUAACAAAAUACAGAGUGUGCGUUGUGAAGUUAGUUAAGCUGGUAACUGCUGCUGACUUGGAUCUUCUGACGUGGCACUAAUGACAACUGGUAACUUGACAUUCUGGUUACAAGGCUUAACACUAUGCUGAUUCUUCUUCUUCACUUCUGCAUAAUGAGCUAUCUUCACAAUAGCAUUUGUGAAAAUGUGGAGAUUCGCACUCAAGAAUGAUUAAAUCUAACUGAGAAUGUAUUCAUGUAACUCAAUUAAUUUCAUGCUAAUUAAUUAUGUGGUCAGGUGGUGGAAGAAAACAGGACUUGGGGAGAGGUUGAAUUUUGCAAGAGACAGAAUAAUGGAGAAUUUCUUCUGGACCGUAGGGGUGAUAUUCGAACCGGAUUUUGGAUAUAGUAGACGGAUGUCUACAAUGGUCAACGCCUUAAUAACAACAAUAGAUGAUGUUUAUGAUGUCUAUGGGACUUUGGACGAACUUGAACUUUUCAGGGAUGCAGUUGAGAGGUUACUUUUAUUUAAUGUCAUUUCUAUCCGUAUGAUUGUGUAUGGAAAAUGAUUUAGUGAGGAUUAGUACUCAUCGUAUGAUAAACACUUGGACACAUGAUAUAAUUUUGUGAUUCCUAAUGAAUAUUGUUAAAAUUAUGAAGUAAUUAUAUAAAUUAUGUGAUAGUAUUGCCCAACAUAAAGUGAGCACAUUAUUCACUAGAUCAUUACUCAAGAAUUUAUAAAUUUAUACACCUCUCUUAUUUUAAUUUAGUUGUAUUACAUUGUUAGGUGGGACGCUACUACAAUAGAGCAACUUUCAGACUAUACGAAGUUGUGCUUUCUUGCUCUCCAUAAUUCCAUAAAUGAAAUGGCUUUUGAUGCUCUUCGGGAUCAAGGAGUUGGCAUGGUCAUUUCUUAUCUUAAGAAAGCGGUACUAGUAGAUUAAACCUUUCAUUUUGAUUAAGGAAUAUUAUUCUCCAAUCACCUUAAGAAUAUCAAAAAGUUUAAAUAACUGCUAUGAUAACUAGUAUUAUCUCUACAUCAUUUCAAGUUUUAAUUUUAUGUAAACCGAUCACUUUUGUCUUAACUCCGUUAGUCACUAUUAAAAUAAUAUAAGAUAAAAGAUUAUUUUGCACCACCAAUUUACCAUGUGUUUUUCAUUUUAGGGUAAAUUGGUCUUUUACCUUAAAUUAUUUAAUGAUAGCUAUAGAGUUAAUAAAAAAAUGCCUGGUUGAUAUAAAAUUAAAAUUUGAGUUAGUGCCAAGAUAUCAUUUGAAAUUUAUGGUGACUAAUUAUAUUUAUAAUAUUCUUGAGGUGCUUGGAAAUUAUUUCCCUUUAAUUAAUUUAAUUUAUGCUUUUGUAUUUGAUAUUAUAUUAAUCAAUUCGAUAUACAAAAAUAAAACUUUCAGUGGGCAAAUCUAUGCAAAACAUAUUUAGUGGAGGCCAAGUGGUACGACAACGGCUACAUACCAACACUCCAAGAGUACAUGGAAAAUGCUUGGAUUUUGGUAGCAGCACCUGUAAUUCUAGUCCAUGCAAACACUUCUACAGCAAAUCCAAUAACAACGGAGGGCUUGGAAUUCAUGAAAGAUUAUCCCAACAUAAUUCGUUGGUCAUCAAUAAUUCUACGACUUGCAGACGAUUUGGGAAAAUCAUCGGUACAAUUAAUUCAUUUUUAAUAUUAAAUUUGUUAUGGAAGAUAUCUCAUAUCCACUGACAACAUAAUAUAUUCUUAUUAUUAGUUGAGGAAUUAUUCUCAGCAGUAUAGGAUAUUCUCCAUAACAAAUUGUAGUACUCACAAUCUGAUUAUUAGAUAAUUAGUUAAUUGUUAAUGUUGUUGACAAUACGUUUGAUUGAAUUAAUUAUUAGGAUGAACUGAAGAGGGGAGAUGCUCAUAAAUCAAUUCAAUGUUACAUGCAUGAAGCUGGAGUCUGAGAGAGAGAGGCUCGUGAACAUAUACAUGAUUUGAUUGCUCAGACAUGGAUGAAGAUGAACCGUGAUCGAUUUGUAAACCCACAUUUCGUGUCUGACGUUUUUGUUGGGAUUGCAAUGAAUUUGGCGAGGAUGUCUCAAUGCAUGUACCAAUUUGGAGAAGGUCACGGACACGGUGUUCAAGAAAUUACUAAAGCUCGUGUUUUAUCUUUAAUUGUUGAUCCCAUUGCUUAAUUAAUUAUAUAUAACUAAGCCUUGAAUAAAAGAAAAACAUGAUGAUGCUCCGGCUAAUAAUAAUUCAAUAAAAUGAUAUAUAUGGUUACAUACUGAGAUCCUUUUGUUUGCAAUUUUUUUAUUUUUAUAAAUAAAUGUUGUUUCAAUUUCCUAUCUCAUUGUCAUCUUUGUAGUACUUUGCAGGAAAUCGUUUCAGCAUUUUUCAUUUAGAUAUUUGGAUUAAAAAAGUGACAAAGCACUAAUAAAAUGAACUAUAUAACAUCGUCAAUUAACGUACACUAUAACACUACAAGGCAUUAUUUAUUAACAUUUUAUCAGCCUUUAGUCCCUUUAGCAAUUUUCAUUUAAAAAUUAUAUAUCUCAGGGCAUACUGUCUACAUACCGACUUUUUUUCAUUUGAUAGAAAUAUCUAAAUAUAAUUUUUUUAGGACCAAUAAGCUCUUAAAAUUUCAGAGGCAACUUAUGUCGGCGGCUGUAGCUGGUGGCACCUUUAGUUGUUUCUCUUCGAGCUCGUUGAACGUGGCGUUGAAAGCUUUCUUCUUUAGGCAGUUUGUCACCCAAUAGUCCACAUUACAAAGGUAGUAGUUAUGCUUACGCUUGACUUUCUCCUUACCGUCCUUCAAACUAUCCUUCUUUUGUGACAGUUUUUCCUAGCCAUCAUAAUGUGGUAGCUUCUCUCCUUUUAAUUUGCACCUCCACAUUUCCUAUGUUGGGGCUUAUCAUCCUUUUUUGGCUUAGAUGAUUCAUCAUUUCGAAAUUCUACAAGUAUAUCUACCUCAGUGAGGGCAGUGGAGGUGUCAUUCACUCGGUACCAUUGAAGCUCCCGUUGUGCCCAUGGUUAGAGUCCUUCCAUAAAGAUGAACAACAAGUCAUUUGGGCUCAUGUUCUCAAGAUGGACCCUGUAUGCUUCAGUUCUCUCAUCUUUUUGUUAGCCUCUUGCGCUACACUCCCUGGAUAAAAUUGCUUCUUUGGCUAGCGCUUGAACAAGUCCCAUGUGUUGAUAAUACAUAUCCUGCGUAUAAUCUUUGCAUGCUUCUAUUGCCACCAAGUAGUUGUGUGAUCUUCAAGAUACCCCAUCGUAAUAUUUACCUCUUCUUGCUCGAAUUGAACAUUGGUGGUUUCGAAGUACCUCUCUAUGGACCACAGAAAAUUGUCAAUCUCUUGGGCAUUUCGUUUGCCCUUGUACCUCUUUGGUCUCAGGAACCUCAAUCUUUAUUAAAGGUACGACAGUAGUGGUGAGCACUUCGCUGGCCACCGCCUACUUUCAAAGUGCCCUAUUGCUCUUGGUCUCCUUAUGACCCGUGUAAAGCUCCUCCACAUGAGCUCUUAGCCCCUCGAUUUAGUUCAUCACUUCAGCUUGGAACUUCUUGAGACUUUAGUGUUGCACCAUCAUGUCUUGGCUUAAGUCAACCAUUUGUCCCUCAAGAUUAUCAAUCUCUUUCAUCUUUUGCUUGAAGAUCUCGAGGCGCUCCUUUAUCUCAAAGACAACAAUCUCCCUACGAACAACCCAAUUCUCAAUGGCGUUCAGCCUAUCCACGGACUUCUCCUUAUUGUUCUUUCUCUUUUUCAAGUAGGGAUUUUGGUCCCUACCCUUUGGUCAUCAUAAGUGAGGUCCGACAUUCUUCCUUUUAAAUGACGCAAUUACCCCAAGAGUGAUUACGACUUUGAUACCAACUAUCACGACCCUCUUGAUCCCUCACUGAAUCGCAGGGCCGUAGGUGCUAAAUCUCACUCUCUUGGUCCUAAGUCAACCUUGGUCACUCACAACGUUACUGGAUUCGAAAGUGGGAAAGAGUAUUCACUCAAACUUGCUCAAGAUGGGAGGAAAGAACUCUAUUACUCAAGGAAAGCUUAUAGUGCUUUUAAGUAAUGUUAGUGCUGGAUUUCUUGUGUGUGUUGAGCCAAAUCAGGCCCCUCCUAUUUAUAGGGUACAAGGAAAUGUCUAGAUGAUGCUUUAAAACUAUCUACCUAUCUCAAUAAUUACAUGGAGCUAUCUACAAGCUACCACAUGCGUUACAUAAGUGUAGAAAGCCUCCAUGGUUUUAGAACCUUCAUGAGUGGUUGCACUUUUGAGCCUCUCCCAUGAUGAUUUCUUGCUCUAGCUUGCUGGCCAAAAAAGGCCUCGUUAUGGUUCACACUUUCUUUCUCCUUUAGACUUACUAUCACUUGCCUAUGAUUCUGUGAUGCAAAAGUAAAUUGUUUUAUUGAUGGAUAAGGAGGCUUUUUAUCAACAUUGCCAUUUUAGAGUCAGAGUAUUUUGAGCCAAGGGCGUGUGACAUCUGAAAUACUUGAUCUUCAUCUAACAUAGGCUUGCUGAUUGUCGUAAGUUUGUCACAAAGCCCUUUCAAUUUCUUAAGGAAUUCUUUAAGCUCUAAGGAACCCUUCUUUAAAGAGUAAAAGUUAUUCUUCAACCAAAAUUAUUGUUCUUUAGUUGCAGAAGCAUGUGCUCUUCAACAAAUAACCAAAUAUCUCUAGUGGAAAGGCAUCCAACUAUAAUGGUCAUUAUAUCUUCGUUCAUCAUUCCCUGAAGCCAAGGCAUGAGUAAUCCAUCAUUAUUUUGCCAAAUAGUAAACUCAGGAUUGUUGACCUUUUUUCCAUCUAGAAAUAUUUCUUGGUGGAACUGUUUCAUCAUUGAUAUGAUGCUCUAGAUCAAGGCUUCUUAUGAGUGGCAGUGACAGGACUUGCGACUUCAAAAGAAGGUAUUAUUGUUGUUGAGUUUGAUGGAAAUUAGGCUUGCACAAAUGACUGGAUCGAGAGUUUGGGCUUAGUUUGUAUUUUCGUAGCCAUAGGCUCUGAUACCAUAAAGAAAUAUAGGAUUGAUUGAAAACAAUUUGUUUUCUUGUUUUUGUAUUUGCUCGAUCAUUACAUUAUAUACACAGAUUAUCAAAAUCAAGCUUGCACAAAUGAAAGGUUCUCAAAAUUGUAUCAAUUACACUAACUUCCGAGAAUCAUGACGUUGAGCGCUUUAUAUCAAAAUUGGCUUGUGGCCGUUGGACUCCUUCAAUCAUGUACACUGAUUUCUCUUGUGUCCGUUAGAAGUGUAUACCAGCGUCGUUCUUUCCUUAAUCUGUCCUCAGUAAACCCUUUAGCUAAGGCAACAAUACUGCCAUAUUUGUCACAACUGGUGACCUUGGUUCUUGUUGAUUUGUCUGAUGCUUUUGUUGCUUAUCAAUUACAAUAGCGUAGUUUUUAUUUUCUCACUACAACCACCAAAAUAAUUUUAAAACCCUAGACCUUUUAUCUUUAAUAUUUCACUUAAGCCAUAACUAAAAGCUAGUUACAGAAGAAUAUCCAAGAUUUUCAUUGAAUGAAAAAUAUUACAGAUUGGAUCAGAAAAAAUAGAAACCAUGAGAUCUCUACGCUUGUGAUCGACAAAAGAAAUCUGGGAUGUAAAUUGUUAAGAUGAAAAUAAUAUUAGUUUAUCUAUAAAUUAUUAAUGAGUGUAGUCAGUAGGUGUCUAGAGUAGAAAUUAUCAUAAAAUUGUUUUUAAUGGUAAAUUAACAUGUGGGUAAUUUAGGAAUGAGUGAGGUUAUUUGCACUCUGCAAUGUACUUCAAAUAUUCAUUUUGUUUAAAAACAUUAUUUACUAAACUAGAAAAUUAAAUGUUUACUUAAUCAAUUUAUCAAAAUUCCAAAAUUAAACUCAAAUUCAUGAUUCAUCUCUUUGUUUUUCUUUUCCUCACGACAAUUAGCCAGUCACUUAUUAUUAUAUUGGGAUAUCAAAAGCUCUUUCUCGUUUGAGAGUUUCCAGAAUAUGGGAGCUCUCACUCGUGAUCAACUUUAAUUAUUUUUUUCAAAAUAACAUGUUAAUUCUCUCAUAUUCUUACAUAACUCCUUACAGACAAUAAAAACCUCCAACAACACCACUAUGUUGGCCUUUUAAAUUAAGUGGUUGUAGGUGUAUUUUGUAUAAUGAAAGCAACUAUUAAUCAUUCAAAACUUAAUCGGCAGCUCAGUUUGUUUUUGGGCCUUUGAUUUGCUUUGGCCAACUCUACUAGUUCAAGGAAAAGCCCUUUUAUUACUCAAUUCUCUAGUCAAGUCUUCUCUAUAACAUGCUUAUAUGUAAAACAAAAAAUUAAUUCUACCAAGUUGAUUUUUCAUUUAUCCCAUUAGAUAAACAACCAUUUUCAAAGUCUCAAUGAAUAUGACUGAAUGGUUCAGUAUGGCCAAUAAUAGACAAAAUCGCAAAAAAGAUAUGAGGAACGAGUGAGGAGGAGUGAUAUUUGAUUUGUAUAGAUUAGUUCGUCCUUAAGACCUAGCACAGAUAAGUGGGUUUGAGCUCCGCUCAAGAAAGUAAAUUCCAAAAAUUAAAGAGAAAAUUAGGUAAAUUUCUAAUUAGAACCCAUUAGAUCUGCAAAAAUACUCCUUGUUGGAUUUAUAAAAAUAGUCCCCAUAAACAUAAAAAACCCUUAAAAAUUAAUUUUUAACUACAUAAAGAGAGGAAGAUAUUUGGUUUGUAUAGAUUAGAUCGUUCUAAAGAUCUAGCACAUGACCAGUGGGGUUUGAGUUUCGCUCCAGAAAAUAAAUUCUAAAAAUUGAAGAGAAAAUUACUUGAGUUUCUAAUUGGACCCCUUCAAAUCUAUAAAAAUAUUCCUUGUUGGAUUUAUAAAAACAGCCUCCCAUCAACUCAUAAAUUCAUAAAAAUUAAAUUUUAACUAUAAGAAUUAUAAAAGUCCACUCUUUAAAUAAAAGCCCACAAUAACUCAUAUGGGUGGUCUUACUAUUAUUUAAUUAAUCCCUUUAUUAAAUCUAUUAGAAAAAAAUGAACCUCCAUAAACCUGAAAACCCCUAAAAUUUUAGUUUUUACAUCUUGUUCUUAUGUAUUCUAGCCUCCGGUAAAUUAUUUUUCUAGAUCCAUCACUCACAUAGAACCCCUUUUUACUAUUAUAUUCUUUGAUCAUUAUCUAAGUAUAUACUUACUGUAAACUGACAUAGAUACAUACACACAUAACAUAAAAAUAAUAUAUAAAUAUCAUAUUAAAAGUAAAAUAUUACAAUAAGUAUAGUUAAACAAAUUUACAUAUAUCUACUAAAAAGUAUUUUUAUAAUUAAUAAAAUAACAUAAAUAUUGAAAACUAAAUUUUAAUAUUAAGCGAUUAUCAGAUUAUCGUGAUUGAAUUUAUUAAUACUAAAAUACAUUAAUCUAAAAAUUGAAUAUAAGAUAUAUACUAAUAUAGACAUAACUAAAAUUUUAUUGUAAAUAAAAUAAUGCAAAAACUGACUUUCAGAUUUAUAAUUUCACAAUAGCGAUAAUAAUAAUUUGAAUAUGGUUAAAUAAAGAGAAAAAAAACAACAACAAAAAGAAUAAAAUAAUACUAAAAUGAUAAAAUUAAUUAGUUGUUUGUUUUGGUUACCAUUGAUGAUAACGCAACAAGAUAUUAAAGUCAAUAGUUAAUAAAAGUAAACAUAAUAUGAUUUAUAUAAUGCUUAUUCAUGGAAGCAUCAUAAAGGCCACUAUAACGCAUUUCUCAAUAUUCAUUCAUAUAUAUAGGGCCUCAUGUAUUUCUUAUGCAUCACCUCCUUUUAAUUUUAAUUAAGUUGUUUACAAUUAAGUUUAGAAAUUAUAACAUGUCGAAGAGUCUCGGUUUCAUUAUCUUGGCUUUGCUUUUGGUUGCAAGCACUGAAAACUCACAUGUUUCAAGCACUAGUACCGGCCAAGAAUCUAAUUCUGCAACAUCACCUGAUAGCGACAAGUGCUUUGGGCUUACACCAGAAGAAUGUUACAAUAAGUAUCACCAUGAUAGUCAAGACUACACCAUCAUCUAUAACCCAUGAUUUUGUUAAAUAGUUUUCCUCUUAUGCCAAAUGAAUACUUUUGCAAUAACCAUCAAUUGUAAAGAAAUUGAUGCUAUAUUUUAAUAAAAGAAGGAAUUAAUCCAUUAUGAGCAUGUGAUAUGUUGUGUUUGUUACAUGGUAUUGAUUUGUUGUAUGUAAUUUAUCAUUUGACCCCUAUAAUUUUUCUUCCCAACCCCUUGAACAAAUAUUUACAGAGGAGUAGCUCAACAUGUUUGAAGAUUUUAAUUUCAAUGAGGUAUGUGUGAUCCAUUUGAUCUCUAGUUUAGCCUUGCAACACAGAAAGUACAAUUGUUUAAUUAUAAUCUUUCGGAUGCUACUUUCAUGCCCUUUUUUUGUCUUUCCAACUAGCAAGCAAGAGUCUGCUAAAAGCAAUGUGAUGUAAGUGAUAACCAUUUUUGCUUAAUUGAUUUAUUUGUUUGAUUUAUAAUGUUUAUUUCUUGUGAUCUUUUGAAUGGUGAAAUCUUUUGAUCCGAGUUGUUGGCUCAUCUAGUUUUGUUGUCGAUCAUUAUUUGUUUAUUGGCAAAAUUGAUUAUCUAACCAAAUACUAUAUCUAUCUGCUACUAGGGUGUAAUUAUUUGUACUUUAAAAACACUUUUAACACCAAUAUUUUACCCUUCUUAAUUUCUAAACUUCUGUCAAUACUUCUACUCUAAUAUUUUAGAGGGGGUGUCAUUUGUCUAUAUAUGUAAUUUGCGGUUUUCUAUUGUCUCUAUUCCAGUAUUGUGGUUUUUAUUAGUUAUUUUAUUUUAUUACUAUUUUUAUUUUAUUUUCUAUGUCACUUUUUUGUGAUGUCACUUUUUGCCCGCUAUGCAUAGAGUUUAAUUUAAAUCCAAAAAUUUGGAAUAAUGCUUUCACAAUAAUGAUAAUAAUUUCAAUAGAUUAAAUAAAGAGAAAAAAUCUGACAUAUAAAUUAAAUAAGAUAAUAACACUAAAAAUGACAAAAUUAAUUAGUUGUGCAAGUUAAUAAUUAAUAAAAAUAAAAGCAUCUUUAAUGCUCAUUCAUGGAAUCAUCAAUAUUUGAGCUGAUACUGAAGGGAAAUAAGCCUAAGUCUGUAAGGAGACAAUGUGGUGGAGCACGAUUUAAUGCUUGAAUUUGAUGCAGAUGGAAGUAUUGAGACUGUUAAUUUUCGCCUUCUUGCUUUCUCUUCCUUCUAUAUAUAUAUAUAUAUAUAUAUAUAUAUAUAUAUAUUCUUUAGCAGAAAUGGAGAGAAGAAGAGCAUCGGAUUUUCUAUUCACAAGAUUUUUUUAAAAUUUGGUUAAUCUACGGUUUUCUUUUGGUUACCUUUGAGUAACAUGCUCUUUAAUUAUUUUAUUAUUUUCAUUUCAUUUUAUGUGUCACUAUUUUGGAUGUUAUAUUUUUCGCUUGCACGCUAUGUCUAGAGAUUAACGAGUUCGUUUAAAUUUGAAUAGUAUUUCACAAAAUACCAAUAUUUAUAACAAGCAUUAAAUAAAGAGAAAAAAAACCAAGUGAUAAAUUCAACAAAAAGUAAUACUAAAAAAAUGAUAAAAUUGAUUAGAUGUAUGUUUCAAUUACCAUGAAUGAGAACACAACAAGAUAUUAAAGUCAAUAGUUAAUGCAAAUAAAUGCACUACGACUUAUUCAAUACUCAUAAAUAGAAUCAACAACCUCAUAAAAUCCAUUAUACCUCAUUUCUCAAUAUUCAUUUAUAUAUGCAGAGCCUCAUGUGUUUGCUAUUCUUUACCUCUCUUUUAAUUCUCAAUAGGUUGUUUAUGUUUCAAUUUAGAAAAUAUAAAAUGUCAAAAAGUAUUGGUUUCAUCAUCCUAACUUAUUCAAUACUCAUAAAUAGAAUCAACAACUUCAUAAAGUCCAUUAUACCUCAUUUCUCGAUAUUCAUUUAUAUAUGCAGAGCCUCAUUUGUGAGUUAUUCUUUACCUCUUUUUUAAUUCUCAAUAGGUUGUUUAUGUUUGAGUUUAGAAAAUAUAAAAUGUCAAAAAGUCUUGGUUUCAUCAUCCUGACUUAUUCAAUACUCAUAAAUAGAAUCAACAACCUCAUAAAGGUCAUAAUACCUCAUUUCUCAAUAUUCAUUUAUAUAUGCAGAGCCUCAUAUGUUUGUUAUUUUUUACUUCUCUUUUAAUUCUCAAUAGGUUGUUUAUGUUUCAGUUUAGAAAAUAUAAAUUGUCAAAAAGUCUUGGUUUCAUCAUCCUGACUUCCUUGUAGUAGCAAGCACUUAAUACAUACUUAUUUCAAGCAUCAAUGUACUGAUCAAGAAUGUAAACUGUAUGUUUCAUUAUGUAACAAUUUUGCAACAUCACCAAAUAGUGGCGGCUGCUUGGAACUUACAAUUAAAGAAUCUAUCCUAACUCCCUUGAGAAUGAUUACGCCUUAUACCCCUAGAGCUUGUUAUUGGAUGCCAAUGAUUUUUUUAAAUAGUUAUUUGUCUUUUGCCAUAUGAAUAAUUUUGUUAUAACCAUCAAUUGUUGAGAAAUUGAUCCUAUAUUUUAAUAUAAUAAAGAAUUAAUUUAUUAUAAGCAUAUGAUAUGUUGUGUGUGUUAUAUUGUAGUACUAAUUUAUUGUAUAUCUUUGAAUCAAUUUAUGAGAGAGCAUUCAGUUAAAUAUUAAUAAUAAUCAAACGAUUAUAAUUACUUUAUUAGGACCAUUUGUCCUAUAUAGGAUUUGAGUCCAAUGCUUAGCCAAGCUUUUUGAUAGUUUUUGUUCUAUUUCAGUCUCUAUACAUGCUAAUUAAUGAUUUGCUUCUCUUGGCCUUUCUCAUUUUGGUUGGAGCUGGCAAUGUUCUUACUCAAACUCCAAGCCCUCGCUGAUUUCACCUCUAAAAAAGUUUGCUAUUCUCAAUAUGAGCGGUUGCAAAAGCUUGAAAAGUCUUUAAGAUAGAAUUUAUUUGGAAUUUCUUAAUAUCUAGGAUGAUUAAAAAAAUAAUUUCAUAGUUCCAUACAUUCAUGAAAUAAAAAAAAACCACAAAAUUGAAAGAAAAAGGGGAAUAAAACCAAGAAAACGAUAUUAUUUUCAUUAGGCUAUUAAGAGAAACUAAAUCUUAACCAUUAAAAUUCAUAAAAAGCACAUGUCACAGUAUUUUACAAAAGCUAAUAAAAAUUUAGCUAAACACCAAAUCUAAAUCCUUUUUUUUUUAUGUCUAUCUCCAAUUAGGGUUAUUUAAAAUAUAAACAGUACUUUAACAUGCAUAUUUUACUCUUUUUUAUAUUUUUAAUCUGUCUUUUAAUACAUUUUUAUUUUCUAUUUUAAUAUUUAAGAGGUGGGAUUAAUUUUUCUACAUGUGAUUUGAUUUAAGGACACUUAUGUAAUAAAAUAUUUUAUAAAAUGAAAGGUGCUCUUAGCAAAUUUUAAUGUCCAUGAAUCCAAAUCCUUUGAUGACAUUACAAAAUAAAUAAACAAGUAGAAAAAUGGAUUAAGGUCACACCAACUUACAAUUACAAAUAUAAAAAAAAAAAUCAUAUUUCAAUACAAUUUAGCUUUUACUAGUUAUUUUGUUUUAUUAUUAUUUCAUUUUCUAUGUCACUUUUUUUUAUGUCAUAUUUUUCACUUGCACGCUAUGCCUAGAUAUUAAUGAACUCAUUUAAAUACGAAUAACAGGAAUAAAACUUUACAAAAUAAUAAUAUUUAUAAUAAUAAGUGGAAAACAAUUAAAUAAAGAUAAAAAAUCUAAGACAAACUCAAUUUAAAAAAAUAAUAAAAAUGAUAAUAUCAAUUAGUUGUAUAUUCAAUUACCAUGCAUGAUAAUGCAACAAGUUAUUAAAGUCAACAGUUAAUUAAAAUAAAGGACCUGAGCAAGGCCCCAAAAAAUCAGCAUGAACAUAAUCCAAACUUGUUUAGAUGUGUGCAGUCCCUUUGUGAAUUUGGACCAAUGUGCUCUUCCAAAAAUUUUGUUUUCACUGAACUCUACCUCAUGUAUCUUAUCACCACAAAGAAACCCUUGCUUGCUUAGCUUUUGCAUCCCCUUGACACUUAUGCAUCCAAGUAUAAGAUACCGUGACUUAGUUCUAUCUACUUUAGAACAUCAGGUAUUGUAGCUAACAUAGGUACUGGUGACCCUUCUAACACAUAAAGACAAAUUGUCUUUACACCUUUCAUUACCAUUUCAGUCCCUUUAAUAAUCCUCAAACUAUCAUUUUUAGACAUAAAGAAGUAUCCUGGACAAUCCAGCAUACCUAAAGAGCAUAAAUUUCUCUUUAGCCUAGGUGCUUGCCUCACAUUAUAUAAAGUUCUUCUAAUCCCAUCAAUCAUUCUAAUUUUGAUAGACCUUAUACCAACAAUCUUACACAUUGUUGUUUCCCAUCAAGACUCUACUACCAUCUACAGACUCAUAAAAGAGACUUCUACCAGGACACAAAUGAAAAGAACACCUUGAGUUAAGGAUCCAUUGACUUCUUAUAUUGCUAUUUGAAACCACCAACAAGUCAGCACUACGAUAUCAAUCAUCCGAACCCAUUGUUGCGUCCCUUGUUCUCUCUUUCUCAUCCUUUUUUCUUUUCAUCACAAUCUCUGAUGUAAUGGCCUUGUCAUUUUACAUUAAAGCAUUUCCUCAUUUUGCAUCUUCUCUUGUUUUGAUCUACCAAUAAUAUUAUUUGUAUAUAGUUUUAUGCAUCACCACAUGUUUUAGGCCAUAUUAUCAGCUUCUACUUCAGAUUGUAGUUCUCUAAAACCAAGAAGAACUUUUACUAUUUUGUAAUGUGGGCUACAGAAAUGGCUAAAAAAGAAGGAAUAAUAAGAUGAACAAAAUAUAUGCUUGGAAAAACAAUAGAGAUCUUUUGGGAAUUGCAAUGUGUUUUAUAUAUUUUUCCCUUUUUUAUUUUUUCUUUUUUCAUUAUCAUAUUUAUUUAUUUAUUUUGUCAAUGAUGGAUAAGUGAUGGAAAACAUAAAAUAUAUGGUAAUGCUCCAAAUUGAAGUAGGAUAUGAUAAUACGUUAACAAAUAAUUUUUUUUUAAUAGGUUCAAAAGGGGUGACUAUGGAUAUUUCACAAUGAGGAUGGCCAGAAGAGACUCAAAUGGAUCAAACAUGAACUUCUGUCAUUUGUUAAAGAUCUAAAUAGUCUUUAUAUCUGCUAGUUCAAUAGACUUUUAGACGUAACAACACACAAUUCUUUUCAUUGGUCAACUCAAAAGAAAAAGAUAGAGAUUAUGUAUAAAAUAAUAAACUAGUAAGCUAUGGAAAAAGGUUGCUCUCUAAGAUAAAUAAUAGAUUCAAAAACUCACUUGAACCUUAUUUUGACGUGUACGUUCUUUCAAGUAGCUCAAUGAAUUUCACUCAUCAAUUUCUCAAUUCACACAUCUAACCAACGUCAAUUUGCAAAGUGGCAAAUAUGGUGUAACAUAAUUCAAACACUACUAGAAAAAUGGUCUUUACUGACUUUAGAAUAGUGUCAGAAAUUACUUUCACUGACACUUAUUAAUUGUGUCAGUAAUCUGGGAGUCAGAAAAAUAGUGACACUUGUAAGUGGUGUCAGUGAUUACUAUUACUACAGUAUCACCGAUAUUAUGACACCAUAGUGUUAGUAGUUAUUGAUAUUUUAUUAGUGUCUAUGAUUACUGUUACCAUGGUAUCACUAGUUAAUUUAUUUUUAAAAAAUAAAAAUUUGAAUUGGUUGUUGAUUUAUUGGUAAAAUUAAAAGACACCAUAAAAUAACCACAAAAAAACUUGAUAUAUAUUACAAAAUCAUUAAUUUCAUAUUUAAAUAUUAUUAGUAUAUAUUACAAAUCCAAAUACUUCAAUAAACAAGAUAUCCUAUUCUCGUAACUAAAUAAUCUUAAAUACAUAAGAAUUUCUACCAUCCAAUCAAAUGCCUACUAAUUGCGGCUACAUUUAACAAAUUUAGAAGCUAAAUUGAUAAGGAUGACGGCCUUUCACUCUUUGAACAUAAGUAGUGCAUUUGUGUUAUCACACCAGCAGUUUCUAUGUAAUGUUGCUUCAGCUGAAAGCUCAUGAAAUAGGAAAUUCUUGUCUUCUUGAUUAGGCGACUUGGGAAGGGGAUCUGUAAAGAGUAGCUGCUGCCCUGGAAAGUGCUCCUGCCCAGUGAUUUUGUGCGCCCAUAAUAUUGAACUUGAGACGAGCCCUCCUGCACGCCUGCACUGCUAUAAAAACGCUCAUAUAAUUGCUUCUGUGGAGCUUUGGACCUCCAAGAUAUGAACACAACCAUAGUGCCAUUUAUUGCAUAAAAUAUAAAUGCCGCGCUAACUUGACUAAUUUUACAAAUUUGGUGAUGAUACGUUUAAGAUUAUGGUUUAAAAGAAUAAUUCAAAGAUAGCGGUUUCAACAGCGAGAUUAACAAUUCUUUUAUUUCUAUUAAACAUAAAAAAAGAAAGAAAAAGAAAUGCAAAAAAGUAAGAGAGAUAGAGGAAUACGGGAAUCGAGGUCUGCCACACAAACAUCUUGAAGCAUUUCAGGAUCAGCAGCAGUAGUGUUCAAGAUCACAGCAAAAGUGACAACAAAAAGUGUCAAAGCACUAGCAGCAGCAGCAGCCAUGGUUACAAAAGUUCAAUUAUGAUCUUGUUAUUGCUGCAGGCAAAUAGAAAGAAAGAAUAAAAGAAAUGCUUAGAAAUUAAAAAUUUUUAUCAGCUUAUCCACUCUCACUCCACUCCCCUCGUCCUCGCCAUUUUCUUUCUUCUCUCAACAGUACCACUGCCGAUGGUGAUAAGACCAUCAACGACGACACGGUCAUCGCCAAGUUAUUAUUUCAUGAUUUCUCUCUUACGCACUCAUACACAGUUUCCAUGUACUAUGAAAGAAAGACAUGUAAAACAUUAGAUUAUCAUUUUCUACUUGUGCUAAUUGACAUCACUGAUCUCAGGCUUUCUUCCAAAACAAAAUCAAAGUAGAAGAAUCUCAUCACAAAGAGUAAGUACACAGCAAAAGUAAGAAUUUUUAUUCAUAAAAGCUUAAGCCUUUUUCCGUUUAAUGUAUAUAAUAAAAAUAGAGGUACUUCGUUCUCAAAACAACAAGUCAAUCAAAAGCUAACAACUUUUUCGCCCUAGUGAACCAGUUGCUUAUCUCCUCCAAUAACAUUUUGUUCAUCCAUUCGGAAGAGCAAAUAAGCAAGAUCAUAAAAGAAACACAAAACCCACAAAAAUAGAAAUCUUGUACGCAUUAAUAUAGAACAAUGCAAAUCUACCAAAAAUAAUGAGGAGAGUAUAAACAGAGGAAGAAGAAAUGCAGGGAAUUACCCUGAAGAGAAGGGGGAGAUUUGGGUACCCUAUUAGCAUAUAAUUUGCUAACCAUGUCAACUAAUAAAACACACCCAACAAUUCUCACAAGCAUGUCAUCAAACACUUUGCAGACACCGUACCAGUCUCCAAAAGCUAUGAAUGACUAGCACAACUUUUACCAUUCACAUAUCAACAAAUCAAAAUGUGGAAAAAAAAUUCCAAAACCGUGUAUUAGUUGAAUAAAAAUAAAAGAAUUAGUAAACCUACUUAAAUUCAACAAAAAGAACCAAAUUAAUUUCUUACUAAAUUCACAUAUAAGUAGAGAAUAUUUAAUAAUUAUUAAUUAUUUAGCUAAUGCUCACCUUACUUAAUUACCAUGCCCAGAUCUACAACUGCUUCACAUAAGUGGUGCUUCUGCCUUCUUCUUUAAACAGCCUCUAACAACGCUCUUUAACUUUCACCAAGACAUCCGUCCACGAUCUUGGAGCUAAAUUGAACCCCUCAAAUCAUUUUUCUCGAUGACGAAGAUUGGCAUUAGGCAAAAAAGUGGCUAGAAUUUCACGGCCGUGUGAGAUUCUGUUGGAUUGUAAUAGAAAGAUUUUAAGGUUAGGGAUUGAAAAGAGGCGAGAUUGAGAGGGAAAAUUUGAGUUGGAUCGAGAGCAGGCUCGACCGCAGGGGAGAGGAAGCGAAACCUGUAUUGUUCAGCUGAGCCAGCGAGACGAUGAAAUGCAAUGGGAUGGAUGGUAGAGGGCUGCCUGCGCCCAAAAGCGAUGAUUCACUGCAGUUCCCUCCAGUCCGUUCUGUUUCAGGUUGGGUUAGGGGAACAUUCGAGUGAUUGCCUUCGCGGAUCCAAACACGCUCACCGGUACGCUUUCUGGCUCGCAACGACUCAAAUGGGCGGGUCUUCUUCGUUUUCCUUUCUCCUUCGGGUAGUUGAAGAUAGGUGAGAUUGAGAGGGAAAAAUUGAGUUAGAUAGUAAGAGAUUGUGUUGGAUUGUAAGAGAAAGAUAAGAGAGGAGUGGCUGAGAGAGGAGUCGGGAUUGAUAAGACGACGCAGUUGAGUUUUGUGAAUUUGGUGAAGUUAGGGUUUUUUAGAUUUGGGGAGUUUAGGAGGGACACGAAAGAUUAAAUUUUUUGUCUAAAUUAAAAGUUAAAAAAAUAAAUCUUUGUUUAGUAGUUAGUUUUCUGAACUAGAAAAUUUGAGAUUUGGUCUCCUGGUCUUUUUUUCGAACUUAAACGCUUGAGUACUAGAGGUCCUCGGUUCGAGUUCUAUUUGGAACCUAAUUAGAAUUACUUUAUUUUUAUUACUGAUACCUUAAUGUCAGAAAUCUCUGAUGUUUAAGUUACAGACACUAUACUAUCAGUAAUUUGUGAUAUUUUUAUGUUAAACACGGAAAAUAGUCCAUAUGUAUGAACAUACUGAUACUUUUUAAAAAAUUGUCACAAACCAAGUGUCAGUAAAGACCAUUUUUCUAGUAGUGAAAGCUAAAGAUAAUAUAAAUUGAAAAAUUUAAAAGCCAUCACGUCAUCCAAUAUCAAAAGAUCACAAAAAGUGUCUUAAAUUGUAUUAUUUCAUUAUUUUUAUUUUAUUUUAUUUUAUUUUUUAACUAAACUACAAGACUAGGAAUAUGCAUUUCUAGAGUAAUUAAACUCCACAUUCGGCCAUCUUUGACUCAAAAUUUUAAAAAAAAUUAGUAAAGUACAACAACACAACUAUCAAUUAUUCCACAACUAUCAAUUAUUCUGUCCCCCAACUAGAAUGAGAUAUUAUCCUCAACUUUUGAAAGAAAAGAAGUAGAGUUUAGAAAAAACUGAUGAAUUUUUAUUAAUGUUUGAAUGGGCCCAAGAUGCAAAUAUAAUUUAUGCCUCUACAAUGCAAGAUCUCUUCGUAAGAAAAUUAAAGAAUUAUUAAGGUUUCGCGUCUUGGUUAUUUUCUCCUGCAAACUUAAGAUGACUAACUUAUUUGCAAUUGGUGAGCCGGGCAGGCAUUCCAGAGGUUAUAGGGGUGUAGGAUGAUACCAAGCACUUGACUUCCUCUAGUGUAAGUAGUUUCUAAGACAAGUACUUGACCAAGAUCCAUAGCUGCUUGAGCAAACACUUUGUAUUUUCCAUAACGAAAGCCAGAAAGCAUGCAAACGUUCUUCAAUUGUCUAUUCAAAGUUGCUACCAUUGAGACAAUCUCAAAAAUAAUUUGUGAGUGUUUAAAAAAAACUCAUAUUUAAAGAUCUUGGUGAGAGACAUAAUGAUACAAGGUUGUAAAUGAAGUGGUGUGUUUGUCAAAUAACGCGUGAAGUUCCUAGUUCAAGAGUCAAAAGUAAAUAGCAAAAAAAAAGUAAAUGGAGAUAAAUCACACUAGUAAACAAUAAUUUAAAUGAUAAAAGAAUAGUAAAACAAAUUGAUAUCUACCAUUAGUUGUGACUAUGACUCACAUCUUUCUUUUAUUUUACAUCGAGAAAGGCUCUCAUCCAGUUUUUUGAUAAACUGGUAAAUAGGGUAGUGUAUAUAAAAUGCUAAAGACAUUAUGGUGCAUAUUUCUUUUGGAAUAAUGGCCAUAACUAGGAAAUUUCACGUUGUACGUAUUCACUGGGAUGCGUUUUAAGGAUCAAAAGGAUGUCAUCUAAUGACUUUUUAUUCAAGUCAUCCCUAAUAAAUUGAAUAUUUUCUUCCCUAAUAUAGGACAUCAUUCCCAAACAUAUACUAGAACUUUCAUUAUAGUUUGUUCGAGCACACUUAUGAUAAGAAACUUGGAGCCGUCUAGCUCUUCAUUUUCUUGAAUAAUUUCCUUUCCUAUAGCCAAACAUGUAAGCAACAAAUUUGAGAGGUACCUCCCUUCUUAAUCAUACUUUGGUUUCAAUUAACCAACGAAUGUGAACAAGAACGGUAUUUCUCAUAAGUAAUUGUAAGAGUUUGGAUCAAGUUUUAAAGAUCGUGAGGAUUGCAUUCUAAGGGAGAGAAGGAAAUCACUUAUGAAGUUUUGCAAGAAUUGUAUUCUUAUUUAUACCUUGGCUUGGAAAUGUCAAUUAUUAUGGAAAAUUAUUAGAACUGACUUUAAUGGUUACAGAGUACCAUUAUCUGCCAUUUAACUAGGGUAAGAAAUAACAACAUACCAAACAAAAGAAUUAAUCUAGCAAAAACAAAAUGCAUGUGAAGGCAAACAAUAAAACAAAAACAAACAAUAUAAAUACUAGGACGUUAACUCACCACCAUCUCCUUAUUGAGUUUAUCGUAAGUUCUAAUUGGAUAUCACAGAUACUACCUUCUAUUUUUAUGAAUUGUCUUUUUAAAUAUGAUACUAACACUAGUGGUAAUAGAUCCUAAACAGGAUGUGAUUUACAAAUUUUGAGCAGACCACUUACGUCAAGCUUCAUAUAUAGAAGUUUGUUAAAGUUAAUGAAUAAGAUUUGUCUCAUUGAGAUACUCAUGACCUAAAAUACAAUUGAUAAAAGAAAGCAUAAUUUUUAAACAAAUGCACUAAAGUAGGAAACAAUCAAAAUAAUUUUAAUCAAUAAAACAAAAUAACAAAAAGUUAAAUCAUCCAAAAAAAAACCUAAUCAAGAUGUGGUGGGCCUUUCAAAUUUCCUCUGGUGUCAUCUUCAUGUGGUUGGUACUCUAUAUAGGACUUUAAUUUUUUACCGUUAACUUUAAAAGUGACAUUAUUCUUUAGAUCCUUAAUUUCAAUGGCCGACAUGAAAAAAUAGUGUGAAUAAUUAAUGGAUCAUACCAUCAAGAGUGUUAUUUACUUGGAAAUAGAUGUAAGCGAGAAUUGAAUAGCAUCACUUUCUAACCUGGUGUAAAAGAUUUUCUCAUAAUAUUCUUGUCAUGAAAGACUUUCAUCCACUACUUGUAAUGUUUGUCAUUUUCAUAUACAUUAUUGCGAAUCUCUUUAAUACUAGCUAUAAUCUUCUUUCCAAACUAACUUGUUGCAUGUCAAAGUUAAAUUUCUUGAUAGCCCCGUAUGCACGAUGCUCGAUUUCCAUAGGUAGGUGACAAACUUUCUUAUACACUAGCCUAUAAGGUGACAUCCUAAUAGGGGUUUUAAAAGCCAUUCAAUAAGCCUAUAGUGAAUCAUCGAGUUUCAAUGACCAUUCUUUUCUAUCUAGCUUCACCGUCUGUUCUAAUAUAUACUUUAUUCCUCGAUUGGAGAUCUUGACUUGGCCACUAAUUUGUGAAUGAUAUGGGAUAGCCACUUUGUGUGUGACGAAGUACUUUGCCCAAAGAGCUAUGAAUGUUUUGUUGUAAAAGUGGGUACCACAAUCAUUGAUUAUUGGUCGAGGGAGUCUAAAGUACGAAACAAUGUUGCUCUUCAAAAAUCCAAUCACUACUUUGUGAUCAUUGGUUCUGCACGGAAUUGCUUCUACCUACUUUGAUACAUAGUUGACAUAAACUAAUAUGUAUUGAUGGCCAAAAGAAAGAGGAAAUGGUCCCAUAAAAUCGAUGCCCCACAUAUUAAAAAACUCAACUGCCAUAGUAGGGUUUAGUGGCAUCAUGCUCCUUCGUGAAAUACUUCUUAUGCUUUGGCACCAAUGACAUGAAGAAUAGAAGUCUAAGCAUCUCAAAAUAAAGUUGGGCAUAAAAACCAUGUUGUAAAACUUUAGCAGCCAUCUUUCUAGCACAAAAAUUGUCUCUACAAGCUUGUUCCUAAUAUAAUGAAAAGAUGUUUUGAAAUUUUCUCUCUGGGAUGCAUCGUCUGAUAAUAUGAUCCACGUAAUAUUUGAAUGGAUAAAGAUCAUUAGAAAAGAAAUUCUUUGUUUCCACCAAAAAAAAAAAAAUUGGCCUUAUCUUGCUUAGUCUAAUUCUCUGAAAGUUGCCCUAUCACAAUAUAAUUAACUAUAUCAGCAUACCAUUGAUAGUACCUCCACACUCAUUAGUUGCUCAUCUGGGAAUGAUUCAUUGAAUCGUAAUCGUUCUCGAAUUGUGUCAAAAUUGAGGCGAGAAAGAUGAUCUGCCACCACAUCUUUUAUGCCUUUCUUAUCUUUGAACUCAAGGUCAAAUUCCUACAAAAAUAACAUCCAACGAAUUAGUCUGACCUUUACAUUUUUCUUUAUAAAAAGAUAUUUAAGAGUAGUAUAAUCUGUGAGCACAAUUAUUUUAUAUCCUAUAAGAAACUUUUCUAAUUCAAACAUUACUAUUACUAUUUCUUUUUUAGUAGUUGAGUAAUUCAAUUGUGUAUAAUUCAAUGUCAUACUAGUGUAGUCAAUGACAUGAGGGAUAUGAUUAACUUUUUGUUCUAAUACAACUACUAUUAUUUGUACAAGAAUGUUAAUACUACUAAUCAGGCAUAGUCUCUUGAGGGUAUGUUGUUCCUCAAGCCUUAUUCACAACUAAUCAAUGUGGAGCACGAGAUGUCAGUAUGGAAAAUUCUAAAAGAGAUAUUGUAAAAAUAAGGGUAAUGUUAUAAAAUUAUGUUGCAGGGGAUUAUUGACUAUUAUGAAAAUAAUAGGUGUCAUGACCCAAUCUAGACUUGGUAAGAUAUUGUCCACUUUGGGCCUUAACAAGGCUCGCACGGUUUUGUUCCUAGAGCGCUCAUACACCCCAAAACGUGUCUUGCCAGUUAAAGUGUAGAUCACCCCUUAUAAAUCCAGCAUCUCUCUCGUGCUUUGCCGAUGUGCGAUAUGCCGGGGGUAUUACAUUCACCCCCCUUGGGGACUCAGCAUCCUCGCUGAGGCUUGCCCCACCAUUGCUCAAGAGGACACGUGGAACCGUUCUACUACCAUAAUAUCAUGACCCAACCUAGAUCUGACAAGAUAUUAUCCGCUUUGGGUCUUAAUAAGGCCCGUACGGUUUUGUUCCUAGGGCGCCCAUACACCCCAAAACGUGUCUUGCCAAUUAAGGUGUGGAUCACCCCUUAUAAGUCCAGUAUGUCUCUCGUGCUUUGUCAAUGUGGGAUUUGCCUAGGGUAUUACAAUAGGUGCAAGUGGUAUACAUUGAUUUCAUUAGUGAAAAAUUGGCAACCUCCUGAUUUAGAAUUAGGGAUGGCAAUGGGGUGUGGUAGGGGUAGGGAGGCCUAUCCCAUUCCCCACCCCAUUAAAAUUUUUUGCCUCCAUUCCCCACCCCAUUCCCCAAUAAAUUUAGUGGGGUAGGGAUGGAGAAUCCCCAUGUGGGGAAUAAUUUCCCCAUCACCACUCCAUUCCCAUUUACUUAUUUUAUAUUAGGUAUAAAUACAUGAAUGCAAGAUUGUUAAUAGUUCUCUGGGGAUUUUGAUGCAUUCAAAGACCAAAGCUCCAUAGGCAAAGAAAAAGUCCUCUAGGCAAGAUCGUUAGUCCAAUACCCUUCAAGAAAAAUCAAAAGUCCUAAUUUUGUCAAUUAAAAUCUUGAGUUCUUUUGCAUAAAAAUCAUAAAAUUCAUUCAAUGAAAAUUCUCAAAUUCUUCGAAUAAUAAAAAUUCCUUAAGUGAAGUCAUGAGUUCCAAAAAGAAAUUUUUAAAUAUCUGAUAAUUCCAUGUAUCUCGUACAUAUAUUUAAAAUCUCAAAACAAUUUUUUUUUUAUAAAUGGUGAUAAGAAAGACUAAACGCAACUUUAGCUCAGCCAAUUUAGUUUAAAACUUUUGAUUAUUUUCAUCAAAAGUUUAAAAACUUUCGGGGAGUAAUAUCAGGGAAAAUCCUUAAGCAGCUCGGCUGGCGGUCAUAGGAACAACCAGACAGUACCCCUGUAAUGGUGUUCCUCUAUUAGCAACAAAACAAUUUGGUGAAUUCAAAUUAAAACCGUAACUUCAGAAGAUCAAAAUGGAAUCGAAAACCAGAAGAGAAGAGAACAGUAGAGCAGAAGAGAUUAACAGAACAAAGCAUCUGCACUAACUGAAUUCAAAUGGCUGGAACUAUAAAUAGAGACUAUGAAUUCUUGUAAAGACACGGCAAUUUGAAAAUCAACAAGAAGAACAUUGCUAAUUGAAGGUCACUGCCCAGGCGUCUUCCAGCAAUCUUCUAACAGACAGUUCAAGCAGCCAUGACCUUUUUUGUCACAACAGUAAAAAUGAAAAUUUAAAAGAAAAAAAUUAUAAUAUAAGUACACGUACUCUUUGUCCACGAUGCCCUUAAAAGCCUGAAUCCCCAAGGAUCUAGGUCUUUUGGAAUUGGAGGUUGCAUUAUAGCUUUUGUUGAUUUGAGAUUCACGUCUCUUGCAAACGUAAAUAGGCUUUCACCUUUGUAAGCUGAAAGGAAAUACAAAAAGGUAUAAGAUGUAGAAGUCAGUUGUCACUGACAAACCGAGCAUAAUGCACCAAGUUUGAAAGAGAAGAAAGUACAAGAAUGCAUCAAAUCCCAAGAGACUUAAAACUAUAGACUUCCUGUUUUGGAUAAACAGAACAAUAAAAUUAUAGUCUUUGUCAACACCUGGAAGUCCAAGGAGAAUAUACAUAUAGAAGCCUAAAGUCGAGCUCCCUCUUCUACUUUUUCAUACUUUGUUUUAUUUAAAACGUCUUGAAUGACCUGGCUAACAUAUAGAAUAUAAUAUGGAACGAAGGAAUGAAGUAUCUUAAAAACAUGUAUUCUUGAUUGCCUUCAUAAUCAUGCUCUCGGAUAUUAUAUCAAUUGAAGAAGAAAAAUCAAUAAAGCAGUAUUAAGUAACUUUCCCAGUAAAAAGACACAGAAGGAGACAGACCAUGAAAGAAAAAGAUGAGUAACCUGAAGUCACUUGAAGGUCUCAUGAUCAGUGUCUGCAUGGUACCGAUUCUCAGCCUGGUAUCAAGACAGUCUAAUUGGAAAUCAAGCAUAAGAAUUCGAGCCAUCUGCCGCUGGCUGCAUUCUGGAAUGUUAAAACCUCGUGGUGUGAACCUAUGAGCUUCAUCAUAUCUACGGAAUUUCUUCUAUUUUCGGAACUCUCCCUGCUAGCUACCACUCAUAAAGGACAACCAUGGAGUUCAAGUUUUUUCGAUGGGGUUUAAAAGUAACUACCCAAAUAAACUUUUAUCUUUAAAAUUGAUUCAAUUGGAAAAAUUAACACAAUAAGCAAUUGAGCCAAGAAAAUAAAAAUCCCCACAAGCAAAAGCAUUAGAAAUCAUUGGUCAUCAGGAAGGAAAAUCUCAGAAGGGUUUUGACCUAUCCAUUCCACUCAUAAGGGAAAGGCAAAAUGCUACUUCUAUGCCUGUUUAUUCUUUAAGGUACUUAUAAUUUGAUGACUAUUUGAUUAAUCAGUAGUAUACACCAAGUAAGAAUUAAAAACAUUACCCAAUAUUUCAUGCUUCUUUCCUCAAUUCGUCCACAUAACAUGCUGCAUUUGGGGUUACAAAUUACAAUUGCCCUUAAGUCAUGAUUAGCACCAGUCAAUUUACAAGGUUUACUCACGGGCACUCACUAGUUGCUCAUCAAAGUCUUUUAAUUUACACUGAUUUUCGGCAGCAAAAUUUCCGACUUGCACGCAUUUUAGCUUCCAAUACUUGGUAAUUAUAAUAAUAAGUCUUGACAACGCAGUCAAAAGCGAACAAUUAAAAAAAAAAAGUAAACGUACUCUUUGUCCGCGAUAUGAGAAACCAAAUCAACCUGAAAAUUCCAAAGUUAAUUUUUAAUAAAAAAUGUAUAAUUGGAAAUGAACAAGAAAACAGGUGACUGCUUAUUCUUGAAGAGUAAGACGGAAAAAGAAAGUCGAAACUUGGCGGUUGAAGAAACCAUCAUACCCUUAAUUGAGAAAUUAUUUAACUACUUCAAUUCCUUAUAAGUCUUUAGAUAUAUCAAAAGCAAAGCCACUUGUAAACAAAAGUAACAACUAACAAGCCAGCUCGAUAGGCCAAAUCAUUCAAAUUUGAGGUGAACAAGCUCCGUUCAAAAAAGUACUUGCACCAAUUAUCCCCAACUUCAACUUUAAGGUGCGGAUAAUAAUGAUGAGAAUUAACGAUAUCAUAAGAGUAAUUUAGACAUUUAACACUAGGAAUGAUGGUGAGGUGAGGUGGGGUGAGGUGGGGAUAGAGAAACCUGCCCCCUUCUCCACCCCAUUAAAAAUCUUACCUUCAUUUCACCAAAAAAUUUAUGGUGCGUUUAUUAAUCUGGAAUCAGGAUUGGGUUGGAAUGAGAAUCACGAAUGAGAAUCAAAAUAAAUUAUUUACUUGAAUAGUAGGAAUCAGAAUUGAAAUAAACUUCAUUUCUAUUAUUGUGUUUACUUUGUCAUGAAAUUUCAAUGAAUUAUUUCAAUUUAUUAAAAUACCCUUUGUUAAUUAAUAUCAUUUGGUAAUA
Molecule: long non-coding RNA, 100922 nt
Filed under: Citrus x clementina
Lineage: Eukaryota; Viridiplantae; Streptophyta; Magnoliopsida; Sapindales; Rutaceae
Description: Citrus clementina (C. clementina) long non-coding RNA (CCLE_LNC006505)
Source: RNAcentral